This 90418-nucleotide long non-coding RNA is filed under the name Theobroma cacao (cacao). RNAcentral's name for it is "long non-coding RNA (TCAC_LNC004445)". Lineage: Eukaryota; Viridiplantae; Streptophyta; Magnoliopsida; Malvales; Malvaceae. The record is from RNAcentral.
CAGCUAAAAUGUAGUAUAUGAGAGAAAUUUACACAUUUCAUAACCGAAAAUAAGUUUAGAUAUCUAAAACAUUCAUUUAAAGUGAAAUUAUAGCUAAUGGAAUAAAAUAAAAAUAAUGAAUAAAAUAUUCCAAUUUUUCAUAAAAUAAUUUUUAUAGAACGCUACGUAAAUAAUUUUUACAGCGUAAAAGCAAAAUAAAUUCCUACAUACAGUAGCACACAUAGCUAGGUAUUCAAAACAUUUAACAAUGACAUGUGGGCCCCUGAAUGACUAAAAGUGAUGAAGGCUAUGAACCUACAGUUUUUGAGGAUGCAAGUCCAAUUGUAGCCCUCAAUGAAAUGAGCUAUCUACCGACUAUCCUGAGCCUGAAAUGGAUGGAAAGAAAGGUGGUGAGAUUAUAUAAUCCCAAUGAGUAAACAAAUAUCAUCUAAAAUAUCUAAAGCUAAGUAAAUGGAGACAGAUAAAAUAGAUUAGCAUAAAAAUGAUUCACAACAUUUCGAACUCAUUUUAAUAAGAUAAAAUAGAUUCAUUUCACCCAAAUAAACAACGAGGCUUAUGAUUUCCUGAAAAGCUUAGCUUGUGCCAAAAUCAUUCUUAUACUCGAUUGUCAGGGAUACCUUGGCCUGGGGCUAUCCCAACCGAAUCCGCCAAGGCUGUUAAAAAGUCAUGUACACAUAAAUCAUGUUUUUAUUUUGAAAACUUAGCCGUUCCUUGGCGUUGGCUGAGUUUCACCCUCACGUGGUGGUUUAGCAUGAAGUGAACUCUAAAGUUUUACCUCGGGAGUUACCUUACACGCCUCUUUGACCGAGGUAAGAUAUAACGGGGUUUACUGUGCCCCUCUAAUAGGCUGGUCCACAGAAACCCGCCCAUUGCAAUAAGCUAAUCGAUAUCCCACCAAAUCAAUAAAAUUUCAACAGCAUAACAUGGCUAAUAUAAAAUUACUAGUCUGUUCAGGCAAAGCAAAACGGUUCAUAUAAUUUCAACACAAUUUCCAAUUCAGUCAUUCAUACCAAUAUCAUAAGCCAUUCAAUUCAAACCAUGAUUUAUAACACAACAAAUAGUCUCCAAUUACUCUAUUUUUUAAGCCAUCAUUCAAUUUUAAGACUAUUUUAUAAAAUCAUUUCGUUUAAUCACAUUUUGUUUAUAAAACAUAAAGAUUUACCAUUUAAACUCAUUUUCUUAUAACAUCACAAAAACGAAUUAAAAUUCGCUUCCGAUAAUCAAGAUGACGAUAAGGUUACUCACAAUAUCGGGAGUCGAAUUUUUAGAGUACUCCGACUAUCGAUCCUCAAGUACAAUUUCUUUACCCUUAUCGGAGAAUUCACCAUCUAGACAUAAUGCACAAUCAAGCAAUUUACCACAUUGGUGCUAAACCGUUAUAAAACUAUAUGGAUGUAUGAUAUGGAAUGCAAAUUAUUUGGAUUAUCGUCUAAACACGGUGUUCUACACAAAUUCAAUUGUGUACUUAAAUAAAACGAUAUUGGCCUAAUUCGAUCUAUCACUCGAUUAAUUGGCCAAUAUGUCCAUUUCAACUCCAAUUAACUCUAUUUUUCUUCCAAUUCUCCAAACCAUCAAACACAGGUCAAAUAGCAUAAAAUUUAACAAAAUCAUCUUCACAUUUGCUCUUGGGAAUUUCGGCCAUGGUGGGUGCAUCAACACUGAGAUUUUUUCUACUUGAUUUUCUUAUCAUAAUUCAUCAUUUCCUAACCAAUUCAAUUGAAAUAAAAUCAAAUCCACCAUCCACACUCUACAUGGAAGAUUCGGCCAACGAUGGGUGAUGGGAGAAAGUGAAUUUUUCUUGUUGGCUUUUCAUGGUACACAUCACUAAAUAACUAAAAACACUAAAAUACAUUGAAAUCUAACCAAAUCAAGCAUCCAAACCUCCCUCUAAGUGUUCUGCCAACAAGGAAUUCAUCAUGAUUUCAUGUGAUUCAACCAUGGAAAAUAAGAAAAAAUGCUUAAGAAAAAGAGAUCUCAAGCUUAAAUUGAAAAAAUCUUACCUUUUUUUCACUUAUUUUCUUGAAUUUUCACACGUUUCCCUCGAAUUUUUCCACCUAGGGUUUUGUUCUUCCUUUUUCUUGCUUCUCCUUGGUGAGGCCGACUAUAAUGAAGAGAAAUGGGCUGGUUUUGUGCUAAUAUAUAAGGAGAAUAAUAAAAAAAUAAAAGCUUGACACUUGUCACCUUACCAUUAGUCUAUUUUUAAAUUCUUAACUAUUAAGCUUUCUUUCUCCACCACAUAAAAUAUUUCAGUUAUCCACAAUAUAAAAUGUUAAUGGAUGAAAUCCAUGGGCAUGACAAGUGUUGGGUGGUAUAAAAUUACAAUUUUGCCCCUAGGGUGGCAAAAUGACUAUUUUGCCUUUAUCCUCGAAAAAAUGUCAAAAUUAAAAUUCUUCACUUCUCAAACUCAAAUUAUACUCCAAAUGAUCAAUCUUAGUCAAAAAUUUGAUCCAACACUCACAUCUUAACCUCGGGUGACAAAAUGACCAUUUUGCCCCUAGGUCAUGAAAAUUCCAAUUUGACUCCAAAUUGGUCCUCAAACUCUGAAUCACCAUUUUAAGUCAUUCUGGGGUUUUUAAAUUCUCAAUUUCAUCUUAAAAUCUCUAUUUGCACUAGUUCGAGGCUUAAUUCAACUUAAUUGUACUAUUUGGUACAUUGCCGUCCUUUAACGAUUUUCGAGGUACCCAAGUAAGCAAACAUGCAUUCUUAUGUAAGAAUGGCAUAAUAAACAUAUUGUAGAGCCGAGCUUAAUAGCUAUGCAUUGAACAAUGGAAAAGAAAACCUUGGUAAAUUUGAUGCUAAAAGUGAUGAAAGAAUCUUUCUAGAAUACUCUUUGAGUUCUAAUGCUUAUAGAACAUUCAAUAAGAGGACAUUAAUUGUUGAAGAAUUUAUUCAUGUUUGAUUUGAUGAUACAAACCCUAUUGGAAAGGAAAAUUAUGAUGAUAAUAUAGGUAUCCUUCAAGAACAAUUUGAGGGGCUUGGUCUCAACAUUGAAGGAUCCAAAGUGAAUGAAUAAGCAACAUAAAAAGAAAAGCAACAAAUUAAACAAAUUCUUGAAGAAUGUGAGCCUAGCUAUCCAACAGUAAGAAAAGAGGUUGAUGAAAGUAAAAUCAUUGGUGAUCCUAAUAAAGGGGUAAGAACUAGAGCUAAAGUUCAAAAUGUUUUGUGAGUAUGUAGAACUAGAGCUAAAGUUCAAAAUGUUUUGUGAGUAUGUAAUCUUUAUCUCUUAUAUUGAACAAAAGAACAUUGAUGAAGCCUUAGAUGAUGAUUAUUGGAUACUAGUGCUGCAAAAAGAAUUAAAACAAUUUGAAAGGUGUCAAAUAUGGGAAUUAGUUCCUACGUCAAAUGAUUAUCCAAUUGCAGGUACUAGAUAGGUCUUCAGGAACAAAAGGGAUAAAAAUGGAGCCAUAACUAGAAACAAAGCUAGAUUAGUUGCCAUAGGAUAUAGUCAAAAGGAAGGAAUAGAUUAUAAUGAAAUUUAUGCUCCGGUAGCUAGACUAGAGGCCAUUGAAAUGCUUUUAACCUUUGCAUGUUACAUGAAUUUUAAAUUAUAUCAAAUGAAUGUGAAGAGUGCCUUUCUAAAUGGACUCAUAAAUGAAGAAGUAUAUGUUGAAUGCCCUCUCAAUUUUGAGUGUCCUACUUUUCCAAAUCAUAUUUUUAGAUUAAAAAAAGGAUUAUAUGGUUUAAAUUAAGCUCGUAGAGUUUGGUAUCAGACUUUAUAAAAAUUCUUAAUUAAAAGUGAUUUUGAUAGAGGGAAGGUUGAUAAAAUUAUUAUCAUCAAAAGCAAAGGAAAAAACAUUUUAAUUAUUCAAGUUUAUGUUAAUGAUAUUAUUUUUUGUGCUAUUAAUGAGCUUUGUUGUCAAGAGUUUGCUAAGACUAUGCAAGGAGAAUUUAAGAUAAACAUGACAGGUAAGAUGAAUUAUUCUCUUGGAUUGCAAAUCACACAAAGGGAAGAUGGCACAUUCAUAAGUCCAGCCAAGUAUACAAAAAACAUGCUCAAGAAGUUUGGUAUGGAAGGCACAAGAACAUACUACCCACCAAUGAGCACUUCAGCAAUGCUUGACAAGGAAGAAAAGGUAUGCUCGUUGAUCAAAAGCUCUAUAGAUCUAUGAUUGGUUCUUUGCUUUAUCUCACAACUAGUAGAUCGAACAUAAGAGAUAAUGUAUGUUUGUGGGCUAGGUUUCAAUCAUCUCCUAAAGGGCCUCAUUUAAGAAUUGUUAAAAGAAUUUUUAGGCAUUUAAAAGACAACUAGUUUAAGAAUAUGAUAUCCAAAGAGUUCCAUUUUUUAUCUCCAUUCAUAUCUAGAAGUUGACUUUGGUGGAUGUAAAACAGAUAGGAAAAGUGCAUCUGGUACAUGCCAAUGCUUAAGUAGUAUGUUGAUCUCUUAGUUUUCAAAGAAACAAAGUAGGGUAGCUCAAUCCACUACCAAAGCUGAAAAUGUGGCUACUAGUAGUUGUUAUGCUCAAGUGCUAUGGAGAAGGAACAAUUAGAAGAUUAUGGACUAUGUAUAAAAUGAAUUCCUAUUAAAUAUGAGAAUACUAGUGCCAUAAAUCUCACAAAGAAUCCCAUCCAUCACUCGUAAACUUAACACAUAGAAAUAUAGCAUCAUUUCAUUAGAGACCAUUUUCAAAAAGAUAACAUUAUUCUUAAAAAUGUUGGUACCAAAGACCAAUUAGCUGAUAUUUUCACUAAAUUUCUUGAUAGAGAACAAUUUUGCUAGAUAAAAAGUGAAUUAGGUAUCAUGAACAACCUUAGAUGAAUUAGAUGAUGAAAAUUGCAUGCUCUUAAUGAACUUUGAUGUGAACAAUUUAAAUUAAUGGAGUCCACUUGCUUAAUUAGAAAUUUCUUGACUUUGUGUUGAUGUAGAUGACAAUUAUGCCAAAUAAUUGAUUUCAUAGCAAGAUGUAUGUUCAUGCAUUUCACUUAAUCUUCCAUACACAUGCAUAGCCAUCCAAUUCAAGAAGUACCUCAUAAAAUUUGUAAAAAGGAUCAUAUUUUUUUAAAAAGAAAAUUCCAUGUUUUUGAUCUUAAAAAUGUCACUUGCUCUAGUCCAAAAUUAUGUUUGAAGUGUUUCUCUCAUAUUUCUGAACUUAUUUGUGAUUAAAAAUUCAAUUAUGGGCCUUCCUCUACAUGAUUUUGAAAGUUAGAACUUUGUUUUUUAAAGGCCACAUAAGAACAUCUAUCAAUAGAUUACCAUUAUCUAUUGAUAGAUAGCUUACGGAGACCAACAUUAACCAUCUCAUGCAUAAUCUUUUGAUAGAUUCACACUAUCUAUUGAUAGAUAUAGGCUCCCAAAAAAAAAACUAGGCAUAAUAUAUCGAUAGAUCCCAUUAUCUAUUGAUAAAUGGGGUACCGUGUCCAAUACCAAGUUUGUUAGACUACAUUUAUCAACAGAUCCCACUAUUUAUCGAUAGAUAAUGGUAUCUAUCGAUAAAUGAGGAAACUUGACCAAAAAUAAAGCCUGCAUGAAAAAUCUAUCGAUAGAUACCACGAUUUAUUAAUAGAUUGCUAUUUGCGACUAAGCGAUUGCAUGUGAUCUAUCGAUAAAUGUUACAAUCUAUCUAUAGAUGCAUUGUUUUAAGCAUACUUGAUGCUUCAUUCCUCUUAAGCCAACUACUCCUACCUCACUCUUCCUCCCAAAUCCUUUAAACCUUCUUGUAAAAUUCUCUAUUUCUAAGUCGAUUAAUGUGUUCUCUUCUUGAUCCAUCACCCAAAAUUCCUCUCAAAAACACUCCAAAACUUCACAAACCCUUGAGUUUAAAUACCUUAAAACCUUAAGUCCCCUUUUCUCCAAAUUCUUGGGUUUCUUUGUGUUUUGGAUGAAAGUGCUCUGAUUAACUUCGUUCCCUUAUCUUUCUUGACAUUUCCACUUAAUCCUUUCUUACCAAACCACUCCAAUCCCCUAUAUCUCACAAAAUCCCAACAUAAGUCAAAGACCCAAAUGCACAAAGGUGACCACUCCUUGGGGUUUACGUAACACUAUUGGUGUUAGGACAUCUUCCGCCUCCAACAAGAGUUAUUUCAUACGAAAUUUCACCCAUCCAUCACAUGCUUAAAAGUUCAGUGACAAUUUUGCCAAAUGCAAGUUAAUGCCUAAGCGCAUCAUUGAUUUUGAUUACUUAAAGUCCAUUAAUAUCUUUACCUUGCCAACUUAGAACUUUUAGGAUGGACCCAUUAUCUAAAAUUGAAUAGAAAAUAGUAUGAUAACUUAGUUCAAGUCUUUUACUUCAAUGCCACCAAAAAAUUCGCUAACUCAAAAUUUAGUGAAUAGUAAACCAUGACAAUUGGUUUGUCACUCACAUCAUGUGAAAACAUAUUCUUGUCACUUGUGGUUUCAUUGAUUGUAUCUUUCACAUUUAUACUGUAAUACCCUGUAUUUUGAUUCGGUGGCUAAUAAAGUUUACGAAUGCUAAUUGAGGUUGAUUAAUGAGUUAUAAGGGUAAUUCAGAAGUGAACUUAUGAAAUCUCUACCUCUAUAAACACGUAACUAGAACUAGACGCGAUAAUGCAGACUAGGGGUAAUUUCAUAAUUUCUUUUGGUAGGCUCCUACGAGUGGGUUUUUUUAUGCUAUUAAGGUCUAAAUAGGCCUAAGGAGUGAAUAAAUGAUGUUUAUGAUGGUAAAUAAAUGAGAAAAAUAAAAAUAAUGAUAAUUUCCAUGGUAGGGGCAAAAUGAUCAUUUUGCAUCUCGGGUCAAAAUUUUUUUUUUGUUUUGUGAACUCGAGUACCUUUAGACUAUUAUGGCCUUUGUUUCAGUGUCAAAAGAGCAAAAAGGUUACACAAAGGAUGGGAGGAAGACAAAGCCACCAUGUUAAGGGCAUUUUGGUAAUUUCGAUGAAAAUUUGGAUUAACUUGAAGCAUAAAUAUCUAACCUCCAACAGCUUCUCCUUUUUCUUCUGCCUUCCCUUUAACAUUCCUUUUAUCCUCCAUGGAAACUUGCUUUGCAACUUCCAUAACUUUCUCUCUCUAGCUCUAAAUUUCAUGCUUUUACCCACUAUUUCAUACGAUUUUUCAUGCUCUUCCACUUUUACACCUUAAAACCCUCAAAAAGUCUUUGUUCAGUACUUUUUCUCACUAGCUAAAAUUUUUAAAGAGAGAAAGAGAGACUUGCCAUAGUAGCUUGGAAGCUUUUGAAAAGGAAUUCAACUACAAAAAAAAGCCACCAAGGUGAGAAAUGAGUUAGAAUUUGAUUUUAAGUUGUUUGAGAUAGCUAGAAAUUUGAUUUAUGGGCUAUUAUAUUUUUGAUAGUUAUAUUGUGGGUUAUACAUUCCAACAAGGCCUCACAUGUCCGUUUGAAGUAAUAACCGAAGUUAGAGUCGAUUAGAAGUUCAACAAUCUCGGUGAGUGAACUUGCAUUUCAAAAUUAUUUUAGGAAUGUGAACGCAUUUGCACAAAGCUUUUAUAUGAUUUUAUUCCAUUUUUCUUAAAAAUGGUGCCUUGGGAACAAGCCCUUGAUAAAUUGUCUCUAUUUGUGACAUGUGGCUGUUAUGGAUUCUUAUACUACAUUAUGUUGAUAUAUAUAUAUAUAUAUAUAUAUAUGUUGUGCAUUGAUGGUUGAUAUUGUGUGAUAAUGAUAAUCGUGUGUGUGCACGAUGUGGGGGCAUGCACAUGCCGAUGAUGACGGUGGUGAGGGAGAUGGAUGAUGAUAGUGCCCGUGUGCACGAUGCGGGGGAUGUACACGAUGGCACUGACUAUGCACAAUGUGGGGGGAUGCACACAAUGACUCCGGCUUUAUGCACGAUGUGGUGGGAUGCACAUGAGCUGGGUGAGAUGAUGGUGGUAUUGGUGUUUAAUUAUGUAAAUAUGUAUAUAUAUAUAUAUAUAUGUUUGUGAAAUAAAAGUUCAUGAAUAUAGUAUAUGGUUGUAAUGCAUGUGAAAAUUUGCCAUGUUGAACUUUGGAAAUUUUUGAGCAUUUCAUGUUAAAAUUAGCAUGAUGAAUCUUGAGAAUGUCACAUUUUCUUGCAAAUUGAGUUUAUUACAGCACCAAAUGGAUUUUUAGUGCAAAAGAGGUCCCUUUUACAUUUAGGUGCCCUGCUUCUCGCUGCAACGAGAAACAUUCUGUUUUGGCAGCCAGAAACUCACUGCAAUGAGAAAGUCUCAAGUUUUAGUGCAGUAUUUUUACUUUGAUGAAGAUUUUGACUACCUUCCCAUCAAAAAUGGGAAAAAUAGUAAACCUUAAAGUUGUAGCCCUACCUCUUAGCUUUCUAAUGGUCUAAAAAUUAGGUCAAUUGGACCUCUGUAGUGGAAGAUAUACUAGAAAAACUAAAACACUUGCAAACUGAUACUGUUUCUCGCUGCAACGAGAAUGAACUUUGCUGCAGCGAGAAACAUUCUGUCCUGCAUGCUACCCUAUUCGGUUUUUGAUAUAUUUUUCACCCAUUUUACUUCAUGGAUUGAUCAUGGGCUGUUGCAACACUAUGAGGUUAUUAAUCAAAGUUUGAAAUAAGGGAUUUUUAGUAAGAAAUUAAAUCAAUUGCAUUGUUUUUGAAACAAGUGCAUCAUGAUUUUCAAAUUCUUCCUAUUGAUUGCUUGUUCCCUUCUUAUGUUCACUCAUUGAGUUUAUAAUCAUGUUUUUAAGCUUCAUGUUUUCAGAUUCAGAGGCAGUUGGGACCUAGAUUGAGUCGCACACAUAUGCUCGCCUUAUUGGUAGGUACUAUGGCAUCUCAGUAGUGGUACCUUCACUUAAAGUCACUCCGCUGACGGUUGAGAGUUUUUUAUCUAUGUACAUGUAUAUGGAAUGUAAAAUACUAGGAGUCAUGUUAUAAAUGAAGUAUGUAUAUGUUGGAUUGAUGAUGAUGCCUUAUAAGAUGGCAAUGAGUAACAAUACUUUGAGAUAAUACAAAGAUGAAUAUUCAAUCGCCAUAAAUUAUUACUGAAACAUUCAUCAUUGAGUAUGUGGUUUUAGAAAUGAUGGUUAGGAUUAAUGAUCGGAAUCGCAUAAAUAGGCUUGCUUGGGCUUAGUGGGCUAUGCCCAUUGGGCCUAUGCGCCUGUCAUAGCCUGAAAUUUAGGUUGUGACAAAGGUGGUAUCAGAGCUCAUGGUUUAGCCAAGUCCUAGGGAUUCUUGUGUCAGUCAGCAAAGUUGUUAGAGUUAAUGUAGAGUCUUAUCUAUGGUUUGUGAUUGUAGCACAAGUCAUAGAUAGGAAGGUAUAUGAACUCCUAUUCCUAGUAACCUACCGUUUAGCUAUCAUCAUGUAAAGGGCAUAAAUGGUAUCGCUGCUCAGGUUUGAGAUGCCACUCGAGACACAAACCAUUAUUGGAAGGAUUUUUAAGCAAAUGCUCUUAAUGAAAGGUCAAUAUAAUGAUAUAUUCCUCCGACUAACGAUGGAGGAAGGUGGAGUUGGACUAUUAGGUCCUUAAUAAUUUAUUCAUUUGGUGGAAUUAUGAUUUGAACCCAUGGUUAAAAAAAAUUUAAAUUUUUGGAGACUAUGGAUUGUAUUUGAGGUCAAUAUAGGGAGGACGUACGAUAAGGGUAAUAAAAGCUGUAUUUUGACUUGAAUGAAUAGUGAUUGUUAUGACUCGCUUGAGGUUAUAAAUUUAAGUAUCGAGGAAAGUGUAACCAAUGUUUAUGUGCACAGAGGUAAGUGCACUAUGUUAAUUGAGCUUGACAUGCCCUUAUAGAAAUGGUGUGGGCUUUUGAUAUAUUUUAUAAGUGUAUAAAUGUUGAAUAUGUGUAUUGUAGCUUAAAUGGAGUUGGUUUUGAUUUCAACUAAGUGAUUGCGAGAUUCCAAGGCUUGAAUUGAAUUAGCUCAAGGGUGAAAAUCACGGAUUAUUAUAAUUGAUGUAUGGUCAUGAAGUAAAAAGGUAGUAAAUGAUCUACUCCAAGGAUGAGCUUCAAUUUUGCUAUGCUUAGUGUGGAGCCAAAGGAUUAAAGGACUAGAUGUGGAUUUAGCAGUUUGAAAUUAAAUGACAUGGAAAUGACAAAUUUAGUCUAAGUGCCAUAUGGGGUUCUAUAUGAAGAUCGAUAUAUGAAUUGCUUUAAAUGUCAAUUUAAAAAUAUGUUUGGUUCAAUAUGCAACCUAUGAUGUAAAUGAUUAGUCUUGAAUGUAACUUCUCCAAAGGUAAGGGACUUAAAACAUGUGGAUUUUCGAAUAUUCUCUAAGAGGAAGUUUCUACAUCCUAAGCUUAAGAAAUUUUGAUCUUAUGACUGCAAAGGCAAGAUACAAAAAUUUUGUGAAUUGUUUAUCUUAUGGAUGCAAUUGGUUAAGAAUUGAUGAGUAAAGUCAAGAUCUCAACAGUAAGUGGUGUACAAUUUGAUAUAUGUGUAUCUAAGAGUAAAUUUGGAGAUCAUUGCUUAAUCAAUUUGCACUGAAUGUUAUGGUAAAGGUAUGCGAAUGCUAGUAGUGAAGUGUGCCCAAAGUGAGAUAUGUUGAGACUAAUGUUCCGAUUGCAAACUUGUGAUAGUAGGCUAGUUUUGCAAAUUGUGGUUUUUAUGACCAUGAAAUAUAUGGAGGUUACCAAUAUGUAAGCAUACACUUGAAGUUGUAUAUUUUGUGACUCGCAUUCAUUGUAUGGAAGGAGAUAUUCCAUAGAAGGAUUUGGCCUAAUUGGUGAUUAUAUGACUAUAGGCUUGGUAUGAGAUUGAGAAUGCCUUAACAUGUAUGAGAAGUGUGUUGCGAAAGGCUGAAAGUCAUUAAAACGAAUGAUGGGUGAAACAUAGGUGUUGUUAUGACGAGCAUAAAAAGCUCAAGGAUAAUCAAUGCAAUUAUAUUAAGUUAGUUUAAUUCGGUCCGAAAUAAGAGUAAGGACAUCUUGAAAGAUCUUAAAGUAAUGUUUAAUGAGGUUAAUGAGCUAAAUGUUAUCGAAUAUAUAUUAAAUUGUUAAAGUUAUGCGUGGCUUUGAAGAUAAGCCUUUGAUUGUCCGAGUCCUCAAUAGAAUUCUAUUAAAAGAUGUGCUUAAGCAUUUUGGAAGUGUAUUGGAAAACAUAAGAAUAAUAUACUAGUUUGACUUGCUAUAAGAGGUCGAAUUUGGAUGGCCAUGAGUGGCUUGUGAACAAUCAAGUAGUGUAAAGUAUGUGCUCAUAAAGGGAGCUAUGAUUGGUAGAUAAUAGUAUAACUCUAACGAUGAGAUUGUGUUCACUGCUUUAGGCAUUGAACUAUAAGUUAUGGACUGAUAACCACUUUGUGAAUACCCUGAUGAGAUAAAUUCGAAAGACUUUUCACAAUGAGAAAACAUUAAAGCUCAAAGAGUAAAUGGCUAUAUAGUCAAGUUGGGCUCGUGACUGACAUGUCACAUAAGUAUGAAGAUAUGAUAUAAGCAUAAGUAUACUUGGAAAUACUGGUUUGAGGCAAUGAUUAUCCUACAGUUUUGUGGACCUGAUGAGGUUUUGGUCUCGACAUAAUUGUAGACGCAAAGCAUAAAUUAUGAAAUGUGCUUCCCUACAAGUUCCAAUUUAUUUUGAGUAACUAUCAAGGUAAAAUGCUUGAUAGGGAUAGUGGAAGGUUGAAUUAUGCUUCAAAUGUUUAGAAAAGGAGGUAACAUGGUUUGAUUAAAUGAUACUACCCUUGGUAAAGGAAUAAAAAUACGUUAUGGCAAUUGCAGAGAUCUACUUAGAAAAAAAAAAUGAUGAUUUGAGAAUUCAAGUACUCGUAUAUGAGUAAAGAUUUGGUAAUGAGACAUGACCUAAAGUUGGAAUACUACAAUAUGAAUUUUGACUAAGAAAAUCGACUUAUAAAACAUGUGGUGUUUGGAGAUGGUGCCAAUUAGUGGUUGACUCUUGUAUGAGAAUGGAAUAUUGAAAUCAGCUUUGUGUAUUCACCACAAAUGAUGAGCAUGAUCUAACCAAGUAAAAGAAGAAAUGACUCUAAACUUGAUUGUUAGUUAUUUUGGUUUUACAGAUGGCUUAUUGUGCUUGACAUGCCUAAGGCUACCUGAAGUUAAAAUUUUUGGAAAAAUAUAUAUGUAUGGAUAUAUAUGUUGCAUAUUGGUACAAAAAAAAAAGGCUCAUACGGAGUUAGUUAUAAUUUGAUUCGAUGAUUAUACUUUAUCAAUGGUUAUAGUGCUAGACAAUGAUUAAGAUAAUUUAUCACUGAUUUUGGCAGUGACCAAGUGGAUUAUAAUGUUGUUAACGUAAAAAUAAGUGUUUAUACUUUUGGCAUGAGUUCAUUAAAUUCUAUUAUGCCAUGAUAAAACUUGGUGUUUUGAUAUAGCCUGAGAGGCUUGGCAUAUGAACUAGCUUAAUUGUAAGCUAGAAAUUGUUAGGUUAUUAUGAAGUACACAAAUGGAGAAGUAUGCAUGAAUUUAAUAUUCUAAAGAGUAAUGGAAAAUGAUGUAUUAGUUUUGGUAUAGCUUCAAUAUAUAUAGUUUUGAUAUAUAAAGAUGUGGGAAAAGUUUGUAGCUUAUGCGUAAAGGUGUUCAUUUGAAUUCGUGUAAUUAAAAAUGUAAAAUCUGCCUGGAUUGAUAUAAAGCUCAUGAUUCAAAAUGAAUGAUUAUGGAUUUAAUUAUCUAAGGUAAAAAGGACUAAAAAAAGUUAAUAUUAGAAAGGUCUUAAUAGAUGAUUCUUAAAUUUUAAAGUGCAUUUAAGGAGAGAUAAAUGUUUAAUUUGAUCUUCAGAUUGAUAAACUAAUGAGGCCAUGAGAUCUGAUGUUUGGAGUAAAUUUGAGAAAUACCAAGUUAGAUAUGUUGUAGGUGAUUGAUGACGAGCAAAUUAGCUAUGACAUUGGAAAUAUAGAAAUGAUUAGUAAUCAAAAUGAAAGUUGGAAAGGAACUUUAAAGGGAAAAUUUUGAGCAACUUUAAUCUUGAGAGGUUGAGUUAUUGAUUAAAGAGAUUGGUUAAGACUAUAAGGGAGUAUGUGGAAUGUCAUGAUAUAUUGAAAUGCCUUGUGGUAUAAGUUGAGAUUUAUCUAGUGAGCACUCGAUCAUGAAAGUAUUGGAGUUUGUUUUUUGGAAUAUGAUGAUUAAUGGUUACUAGCUUUGAAUCAUCUUUGAUAUUAAAACAUAAAUGAAAUGAAUAAAGAGCGUUUGAUUUUUAUGUAUUGUGAAAUGCUUAAAUGAAAUUUGCAUGGGAGAAUAAAAAAAAAUGAAAUAGAGAUUGAUUGACAAAUUAGACCCAUAGUCAAUGGUGGAAUAGAUGCUUGAAUAUUGGAAGGGUUGACAAAGGAGCAAGGUAGAGGAGUUACGGAUGGUUAAGUAAACAUGCAUGAUUAAUGAUUUAAGGAUGAUUUGAUUGAGGUGUGACCAGAGUUAAUAGCAUAUUUGAAUUCUCUGCAUAAGAUAAAGAAUGAUAUUAUUUUGAUCCAACAAGAGUAGUACACAUAAAUAUAUACUACGACAUCAUUGAGUUUUCUAUACGAUUAGAAGUAGAUAUGAUGCAUAAACCAAUAUUCUAUGUUAAGAAUGCCCGAUGAGAGUGAUGUGGCAGAACUUUAGAACUUUGAUUAUUCACCCUACGUCGAUUUGAAUUUGAGGACGAAUUCAUUUUAUGUAGGGGAGACUAUAGUAACCUGUAUUUUGAUUCGGUGGCUAAUAAAGUUUACGGAUGCCAAUUGAAGUUGAUUACUGAGUUACAAGGGUAAUUCAGAAGUGAACCUGUGAAAUCUUGACCUCUAUAAACACAUAACUAGAACUAGACAUGAUAAUGCGGACCAGGGGUAAUUUCAUAAUUUCUCUUGGUAAGCUCCUACGAGUGGGUUUUUUUAUGCUAUUAAGGUCUAAAUAGGCCUAAGGAAUGAAUAAAUGAUAUUUAUGAUGGUAAAUAAAUGAGGAAAAUUAAAAGAAAGAUAAUUUCGAUGGUAAGGGCAAAAUGAUCAUUUUGCAUCUCGGGUUUAAAUUUUGUUUUUUGUUUCGUGAGCUUGAGUAUCAUUAGACUAUUAUGGACUUUAUUCCAGUGUCGAAAGAGCAAAAAGGUUGUACAAAGGAUGGGAGGAAGACAAAGCCACCAUGUUAAGGGCAUUUUGGUAAUUUUGGUGAAAAUUUGGAUUAACUUGAAGCAUAAAUAUCUAAGCUCUAGCAGCUUCUCCUUUUUCUUCCUCCUCCCCUUUCACAUUCCUUUUAUCCUCCAUGGAAGCUUGCUUUGCAACUUCCAUAACUUUCUCUCUCUAGCUUUAAAUUUCAUGCUUUUGCCCACUCUUUCAUAUGGUUUUUCAUGCUCUUCCACUUUUACACCUUAAAACCCUCAAAGUUUUUGUUCAGCAUUUUCUUUCACUAGCUGAAAGUUUUAGAGAAAGAAAGAGAGAUUUGCCAUAGUAGCUUGGAAGCUUUUGAAAAGGAAUUCAACUACAAAAAAAAAACCACCAAGGUGAGAAAUGAGUUAGAAUUUGAUUUUAAGGUGUUAGAGAUGGCUAAAAAUUUGAUUUAUAGGCUGUUAUAUCUUUUAUUGUUAUAUUAUGGGUGAUAGGUUCCAACAAGGCCUCACAUGUCCGUUUGAGGUAAUAAUCGAAGUUCGAGUCGAUUAGAGGUUCAACAAUCUCGGUGAGUGAACUUGCAUUUCAAAAUUGUUUAGGGAAUGUGAAUGUAUUUGCACAAAACCUUUAAAUGAUUUUAUCCCAUUUUUCUUAAAAAUGGUGCCUUGGGAACAAGCCCUUGAUAAAUUGUCUCUAUCUGUGACAUGUGGCUAUUAUGGAUUCUUGUACUACAUUAUCUUGAUAUAUAUAUAUGUUAUGCAUUGAUGGUUGAUAUUGUGUGAUAAUGAUAACCGUGUGUGUGCACGAUAUGGAGGGAUGCACAUGCCGGUGAUGACAGUGGUGAGGGAGAUGGAUGAUGAUAGUGCCCGUGUGCACGAUGCGGGGGGAUGUACACGAUGGCACUGAUUGUGCACGAUGUGGAGGGAUGCACACGAUGACUCCGGCUAUGUGCAUAAUGUGGGGGGAUGCACAUGAGCUGGGUGAGAUAAUGGUGGUAUUGGUGUUUAAUUAUGUAUAUAUAUAUAUAUAUAUAUAUAUAUAUAUAUGUUUGUGAAAUAAAAGUUCAUGAAUAUAGUAUAUGGUUGUAAUGCAUGUGAAUAUUUGGCAUGUUGAACUUUGGAAAUUUUUGAGCAUUUCAUGUUGAAAUUGGCAUGAUGAAUCUUGAGAAUGUCACAUUUUCUUGCAAAUUUAGUUUAUUGCAACACCAAAUGGAUUUUUAGUGCACAGGAGGUCCUUUUACAUUAAAGUGCCCUGCUUCUCACUGCAACGAGAAACAUUCUUUUUUGGUAGCCAAAAACUCGCUGCAGCGAGAAUAAAUCUCACUUCUGCGAGAAACUCUCAAGUUCUACUGCAGUACUUUCAGUUUGAUGAAGAUUUGGACCACCUUCCCAUCCAAAAUGGGAAAAGUGAUAAACAUUAAAGUUGUAGCCCUGCCUCUUAGCUUUCUAAUGGCUAAAAGUCAGGUCAAUUAGACUUCUAUAGUUGAAGAUAUGCUAGAAAAACUGAAACACAUGCAAACUGAUACUGUUUCUCACUGCAGCGAGAAUGAACUUCGCUGCAGCGAGAAACAUUCUGUCCUGCAUGCUACCCUAUUCAAUUUUUGACAUAUUUUUCACCCAUUUAACUUCAUGGAUUGAUCAUGAGUUGUUGCAACACUAUGAGGUUAUUAAUCAAAGUUUGAAAUGAGGGGUUUUUAGUAAGAAAUUAAAUCAAUUACAUUGUUUUUUAAACAAAUGCAUCAUGAUUUCCAAAUUCUUCCUAUUGAUUGCUUGUUCCCUUCUUAUAUUCACUCACUAAGUUUAUACUCACGUUUUUAAACUUCAUGUUUUUAGAUUCAGAGGCAAUUGGGACCUAGAUUGAGUCGCACACAUAUGCUCGCCUUCUUGGUAGGUACUAUAGCAUCUCAGUAGCGGUACCUUCACUUAAAGUCACUCUACUGAUGGUUAAGAGUCUUUUAUCUGUGUACAUGUAUAUGGAAUGUAAACUACUAAGAGUCAUGUUAUAAAUGAAGUAUGUAUAUGUUGGAUUGAUGAUGAUGCCUUAUGAGAUGGCAAUGAAUGACAAUACUUUGAGAUAAUACAAAUAUGAAUUUUCGAUCUCUAUAAAUUAUUACUGAAACAUUUAUCAUUGAGAACUAAAAUAUGUGGUUUUAGAAAUGCUGGUUGGGAUUAAUGAUCAAGAAUGCAUAUAUAGGCUUGCUUGGGCUUAGUGGGCUAUGCCCAUUAGGCCCAUGCCCCGGUCAUAGCUUGAAAUUUGGGCUGUGACAUAUACCCAUCAAAAUGAUCUCUAGUAUGUUUUUAAUGACGGUAACUUUUGUUCUGCCUUUAUCUAUCCUUCACCAAACGAAAAAGCCAACUUUAGUUGUAUGAGGUUAUGUUUCUUUGAUUAGGUCUUGCACCUUAUCAUUACCCACACCAUCCACCCUCACAGCUCAAACUACUUCAUUGUCACUAGGAGGACCUUUGAUUCCUUUUUAAUGUCAAAUUCAACCGUCGUUUUGAUAUUGCCAAAUUUAUCACGGAGGACAUGCUCUACACCAUACGAUGAGGCAUCAAAAACCUCAUUUAUGGCAUGUUGAUUAAUGAAAUUGUUGACUACUUCACUGCUAACACCCACUGUGAUCAACCCAAAACCCAUGCCGUAUUCAAUCCUAUGGAUAAGCACGCCAUCAAGAAAUUGGGUUUUGAAUUCAAAAAUAGCACCUGGGUGAGAAAAAGGACAAUCAAUCUUCUAGUGUUUGAUAAUGAGGUUCAUGAGGGAAAUGAAGGGAAUGAAGGUGAGUUGAGAACAUAUCCUAGUGGCCCAUCUAGUGCCUAAUCUAAUGCACCUAUGUCCACCACUUUUGACGUUGAGCAUGCCUUCACUCGACUUUUCUCCUAUAUGGAAACAAUGGACUCUAGGUUGACUACGGGUAUGGAUGUCUGGAGGUACAAAAUCAUGAGAUAUUGCAAUGCCAACAAGGCGUGGAGGAUGAGCUCCAUUCUUGAUUUCCACCACUACAAUGAGUUCUCAUGGGAGACAUUCUUCACCUCAAUUUUGGAUUGCUCGAUUGGAUGGCUACAUGUGCAUCUCUUUUUCAUGCAUCAUGUAAUUUUGGAUACAUUUAGUUUGCUUUUCAAAUGUAUAUUAAGCUAUCCAUUUAUAAUUUUCAGUAUUUCGGAUAUGUUGAGUUGGUUGCUAUUUUACACUCUUUGAUGUUUACCUGGAUGUCAUGCUCACUAUAUUUCACUAGUUACUACUUUACGAUUAUCCAUUAUUCCUUUUACCGUAUUACUUCCAUCUCCUUCCAAUUCACAACACUUACUCUUUGAUAAGACAAAAAGGGAGAGAAUGAGUUAAAAUUUGUACUUGAUCUCCACAAAAACAAGUUUUUAAAUGCAAAGUUUUAAGGGGAGUAAUUUUACAACACCUUAACGCAUGAAAUCAAGGGGAGUUUUUCAAAGAAACAAAAACAAAUUUUGCUUAAUUGUUUUGUCCCAUCAAAAAAAGGGAGAUUAUUAAAUUUAAUGCUUCAUUUAAUUCUAAGUUUUAAUUUGACAAACAAGUGCUCAAAAUUGUUUUUUAGAUGUUUAAACAAGUCCAAACGGUCCUUGAAGAAGGUUUAAUGAAAUAUCUAAGCACUUUAAAUAGAAAACAAAUAAAAAGUCUCUUCAAAUUUAAAAACUGCUUUCAAUCUAUCAAUAGAUGUUCUUUAUCUAUCAAUAGAUAAGCUUAUCUAUCGAAUAAUGAACAAAAUCUAUCGAUAGGUGGUUCUUUUAGCACUUAGACAAUCAAGGACUAUGAACAUCAAUCGAUAGAAGUGCGGCAUCUAUGGAUAAAUAGUCAAUCGUGAACAAUAUAAAAGGACCCUGACUUGAAUCUAUCAAUAGAUACACAGUAUCUAUUGAUAGACAAGCACCCGAGGACAGUUCAAAAGGACCUUAACUUGCAUCUAUCGAUAAAUGCGUUGUAUUUAUCAAUAGAUAGUCACCUGAGGAUACUUCAAAAUGAUCCUAAGUUGAAUCUAUAGAUUGAUACUUACAUCUAUUAAUAGAUGGGCACGAAUUUGAAAAUUAUUAAAGCCAAUCUAUCGAUAGAUCGAGAAGUUUACUGAUUUAUGAUAACCAUUAGAGCUUGAAAUAAUGUGCUGAACGGUUACUUUCACAUUUAAUGCAUCCCCAACCACCUCUGAAGUUUCAGCAACUACAAAUUCAAGCUCUCACAAUGUUUAUAAAGGUUGGAAGACUCUAACACAAAACUCCAAAAAACAAAUUCAGCUAAAAUCAUUCAAUACUCUUUGUACUCUUUUUUCUUACAUUUAAGUCUUAUAUUGUAUCAUCUAUUGAGCCUUCAUUGCUUGUUCUUUCUCUCACCAAAUAUUGUACUUAACUUGUUACUCAGCCUUUAAGGGGAAUUCUAGCAACACUUACAUUUCUCUCAUUGUAUUCGCUUGAGUGGCUAUACCUUAACCAAUUGAAAAAGGUAGUUUUUGACUGGUUAUAUAUUAACCAGGAUAAAAGGAAGAAUGGUUGUGCUUUAACCAUAAAAAUUCAUUAUAUUGAAAAGUUGUGCUUGAACCACAAAAGGCAUUGUAUUGAAUUUUCUUCUAAAUAGUGGAUUUCAAAUUCCUUAGUAAAUCUAAGGAAGAAGACAUGGCCAAGGAAGCCGAACCUAUAUAAAAAUCAUUGUGUUAAUUUUUCUCUCGCACUUAUUUAAUAUUAUUUGUGUUUCUAACUCCUUUUAUUAGAUAAGAAAUCAAUUAUCUUGUUUAUUCACAAAAAGAGAAUUUGACUUGAAGGAACUUUAUUUUCUUUAAAUUGAAAAGAAAUCUUUCAAAAUAUUUAAAACAUUCUAAUUCACUCCCCUUUUGGAGCUAUACAACUUAAGCAUAUUACGCUAACAAAAAUAGGGGCAAAGGUAGCCAACAACUAUUAAGGGGUCAAAGAAGAAGAGGAAUAAAGGUCAAAAUUUUUUAAACUAAUAUGUUGAACGUAAUCAACAAUUUCUUCAUGAUUGAGCUCGAACGGCUUGAUGGCUCAAGUGUGGAAGAAUUAUUUGGACGAUUUACAUCUUUUUCUUUUGAAGAAUUUGUCAAUUGUUUUCAAUUUACUCAUACUUUAAUCAAACCUAAAAACAUUAAUGCAGUCAAUUUCUAAUAUUUUUAUUUAUUUCUAUUUAAACUUAUAAUGCUAAAUAUAAAACUAUAAUGCAUAAAGUAUAAAAAAAUUAAAUACUAUAUACAAGAUUUCACACAAUGAUUAAAUGUAUAAAUAGUUAAAUAAUAUAAAUAGAAAAAAAGAUAAAAAAAUCUAUCUCUUUUUAAUUUCACACAAUAGUGGUGAAUGGUCUCGUCCGUCAUUGUCCAAGCUCACAAGCUUCUAAAUCUCUUUUGAAGAAUGAAGUGUGUUUCAAUGUUGAGUUAUAGAGAAUAGAUUAACGUAAAAAUAAAAAAAAAGAAUAGAAAAAGAAAAAGACAAAGGGAGAAAGAGAAAAAAGUGAGGAGAAACUUAAGAAUUAGUUUAAAAUUGAGUAAGGCUUGUUUGGUCAAUUCAUUAUUUUUUUAUUUGUAUUAAUUAUUAAAUAAAAAUUUGUUUUGACAAAAUCAUUUAAAAUAUAUUUAAUAAAUAAAUAAUUUUAAAAAAAUAUGAAUAAAAAAUAAAAAAUUUUAAAAAUAUAUAAUAAAUAAAAAUUUUUCAAAUUUUUAGGGAGGUAAAAACACAUUACCCUCCACCCUUUAUUCGAAACCUUUUAGAACUAAAGAUCCUUCAAUAAUUCCUUUCUUUUUAUCAGCAGUCAUCAUGGUCGUUAUCUUUGCCAACUAUCUGAUUAUCUUUUCUUGAGCCUUCUCCAUGUUGUCCAUCUGAUUUGACUUUUUGUCUCCCAUGAUUCUAGCUUGGAAUCAUGUGUUGUAUAAAUGGUGAAUGGACUCCCUUGAACUAUUCCUUUACCACAAGAUUUCUCCUUUACACAAACAAAUUAGGUUGAAUGACAAAUUUUGCUCUACCAAAAAUCUUUUUAGAUUUCUCCUUUCUCAUUUAGAAAGAAAUCAUUAUCCUUUAGGAUUAACAACAUUGUUGCUUUCUUCUUCAUUGAAUGUGGUAGAGUCAAAUGAUGCUAUGUACAACAUAGGUGAAUGAGUGAUGACAAAAUCAAUAGAUACAUGAAUGUAAAAAUGCUUGAAUGCAUGAAAGGGUGAUUACAUGUAUGUAGAUGAUGAAUGAAUGAUUUGAAACACAAAGAUGUUUGCUCAUGAAUGGACAAUGAAACUUUAUAUGCAUGAUGGAGUAUAAUGAAAAUAAAAUCAUUAAUAAGUGCAUGGAAGCUAGAAAUGUGAUGAUGACUUAAUGAAUGAUUGAUAUGAAGUGAUGUGAAGUUGAAAUGUUCCUGAAGAACUUACAAAAAAUGGAACUUAAUAUGUACAACAUGGGCACAAUGAAAACUAAAGUUUUGAUGAAUAUGAAAUAUAAUAAUAAAAAAUAAAGUAAAAUAAAACUAUGUAAAGUAAGGAUCAAAAGAUUUUCUUAAGAUCACUUUGAUAAAAAUUAUAUACAUUUGUUAAAUUUUUUUAUCAACAAACAAGAUGUUAGGACAAAUUUGUUUCUUCAUGUACAUUAAUUUUCGCAGCCCAAUGUUUGGGCCAUGACCAACUCAUGGGCCCAAUGGGCAUAGCCCAUUAAGCUCAAGCAAGCCUUCCCGUAUGAACCUGUACAUCAGCCCUUUUAUCAUCCAUAUUCCCUUUUAAGUUCUAUAAAUCAUAAUGUUCAAAUAAUAACUUCAUUGAAAUCGAUUCAUAAAAUCUAAGUAUAUACUCAUAAGGGUAUUCAUCAAUCAUAAUAUACAUAAAAAGUUUGCCAAACGAUUCUUAGCAAAUCACAUACAGUUUACAUGUACACAUUCAAACACUCUGAAUGUUAGCCGAGUGACUCUAGGCAUGGGGGCUAACACUUAGUAUCAUGGCAACCCUACCGAACAAUAGAUAAAAAGGAGCACCUCAACCUAGGAUCCAAUCACCUCUCAAUUUAGAAAACCUAAAACAUGAAGUUAAAAAGAGUGAGUAUAAACCCAAUGAGUGAACGUAGAAAGGGAACAAGCAUUAAUACGGGAAGUUUUAAAAAACAUGAUGCACUUAUGUUGAAAAUAAUACAAUUUAGCUUAAUUUCUUCUCACAACAAAAAUCCAUUUUCGCUAUAGUGAAAAUCAAUUGGAAAACAUUUCUCAAGUUUUAACAUUCAAUAAUCGAUGCAACCACAAUAUAAUUUCAUAACCUCUAUAUAUAUAAUAUAAAUAUAAACAUAAAUACGACCACCGGCCUCACCCUAACUCUCCCUCAACUGGGUCAUCAUCAGCUCAUGUGCACUGCUACACCGCACAUGGAUAGGUCGUCAUCAGCUCAUGUGCACUCCUACACUGCACAUGGAUGGGUCGUCAUCAGCUCAUGUGCAUUCCUACACCGCACAUAGCUAGGUCAUCAUCAGCUCAUGUGCACUCUUACACCGCACAUAGCUGGGUCAUAAUUAUCACACAAUAGUAUCAUUCAAUGCAUAAAAUACAUAUUAACAUAAUGUGGGAACAAAUGAAUUCAUCACAUUCAUAUUUCAUAACAUAACAACGUUUCAUCGAGGGCUUGUUCCCAUGCAACUUUUAAUGAAAAACUAACAAAUAUUUCACGUAGCUCAAUCAAGCAUAUAAAUCACUUAUUGCAAAACAUUUUAAUGCAAGUUCACUCACCGAUCCUCGUUGAUUCUUAAAUUGACUCCAACUCCCACUAAUGGUCCUAAUGGAGAUGUGGGGUCUUGUUGGAACCUAUCACACAUAAUAGCAUCACAAAUCAACUCAAUUCACAUAACGGUAAUUCUAAAGGCUAUCUACUAAAUCAUGUUCUACUAGUUAUUCCUAGCUAACUCCCAACUACCAUUAAGUGGCUAUCUAUUUUUACUAUUCUAGUCACACUAAAAUGAAUAAACCACCUCAACUACAAAACACUCACAAAUCUAACCACUAGUCAUUCUCAAUAACUUAAAAAUCAACUCAAUUCUUUUACUCAUCUUGGUAGCUUUGUAAUUGAAUUCUUUUUCAAAAGCUUUCAAACUAUUAUGAAAAAUCUUUCUUUCUCUCUCUAAAAUGUCCAACUAGUGAGAGAAAGUAUUAAAGAAAGGCCUUUGAGGGUUUUAAGGUGAAAGAGUAAAAGAGCACAAAGGAUCUUGUAAAAAGGUGCACAAAAGUAUGAAAAUUCGGGUUAACUUGAGAAAAUUUAUGGAGGUUUCAAAGCAAGCUUCCAUGGAAGGUGAGAAAACGUGAGAAAGGAAGAUGAAGUUGCUAGAAACUUAGAUAUUUAUGCCUAAUGUUUAUACAAUUUUUCACGACAUUACCAAAAUGCCUUUACCAAGGUCACUUUGUCUUCCGUUUACCUUUGUACAAUCUUUUUACUUCUUUGACACUAAGACAAAGUCCAUAAUAGUCUAGAAAUACUCAGGUUCAUGAAAACUUAAAAAUUUUGACUCAAGAUGCAAAAUGACCAUUUUACCCCUACUAUGAAAAUUAUCAGUAUUUCUAUCUUCUUCAUUUAUUUUACCAUCAUUCAUUUAUUCCUUAGGUCUAUUUAGACCUUAAUAACAUUUGAGAGCUACUUCCAAGAGCUCACCAUGAGAAAUGAUGAAAUUGCCCCUAGUCCAUGUUAUCGUAUCUACUGCUAGUUAUGGGUCUAUAAAGGUCGAGGUUCCACAGGUUCACUUCCGAAUCACCUUUUUAACUCGAUAAUUAACCUCAAUUGGCAUCCAUAAGCUUUAUUAGCCACCACAUCAAAGUACGGGGUACUACAGUCUCCCCCAUUUAAAAUGAAUUCAUCCUAGAAUUCAAAUCAACGUAGGGUGAAUAGUCAAAGUUCUAAAAUUCUACCACAUCACUUUUGUCGAGCAUUCUUAACAUAAGAUCUUGGUUUAUGCAUUAUUUCAACUUCCACUCUUUAUAGAAAACUCAACAAUGUCAUAAUACAUUUAAUAAUUGGUACUACUCUUGUUGGAUCAAAAAAAUAUCAUUCUUCAUCUUAUGAAGAGAAUUCAAAUAUGCUAUUAAUUCUAGUCACACCCUAAUCAAAUCAUCCUUAAAUAAUCAAUUAUGCAUGUUUACUUAACCAUCCACAACUCCUUUAUCUUUAUCUUUUAUCAAACCUUUCCACAUUCAAGCAUUUCAUAAUACAUAAGGGUCAAAACACGCUUUAUUUAUUUCAGAUAUAUUUAACAUCAUGGAUGAUUCAAAUCUAAUAACCAUUAGUAACCAUAUUCCUAAAAACAAACUCUAAUACUUUCAUGAUCGAGUGCUCACUAGAUAAAUCUCAACUUAUACCACCAAGCAUUUUAAUAAACCAUGACAUCCCACAUAUCUUCUUAUGAUCUUAACUAAUCUCUUUAAUUAAUAACUCAACCUCUUAAGGUUAAAGUUGCUCAAAAUUUUUCCUUUAAAGUUCCUUUCCUAGUCUCGUCUUGAUUACUAAUCAUCUCUAUAUUUCCAAUGUCAUAGCUAAUUUGUUCGUCAUCAACCACAUACAACAUAUCUAACUUGAAAUUCCUCAAACUUACUCCAAAUGUCAGAUCUCAUGGCCUCAUUAGUUUAUCAAUCUGAGGAUAAAAUUAGACACUGAUCUUUCCUGAAAUGCAGUUUAAAAUCAAGGAAUCAUUUACUAAGACCUCUCCUAAUUUAACUUCUUUUAGCCAUUUUUACCUUAGAAAAUUAAAUCCAUAAUCAUUCAUUCUAAAUCUUGGGCUUUAUGCCAAUCAAGGCAGAUUUUACACUUUUACUUACACGAAUUCAAAUGCACACCUUCAUGCAUAAGCUAUAAACUUUUUCCCAAAUCUUUAUAUAUCAAAACUAUAUAUUAGAGCUAUACCAAAAUUGAUACAUCAUUUUCCAUUGCUCCUUAAGAUGUUAAAUUCAUGUCAUACUUCUCUAUUUGUGUAUUUCAUAAUAGCCUAACAAUUUCUAGCUCACAGUUAAGCUAGUUCAUAUGCCAAGCCUCUCAGGCUAUAUCAAAACACCAAGUUUGAUCACGAUAUAAUAGAAUUUGAUGAACUUAUACCAGAAGUAUAAACACUUAGUUUUAAGUUAACAGCAUCAUAAUCAACUUGUUCACUGCCAAAAUCAGCGAUAAAUUAUCUUAAUCAUUGUUUAGCACUAUAAUCAUUGAUAGAAUAUCAUCAUCGAAUCAAAUUAUAACCAACCCGUGUGAGCUUUUGUACCAAUAUGCAACAUAUAUAUCCAUACAUAUAUAUUUCCAAAAAUUUUAACUUCGAGUAGCCUUAGGCAUAUCAAGCUUAAUAAGCCAUCUGUAAAACCAAAAUAACCAACAAUCAAGUUUAGGAUCAUUUUUUCUUAUAGUUUAUUAGAUCAUGCUCAUCAUUUGUGGUGAAUACACAAAGUUGAUUUCAAUAUUCCAUUCUCAUACGAGAGUCAACCACUAAUUGGCACCAUCCCUAAACACCACGUGUUUUAUAGUCGAUUUUAUUAGCCAAAAUUCAUAUUGUAGGAUUCCAAUUCUAGGUCAUGUCUCAUUACCAAAUCUUUACUCGUAUAUGAGUACUUGAAUUCUCUUUUCUAAGUAGAUCUCUACAAUUCCUGUAGUGUAUUUCUAUUCCCUCACCAGUAGUAGUAUCAUUUAAUCCAAUCGUAUGACCCUCGUUCUCUAAACAUUUGAAACACAAUUUAACCUUUGCCUACCCUUAUCAGGCACUUUCCCUUGAUAAUUACUCAAAAUAAAUUGGACUUGUGGGGGAAGCACAUUUCACGAUUUUUGUCUUGCGUCUACAAGUAUAUCGAGACCAUAACCUCAUCAAGUCUACCUAAUGGCAAGAUAAUCAUUGCCUUAAACCAACAUUUCCAACCAUCAUUAUAUUUGCAACAUAUUUUUAUACUUAUGUGACAUAUUAGUCACGAGCCCCAAUUUAACUAUAUAGCCAUUCACUCUUCGAGCUUUAGUGUUUUUCUCAUUGUGAGAAAUCUCUCGAAUUUAUCUCACCAGAAUGUUCAUAGAGUGGUUACAAGUCCAUAACUUAUAGGUCAAUGCCUAAAGCAGUGAACACCAUCUUAUUGUUAAAGUUUUAUCCUUAUCUAUCAUUCAUAGCUCCCCUGCACAUUUACCUAUACAUUUAUGGGUUACUCACAAGCCACUCAAGGCCAUCCAAAUUCGACCUCUUAUAGCAAGUUAAGCUUGUAUAUUCCCUUAUGCUUUUCAAUACACUUCUAAAAUGCUUAAACACUUCCUUUAAUAAGGUUUUAUUGAGGACUUAAUAAUCCAAAGCUUAUCUUCAAAGCCACUCAUAACUUUAACAAUUUAAUGUAUGCUUAAUUUUUGCUCAUUGACCUCGAUAGACAUUAUUUAAAGAUCUUCCAAAGUGUCCGUGUUCUUAAUCCUGACCAUACAAUCUAACUUAGUAUACUUGCAUUGAUUUUCCUUAAGCUUAUUAUGUUCGUUAUAACAACAUCCACAUUUCUCUCAUCAUUUAUCUUACUUUUUGUUCACUCUUUCCUUAGUCUUUAACAAGGCUUAAUCUCUUGUCUCCCUUAUUUCUUAGGUUUUGACUUUAGUUAGCAUAAUGUUUAUCUUAAUAUUUCACAUGGUAAUUUAUAUAAAAAAACUCUCCAACUUCUCAUUUACCUACAUGCCAAUAUAUAAGACCAUAAAGAAACUUCCCAAUUCAUUCAUAUAAAUACCUUCCAAAACCUUAAAACUCCAAUUAACGAAGCUUAUCAUCCAGGCCAAUGACUUUAAUUCAAUUUGUAAGUUCAACUUCACACCUUUCACAUCUUAUUCAUGCAUCCUAAACAUGAGGUGUUCCCAGCGCUACGGCAUGAUGGCUGUUGAAGUUUACUUAAUCAACAGUAUUCGUCUACAUUUAAGGUUACUACAUUAAUCAUCCUCAACCGUUGGUGUUCCUCCAGGCUUACAUUACAAUUUUCACAACCAUUUAUAUUCUCUUGUGCUUAUCACAUAUAAUAGACCAAGCGAAUAUUUUCAAAUUCACCUCAUUCUUUAACACUAGUCAACCAUAAAUAAAUCCCACCUUAGAACAUUGUUUUCAUUUGUAUAAUGACUUCACCACAUACGUAUAACACCACACACACCAUUAUUCACUGUUUCUAGUGUUCCACAAUUCCUUAGUAUUCACAACUAAUUGUCUUUCUUAUCUUAUAACUCAAAUAGUUUAACCACUUCAACUUAAUAUCAUCAUGAAUUUUGUCCAUCUUGAUCAUUCUAUUUAUGUUCACAUUAUUACUUCGAAAUUCUAGAAUUUAUUCUUCCCCCAUUAUCAUAAUUAUUGCCAAUAAUGUAUAUUAUGUUAAUUAGUAUCAUAUAGUACCAUCUAUGCAACCUAUGAUGACCCAAAUUCCGGGCCAUGACCGGCGCAAGGGCCCAAUAGACGUAGUCCAUUAAGUCCGAGCAAGCUUAUCUAUCUAUCCCACUCAUCAUUCCAUCAAAUAUUGCUAAGUCACAAUUUAUAACUUUAAAUCAAAAUUUUGAUAGACAUUGCCAACUCGUAUUGGCAUUACUCAUUUAAAAUAUACAUACAUUAUCUACAGCAUGUAUCUCAAUAAUUUACAUCAAGUUUAUCUAUACAUAAAAAAAAAGACUCGAUUUCCAGCGGAGGGACUUGGACGAAUGUACAGCUACUGAAUGCCGAGACACCUACCAAAAUAUGGAUACAAGUCUACAAGGACACCUCGUCCUAGUUACCGACUGCCUCGUGAUCUGAAAACAUGAAGUUGAAAAUGGUGAGUAUAAACCCAGUGAGUGAACAAGAAAGGGAACAAGCAUACCAUAAGGAAUCUUUAAUGAAAUCAUGAUGCAUUCUUUUUCAAAACAAUGCAAUUUGUUUCUAUUCUUAUUAAAAACCCCUCAUCUAGCCCUUAAAUAAUUAAUCAAUUGUAAUAAUGAAUCCAUACAUAUAAAAUAAUUUGAAAAAUGAAAUCUUCAAUAUUACGCAAGCAAGUCAAAUACGACAACAAAUCUUCGCUGCAACGAGAAUGAAUUUUCGUUGCAGCGAUGUUGGGAUUAAGUUGUUAGCCGAACUAGGGUUUCUCACUAAACCUCUCCAUUUUAAACUUAACUCAUUUAAUCCUUAAUGUUGGAAGUCCAUGCUUCGGUAUGGUAGCAAAGAAGUGAAAGAUAGGGCAGCAAUUAGAGAAGAGAAGAGACCAAACCAGAAGGUUUUUCACUGCAGCAAGAAAGAAUCUCGUUGCAGCGAAAUUGUAACCCAGAAACAGAAGGUUUCUUGCUACAGCGAAAUUUCACUGAUGAAACAGAGAGUUUUUUGUUGCAGCGAGAAGCUACAGUGACUAUCUCGCUGCAGCGAGAACCAAUUCUGGUGAAGGUUCUCAAACCCGAGAGUUUCUCGUUGCAGCGAGAAUGAAUUUCGCUGCAGCAACAAUAGAAAAGUUUCCCCUCAUUCAACAAAAAGGCCAUCCUGCUAAACCAACAAAAUCAACAUACAACACAUGAAAAUUCCCAAAGUGCAAUGUAUCAAAUUUCUCACAUAUGUCAAUCAUAUAUCACAUUCAUAAGUUUUCAUUUCAUAAGUCUAGAUAUGCAUAAUUACAUAGAUAAACAUCAACAUCAUCAUAAACACACCNNNNNNNNNNNNNNNNNNNNNNNNNNNNNNNNNNNNNNNNNNNNNNNNNNNNNNNNNNNNNNNNNNNNNNNNNNNNNNNNNNNNNNNNNNNNNNNNNNNNNNNNNNNNNNNNNNNNNNNNNNNNNNNNNNNNNNNNNNNNNNNNNNNNNNNNNNNNNNNNNNNNNNNNNNNNNNNNNNNNNNNNNNNNNNNNNNNNNNNNNNNNNNNNNNNNNNNNNNNNNNNNNNNNNNNNNNNNNNNNNNNNNNNNNNNNNNNNNNNNNNNNNNNNNNNNNNNNNNNNNNNNNNNNNNNNNNNNNNNNNNNNNNNNNNNNNNNNNNNNNNNNNNNNNNNNNNNNNNNNNNNNNNNNNNNNNNNNNNNNNNNNNNNNNNNNNNNNNNNNNNNNNNNNNNNNNNNNNNNNNNNNNNNNNNNNNNNNNNNNNNNNNNNNNNNNNNNNNNNNNNNNNNNNNNNNNNNNNNNNNNNNNNNNNNNNNNNNNNNNNNNNNNNNNNNNNNNNNNNNNNNNNNNNNNNNNNNNNNNNNNNNNNNNNNNNNNNNNNNNNNNNNNNNNNNNNNNNNNNNNNNNNNNNNNNNNNNNNNNNNNNNNNNNNNNNNNNNNNNNNNNNNNNNNNNNNNNNNNNNNNNNNNNNNNNNNNNNNNNNNNNNNNNNNNNNNNNNNNNNNNNNNNNNNNNNNNNNNNNNNNNNNNNNNNNNNNNNNNNNNNNNNNNNNNNNNNNNNNNNNNNNNNNNNNNNNNNNNNNNNNNNNNNNNNNNNNNNNNNNNNNNNNNNNNNNNNNNNNNNNNNNNNNNNNNNNNNNNNNNNNNNNNNNNNNNNNNNNNNNNNNNNNNNNNNNNNNNNNNNNNNNNNNNNNNNNNNNNNNNNNNNNNNNNNNNNNNNNNNNNNNNNNNNNNNNNNNNNNNNNNNNNNNNNNNNNNNNNNNNNNNNNNNNNNNNNNNNNNNNNNNNNNNNNNNNNNNNNNNNNNNNNNNNNNNNNNNNNNNNNNNNNNNNNNNNNNNNNNNNNNNNNNNNNNNNNNNNNNNNNNNNNNNNNNNNNNNNNNNNNNNNNNNNNNNNNNNNNNNNNNNNNNNNNNNNNNNNNNNNNNNNNNNNNNNNNNNNNNNNNNNNNNNNNNNNNNNNNNNNNNNNNNNNNNNNNNNNNNNNNNNNNNNNNNNNNNNNNNNNNNNNNNNNNNNNNNNNNNNNNNNNNNNNNNNNNNNNNNNNNNNNNNNNNNNNNNNNNNNNNNNNNNNNNNNNNNNNNNNNNNNNNNNNNNNNNNNNNNNNNNNNNNNNNNNNNNNNNNNNNNNNNNNNNNNNNNNNNNNNNNNNNNNNNNNNNNNNNNNNNNNNNNNNNNNNNNNNNNNNNNNNNNNNNNNNNNNNNNNNNNNNNNNNNNNNNNNNNNNNNNNNNNNNNNNNNNNNNNNNNNNNNNNNNNNNNNNNNNNNNNNNNNNNNNNNNNNNNNNNNNNNNNNNNNNNNNNNNNNNNNNNNNNNNNNNNNNNNNNNNNNNNNNNNNNNNNNNNNNNNNNNNNNNNNNNNNNNNNNNNNNNNNNNNNNNNNNNNNNNNNNNNNNNNNNNNNNNNNNNNNNNNNNNNNNNNNNNNNNNNNNNNNNNNNNNNNNNNNNNNNNNNNNNNNNNNNNNNNNNNNNNNNNNNNNNNNNNNNNNNNNNNNNNNNNNNNNNNNNNNNNNNNNNNNNNNNNNNNNNNNNNNNNNNNNNNNNNNNNNNNNNNNNNNNNNNNNNNNNNNNNNNNNNNNNNNNNNNNNNNNNNNNNNNNNNNNNNNNNNNNNNNNNNNNNNNNNNNNNNNNNNNNNNNNNNNNNNNNNNNNNNNNNNNNNNNNNNNNNNNNNNNNNNNNNNNNNNNNNNNNNNNNNNNNNNNNNNNNNNNNNNNNNNNNNNNNNNNNNNNNNNNNNNNNNNNNNNNNNNNNNNNNNNNNNNNNNNNNNNNNNNNNNNNNNNNNNNNNNNNNNNNNNNNNNNNNNNNNNNNNNNNNNNNNNNNNNNNNNNNNNNNNNNNNNNNNNNNNNNNNNNNNNNNNNNNNNNNNNNNNNNNNNNNNNNNNNNNNNNNNNNNNNNNNNNNNNNNNNNNNNNNNNNNNNNNNNNNNNNNNNNNNNNNNNNNNNNNNNNNNNNNNNNNNNNNNNNNNNNNNNNNNNNNNNNNNNNNNNNNNNNNNNNNNNNNNNNNNNNNNNNNNNNNNNNNNNNNNNNNNNNNNNNNNNNNNNNNNNNNNNNNNNNNNNNNNNNNNNNNNNNNNNNNNNNNNNNNNNNNNNNNNNNNNNNNNNNNNNNNNNNNNNNNNNNNNNNNNNNNNNNNNNNNNNNNNNNNNNNNNNNNNNNNNNNNNNNNNNNNNNNNNNNNNNNNNNNNNNNNNNNNNNNNNNNNNNNNNNNNNNNNNNNNNNNNNNNNNNNNNNNNNNNNNNNNNNNNNNNNNNNNNNNNNNNNNNNNNNNNNNNNNNNNNNNNNNNNNNNNNNNNNNNNNNNNNNNNNNNNNNNNNNNNNNNNNNNNNNNNNNNNNNNNNNNNNNNNNNNNNNNNNNNNNNNNNNNNNNNNNNNNNNNNNNNNNNNNNNNNNNNNNNNNNNNNNNNNNNNNNNNNNNNNNNNNNNNNNNNNNNNNNNNNNNNNNNNNNNNNNNNNNNNNNNNNNNNNNNNNNNNNNNNNNNNNNNNNNNNNNNNNNNNNNNNNNNNNNNNNNNNNNNNNNNNNNNNNNNNNNNNNNNNNNNNNNNNNNNNNNNNNNNNNNNNNNNNNNNNNNNNNNNNNNNNNNNNNNNNNNNNNNNNNNNNNNNNNNNNNNNNNNNNNNNNNNNNNNNNNNNNNNNNNNNNNNNNNNNNNNNNNNNNNNNNNNNNNNNNNNNNNNNNNNNNNNNNNNNNNNNNNNNNNNNNNNNNNNNNNNNNNNNNNNNNNNNNNNNNNNNNNNNNNNNNNNNNNNNNNNNNNNNNNNNNNNNNNNNNNNNNNNNNNNNNNNNNNNNNNNNNNNNNNNNNNNNNNNNNNNNNNNNNNNNNNNNNNNNNNNNNNNNNNNNNNNNNNNNNNNNNNNNNNNNNNNNNNNNNNNNNNNNNNNNNNNNNNNNNNNNNNNNNNNNNNNNNNNNNNNNNNNNNNNNNNNNNNNNNNNNNNNNNNNNNNNNNNNNNNNNNNNNNNNNNNNNNNNNNNNNNNNNNNNNNNNNNNNNNNNNNNNNNNNNNNNNNNNNNNNNNNNNNNNNNNNNNNNNNNNNNNNNNNNNNNNNNNNNNNNNNNNNNNNNNNNNNNNNNNNNNNNNNNNAACAUCAAAAUUUUCAAUUUUACCCCUAAUGAACCCUCGAACUCCGAACAAUCAUUUUUAGUCAUUCCUUGACUAUAAAAUAUUAAAUUUCAUCCUACGAUUCCUAUUUGAACUAGUUCAAGGUUAAAUCAACUCAAGUGUACCGUUAGGUACGAUACCGGGUUUCGUCUAUUCUUAGGUACUUUCCUAGCAUAAUAACAUGCUACUCAAUGCAUGUAUGUCAUGACAUGUGUUUAUAGGGUCUGGUUUUACAAAAACACUCAUAAAUCCCAAUUACUAGCCAUUUUCUGUAGCUAAAAACCAAGCUUAAUUCAUCACUUACCCUAGGGCUCCUUUGUAGUCAAAUUCUCUUCCAAUUACUUCCAAAUCAAUGGGAUAAUUCUCUUUUUCUCUCUCUAAAAUGUCCAACUAGUGAGAGAAAGUGCAGAAAUGAGAUUUAUCAAGGGUUUUAAAGCAAGAGGAUGAAAUAGCACAAGGGUUUAUGGAAGGGUGCACCAAAAGCAUGACAAUUGAAGUUAGAGAGAGAAAGUUAUGGAAGCUUGAAGAAAACUCCCAUUGAGGAAUUGAAGAAACAUUAGAGAGGAGAAGGGAAGAAGAAGACCAGCUGUUGGAAAAUCUCUAGAAGCUGCUUGAAAUUCAAGAUAUUUAUAGCCAAUCUUAUCCAUUCCUUUAAUAUUCCGAAAAUGCCCCUCCACCAAUUAACUUAUCUCCCUUCAAUCUUUUAUGUAAUCAUUUUGCUCUUUUAACACUGGGACAAGAUCCAUAAUGGUCUAGACAUGUUCGGGUUCAUAAAAACUUAAAAUUUUAACCCAAGGUGAAAAAUAACCAUUUUGGCCCUGUUAUGAAAAUUGUUGAAACUUCUAGUUUUCUUCGUGUUUUCAUCAACACACAUCAUUUAUGCAGUCUUAUACCCAUUUAUGCCUUAAAAUAUAAUAAAACUUUCUGCUGGAAGCUUAUUAGAGAAAAUGAUGAAAUUACCCCUAGCUCGUAUUAUUACAUCUAUACUUAGUUACAAGCCUAUAGAGGUUGAGGUCUCACAUAACCCAUCAAGCACAUUGUGUUCAAAUCUCAAAUUGCUAAGAAUAAUUCUUUAUUCCCACCGAUGACAUGAGUAACUCCACAUAUACAUAUAUACAUCCAUUUCAAUGUCAACAUCCUUACCACGUGUAAGAACCCCUUCUUACUUUCCUCAAUUUUGACAUAUCUAUUCCCCAUUUCACCCUUUGUGGUAUGCCUAGAUUAUCUUUUAGGCAUAGUUCACUACUAGCAUUCAUAUACCUUUACCAUAAUAUUUGGCACAAAUUUGAUUAAACAAUGAUCUCCAAAUUUACUCUUAGAUACACAUAUAUCAAAUUGUACAUAACUUAGUGUUGAGAUCUUGACUUUACUCAUCAAUUCUUAACCAAUUACAUCUAUAGGAUAGGCAAUUCACUUAAUUUUUUAUGUCUUGCCUUUGCGAUCAUAAAAAUCAAAAUUUCCUAAACUUAGGAUUCAGAAGCUCUCUUUUUGAGCUUAUCCAAUAAUCCACAUUUCCCAAGUCCCUUACCUUUGGAAAAGUCACAUUCAAGGCUAAUCAUUUUCAUCAUAGUUUACAUACUUAAUCCACAUAAACUCCUAAAUCGAUCUUUAAAGCAAUUUGUGUAUCAAGCUCAAAUAUAAGACUCCAUAUGGCAUUUAGACUAAAAUCAACAUUUCUAAGUCAUUUAACUUCAAGCUACCAAAUCCACAGCUAACCCUUUAAUCCUUUGACUUCACGCUAAGCACAGCAAAUUCAAGCUCAUCCUUAGAGCAUAUUUGUUUACUAACCUUUUACUUCUUGACCACACAUGAAUUAUAAUAGUCAUUGAUUUUUCACCCUUGAGUUAAUUCAUGUACUUAUAACUAUACAUCAUAAUAGUUCAAAUCAAUUCUUGAGAUAUAGCAAUCACUUAAUUGAAAUCAAAGCCAACUCCAUCUAAGCUGCUAUACACAUAUUCAACACAUAUUUGCAUAAAUAUUUCGAAAGCCCAACACCAUUUAUAUAUGGGCAUAACAAGCUUAACUAACAUAGUGCACUCACCCCCGUGCACAUAACUAUUGGUUUACACCUCCCUCAAUGCUUAGAUUUGUAAACUUCAAGUGAAUUACAACCAUCAAUAUUCUUCCAGUCAAAGUAUGCCCUUAAUUACCAUUAUCACACGUGCUCCUCUAUAUUGACCUCAAAUGCAAUCCAUAUGUCACGACCCAAUUUCCCGGGUCAUGCCCGACGCAUGAGCUUAAUGAGCAUAGCUCAUUAAGCCCAAGCAAGCCUAUCCAUUUACCUUUGCUUAACAAAUUUAUCAUAUUAUGCAUACACACACACACCUUUUUUCGGGUGUGAACAUAGCCAAAACACAAUGGCAUUAUCGAUAAUAAUAUACAUGCACUAUACCAAUCAUGUAUUUAGCAAUUUACAUUGCAUACACAUAUUCACAUUGUUAGAUUGUAUUCACAAUACAAAAGGACCCAUGACUUCCAGCAGAGACAUUUACAAUAAAAGGGAUUACUAUCAAAUGCCAGACACAUACCUAGGAGAUGCACUAGAGGGACUCCUCGAUCUAGGGUCCAACAGUCACUUGAUCUGAAAACAUGAAUUUUUAUAAAACGUGAGUACAAUACUCAGUGAGUGAAUAUUAGAAGGGAACAAGCAAUCUCAUAAGGAAUGUUGAUCGAAAUCAUAAUGCAUUCAUUUUCUCAAAACCAUGCAAUUGUUUUAGCUCCUUUAAACCCAUGAUGUAAACCCACAUGAGUAAAUCACUUUACAAAAAUCCAUACUCAACUAUGGUACCAAAGAAAUGGGAAAUAUGGAAAAAACCCACAAGUUAGCAAAAUGGAUAGAAAGUUUCUCGUUGCAGCGAGAACCAGUUCUGGUGAAGGCCCUCAAACCCGAGAGUUUCUCGCUGCAAGGAGAAUGAAUUUCGCUGCAGCGAAAACAAAGCAACAAGAGAAAAGUUUCCCUUCACUCAACAAAAGGGCUAUCCUACUAAACCAACAAAAUCAACAUAAAACUCAUGAAAAUUCCCAAAGUGCAAUGUAACAAAUUUCACAUAUAUGUCAACCAUAUAUCACAUUCAUGAGCUUUCAUUUCAGAAGUCUAGAUAUGCAUAAUUAGAUAGACAAACAUCAAUAUCAUCAUAAUCACACCCGGCUCAUAUACAUCCCCCCACAUCGUGCACAUAGCCGACACCAUCGUGUGCAUCCCCCCACAUCGUGCACAAUCAGUGCCAUUGUGUACAUCCCCUCACAUCGUGCACACGGGCACUAUCAUCAUCCAUCUCUCACGCCACCAUCAUCACCGGCAUGUGCAUCCCCCCACAUCGUGCACACACACGGUUAUAGUCAUUAUACACAAUAUCAUUCAUCAUGCACAACACACANNNNNNNNNNNNNNNNNNNNNNNNNNNNNNNNNNNNNNNNNNNNNNNNNNNNNNNNAUAUAUAUAUAUAUCAUCAUAUUGCAAUAAUGCAUGAAUCCAUAGCAAUCACAUAUCACAACAUCAAACCAUUUAACAAAAGCUUGUUCCCAAGGUACAUUUUCUAAGACAAGUUGGAUAGAAUCUUUCAUAUUCCCCAAAACAAGUUUGAAAUGCAAGUCCACUCACAGGUAUCAAAAAUUCGAAUUUCGGGUGCACUCGGACUAAUAGCCCUCGGUGCAAUUCCUUUGCCUUUUCCGGACGUCUCACUACCUUGACAAAUAAUAAAGUCAAGGAAUUUACUAUAUUGUCCCUGAAUGGAUAUAAACUAAUUUAAAUUACUAAUGCUUGAUAUGUAAAUGCAAAAAUACGUCCAAUUACUGCUUAAUCGCGGUAUCGAUUAAAUUCGACCGAUCACCGAUUAAUUGGCGAUUGUGUCCAAAUCACCUCCAAAUUAAUCCAUUUCUCCUCUAAUACCUUAAUUUACCACAUACCAUUUAAAUAAAGCCAAAUUCAACAUUAGAACCCUCACAGUUCCUUAUAGAUAAAUUUGGUCAUUUGGUGCACUAGCACCGAAAUUUUUUCUACAUAACCGUUUCACCUUAAUUCAUCAUUUUUCAAGCCAUUUUCCUUGAAAUAAAAACAAUCCCCCAUUGAUAUUCAGCCCUCAUGGUUUGACCAACAAGGAACCUUAGAAAAAUUGAAUAUUUCUUUUGUGUUUUUGUUCAUAAUCAUGCUUAACUAUCUCUAAACACUAACAUAGUCUAAAAUCAAAUUAUUCCAACAAUAAUUCCUCUUCCAUACCCAUUUUUCAGAAUUGAAUUCAUCAUGAUAACUCAAUAUUCAACCAUGGAAAUCAAGAACAAAAGCAUGCAUAAGCUAGGUAUCAAGGAGAAUUAAAGAAAUUCGAACUUACCUAGCUUGUUUCCUUGAUUUUUUCACUUUUUCUUUGAAUUUUCACCUAGGUUUUCUUGUUUCUCCCUUUGUUCUUCCUUUGUUCUUGUUGCUGGCUGCCUAGGCCGAAUAUGGUGAGAGAAUUGAGGAUUUAAUGGGCUGAUUUCUAUAGAAAAUAAUAAAAUAAUCAAGCAUGUCGCGUGUCACAUGCUUAUUGGCCUAAUUUUUUUAACUUUUUGACUUUUUCUUCUUAAUUUUCCACCACAAAUAUUCUGGUAUUUAUCCAAUACUACCACAAUUAAAAUCCCUUGGUCUUGACAAGUGCUGGGGCGAAAAAUUUACCAAUCCGGGGAGGGAAAAUUACGAUUUUGCCCCUAUACUCCGAAAUAUACCGAAAUCACAUUAUUUCUACUUUUCAACCUCAAAUAACACUAAUAUUGAUCAAUAUUAACCAAAUGGGGCAAAAAUCGUUUUAUAAAAAUUCUCAUUUAGUCCUCUAGUGAUAAAAUUACCAUUUUACCCCUAUGCUCCAAAAAUAUCGAAAAUCACAAAUUUUCACUGCUAAACAUCAUUUUAUACUCCAAUAAUCAUAAUUAUAUUCAAUAUAAUUAUUCUUGGUCAAAUGUGAUCAAAUCUUAGCUAGAAAUCUCCAUUUUAUCAUCAAAUGGUAAAAUGACCAUUUUGUCCCUAAUCGGUCAAUUUUCCUGAUGGACUCCAAACUGCACCUUGAACUCCGAAUCACUAUUCUAAGCCAUUCUGUGGGUUUCAAAAUUUUAAAAUUCCUCUUAGAAUUUCUAUUUGAACUAGUUCAAGGCUCGAUUUAACUUAGUUGUACCACUCGGUACAAUACCGUCUUUUAAUCGAGCUUGACAGGGUCUCACACCAUAGUCAUCUAAUUGUCUUCCCGUUGACAAUUAUGGGCUCAAAUUAUAACUCUACCAAAUGACUAAGUUAUUACGGACCUAUUAGUCCAACUACAUUUCCCUCCAUCCUUAGUCGGAGGGAUACGUCAUUAUAGUAACCAUUCAUUAAGAGCAUUUGCUUUAAAAUCUUACCAACAACAGGUCGUAUCUCAGGUGGCAUCACAACCCCUAACAAUGGCACCACUUAGGACCUUUAUAUGACGUUAGCAAAAGGGUAGAUUACUAGGAAUAGGAGUUUAUGUAGCCUCCUUACUAUGACUUGGCUGCAGUCAUAAACUAUAAACAAGACUCUACAUUAACUCUGACAACUUCGCUGACUGACAUAAAAAUCCCUAAGACUCAACUAAACCUACAGCUUUGAUACCAACAUUAUCACAGCCCAAUUUCUAGGCCAUGAUCGACGCAUGGGCCCAAUGGGCAUAGCCCACUAAGCCCAAGCAAGCCUUCCCAUAUGAACUUGUACGUCAACCCCUUUAUCAUCCAUAUUCUCUUUUAAGUUCCAUAAAUCAUAAUGUUCAAAUAAUAACUUCAUUGAAAUCGAUUCAUAAAAUCUAAGUAUAUACUUAUAAUGGUAUUCAUCAAUCAUAAUAUACAUAAAAGGUUUCCCAAACGAUUCUUAGCAAAUCACAUAUAGGUUACAUGUACACAUUCAAACACUCUGAACAUCAACAGAGUGACUCUAGGCAUGGGGGCUAACAUUUAGUAUCAUGGCAACCCUACCGAACAAUAGAUAAGAAGGAGCACCUCGACCUAGGAUUCAAUCACCUCUCAAUUCAAAAAACCUAAAACAUGAAGUUAAAAAAAGUGAGUAUAAACCCAAUGAGUGAACAUAGGAAGGGAACAAGCAUUAAUACGUGAGUUUUAGAAAACAUGAUGCACUUAUGUUGGAAACAAUGCAAUUUAGCUUAAUUUCUUGUCACAAUGAAAAUCCAUUUUCGCUACAGUGAAAAUCAAUUGGAAAGCAUUUCUCAAGUUUUAACAUUCAAUAAUCGAUGAAACCACAAUAUAAUUUCCAUAACCUCUAUAUAUAUAAUAUAUAUAUAAACAUACAUACGACCACCAGCCUCACCCUAACACCGCACAUGGUUGGGUCAUCAUCAUCUCAUGUGCACUCCUACACCGCACAAGGCUGGGUCAUCAUCAACUCAUGUGCACUCCUACACUGCACACUCCUAAACCGCACAUGGCUGGGUCAUCAUCAGCUCAUGUGCACUCCUACAUCGCACAUAGCUGGGUCAUCAUCAACUCAUGUACACUCCUACACCGCACAUAGUUGGGUCAUAAUUAUCACACAAUAGUAUCAUUCAAUGCAUAACAUACAUAUCAACAUAAUGUGGGAACAAAUGAAUUCAUCACAUUCAUAUCUCACAACAUAAAAAUGUUUCAUCAAUGGCUUGUUCCCAUGCAACUUUUAAAGAAAAACCAACCAAUAUUUCAAGUAGCUCAAUAAAGCAUAUAAAUCACUUAUUCCAAAACAUUUUAAUGCAAGUUCACUCACCGAUCCUCGUUAAUUCUUAAAUGGACUCUAACUCUCACUAAUGGUCCGAAUGGAGAUUUGGGGUCUCGUUGGAACCUAUCACACAUAAUAGCAUCACAAAUAAACUCAAUUCACAUAACCAUAAUUCUUAAAGCUAUCUCCUAAAUCAUGUUCUACUAGUUAUUCCUAGCUAGCUCCCAACUACCAUUAAGUGGCUAUCUAUUUUUACUAUUCUAGUCUCACUAAAAUGAAUAAACCACCUCAACUAUAAAACACUCACAAAUCUAACCACUAGCCAUUCUCAACAACUUAUAAAUCAAUUCAAUUCUAUUACUCACCUUGGUAGCUUUGUAAUUGAAUUCCUUUUCAAAAGCUUUCAAACUAUUGUGAAAAAUCUUUCUUUCUCUCUUUAGAACGUCCAGCUAGUGAGAGAAAGUAUUAAGGAAAGGCUUUUGAGGAUUUUAAGGUGAAUGAGUAAAAGAGCACAAAGGACUUUGUAAAAAGGUGCACAAAAGCAUGAAUAUUGGGGUUAACUUGAGAAAAUUUAUGGAAGUUUCAAAGCAAGCUUCCAUGGAAGGUGAGAAAACGUGAGAAGGGAAGAAGAAGAAGAAGAAGUUGCUAGAAACUUAGAUAUUUAUGCCUAAUGUUUAUCCAAUUUCUCAUGAAAUUAUGAAAAUGCCCUUACCAAGGUCACUUUGUCUUCCCCUUACCUUUGUACAAUCUUUUUACUUCUUUGACAUUGAGACAAAGUCCAUAAUAGUCUAGAAAUACUCAAGUUCAUGAAAACUUAAAAAUUUCGACUCGAGAUGCAAAAUGACCAUUUUGCCCCUAUCGUGAAAAUUAUAAGUAUUUCUAUCUUCUUCAUUUAUUUUACCAUCAUUCAUUUAUUCCUUAGGUCUAUUUAGAUCUUAAUAACAUUUGAGAGCUACUUCCAGAGCUCACCAUGAGAAAUGAUAAAAUUACCCUUGGUCUGUGUUAUUGCUUUUAUUGCUAUUUAUGGGUCUAUAAAGGUCAAAGUUUCACAGAUUCACUUCUGAAUCACCUUUUUAACUUGGUAAUUAACCUUAAUUGGAAUCCAUAAGCUUUAUUAGCCACCAUAUCAAAGUACGAGGUACUACAUUAAUUUAGGGUGUUUCUAUGGAAUAGGUUGGCAUGGCUCUACUUAAAAGCUAGCUUUCUAUGAUUUUCUACAUACAGAGUUUGAAUUUGACAAGAAGCUAAAGGUUCCCAAAUUGCUCCCCACUGUUGUUCACUCUAGACUAGUAUUGCACUUUAAUCCUCGGCCAUCACAGACUAGCAAUGGAAAAGGUUCAAUCUGAGUCAAAGUAUUUCACAUGCCCACACGAAGGUUAUCACCUCAUGAGAGCAAGGUACUCUACUUCCUCCUAAAAAGAUAGAGCCCAGGUAUAAAGCUCAUCUAUGAACAUGUUGUGUGUGAGAAGGAAGAUGCAAAUAUUUGACCAAUCAUCUCAUAACCUCUAUCCAAAACACCCCAUAUUUAUUAUAUACAAUAAGUAAAUAAUCAAAGAAAUAAGGAAAUAAAGUAAAUCAAAGCAAUUUUGUUUUUAAAUUAAGGGAAUAAGUUGAAUAUUGAAUUUAAUCAAUUAAUUAAGGCUUAAGGUAACACAUAAUUAAUUAUUGGGUCGACUCUCAAAUUCUCUAGUGGAGUUCCAAGCUAUUAUAAUUUGUGAGUUUGUAAACUCAAUCAUUCGACAUAAAAGAGGAACCGCCACCAAUAUCUCUUUGAUUAAGUGUGAUUAGCCACCUAGGAGAAUCUAUCGUUUUUAAUAAGGUCUUAAGCUUAACUUAUGUUUAUUAAAAAUAAUAGGUUUCAGUCUACAAAACAAGCUAAAUUCGGAAGCCCAAUUACGUUUAAGGAAGGUAUUAGUACCCUCACAACGCUCACUCAACAUGGUACCUAAUUAAUUAUGUGUUAUCCUUUAAGCCUUAAUAACUAAACUUUAUUUUGAUACUCAAGUUUACUUCCUUCUGUCCUUUUUUUUCAUGUUAUUAUUUUAUUGUUUUCAUUAGUUUGCUUUUUUCUUAAAAAUAAAAAUAAAAAUCCUUUUGUAUUAAAAUAUUUCCUAAAUACUCUAACAUUUAUGGCAGAAUUCAACAAACAUCUCACACCAAGGAAUUUUCAAAAAGUUAUCACUUAUAACCCACUCAAAAUUUCAUUAGUGGAGAAUUUUUAUCUAUGCGUUUUUUAUUAAAAUUAUUAUACAUAUAUAUGAAUAUUAUAAUUUUAUUCCUAAUUUGCAAUAUUUCCAUUGUUUUAUUGUUAUUAUUUCAUGUUUGUAAUAAUUAUUUUUAAAAUAAACACUUUUUUGUAAAAACAAUUUAUGACAUUAUCCCCCUAACUCUUACUCUUAAUGGCAAGGUCCCAUAAUCAAUUUUACUCUAUAAAAUUUAAAAAAGUCACCAUUUGUGACCUUCUUUAAAAAUUCCAUUUAAAAAGAUUUGUCUUCAAACAAUUAUGAAUUUUUUAAAAUAAACCCUUUUUUUUGUAAAAACAAUUUAUGAGAUUAGCCCCCAAUAUUUAUGGUAAGGUCCCAUAAUAAUUUUUAUUCUAAACGAUCAUUAGUUACAAUUUUUAAACCUGAUUUUUUUAUUUUCUAUUUAGUUUUUUCUUUAAAAAAUAAAAAAAUUUAUAAAAAUUAAGACCCAAAUAGAAUAUUAUUUUUAUUUUUACUAUUACCAAAAAUAAAAAUAAUAAAACACAAAAGAAAAAAAUAAAUGCUAGACAAAAUAAAGCCAAAUAAUAAUAAUAAAUAUCAAAUUACCCAUACCUACCCUACAAUCAGUUAAAAAAAUCAUUAAUUGACUUAAUCGACUUUCCUUAAAAAAUUAAUCGAACCAAAUUGAUUUAAGUAUUUUAAUCGACUUUAGUGGGUUAAAUCGAUUUGAGCCGAUUUAGCCAAAAAAAUUUCAUUAGUUUUUUCCAACUUUUUAAUUUCUUUAAUAAGUUUGUUGAUAUUAAACUAAUCUCAAUUGCUAAUCAUGAGAACAUUAACUUAAUCCUAACUUUUAAAAAGUACACAUUAAAAUUUUAUAAGUUUAUGAGUAGAGACAUAAAAGUUCAACUUCAAGUUAUAAGCAACAACAUAAAAGUUCAACUUUAAGUUAUAAGCAACAACAUAGAAGUUAAAUUCAAGUGCAACUGAACAACUAAAAUCACCAUAUAACAAAAAUCAACAUAAAAGUUCAUAAGUGUAUAAUCGGGGCAGCUACAUAAAAGUUCAACUUCAAGUACAAUUGGGUAACUAAAAUCAGCACAAAAAAGAAAUUAAAUUCAUAGUUCAAAUAUGGCAAGCUCCAAGUUCCAAUAAGCUAUAGCCAACCCAAUAACAGGCUACUACAAAAAUCACAAGUUAGUAAGUCACAACUACACAUAUUCAAACGUUUUAAAGGCAACACGUCUAUUUUUAAUUAUUAGAACCCCCACUCCUUAUCAUGAUUCAACAAUCAAUAACCGGCUCUAAAGCAAUUCUUGAAAGAUCUACAAAUGCAUAAACAAAAAUAACAUAAAGUAAACUAAGAUAAACAAACAUUAAAGAAAAUUAAGAAAUAAUAACUUUAAGAAAAAGAUUAAAUAGUACGUAAAUUUAAAAUAUUACCUAAACUGACUUUCUCCAGCUCCUCGAUUUCAUUCUCAAAACCUAAAUAUCAAUGUAAUGGAUCUCAUAACCAGUCUUUAGCACAAAUUAGAGCUUAUACCAACUUAGGAGUUAAAUAACUCCUAUAUGCAUGAAGAACUCGACCAUUAGUGUUAAAAGCAAAUUCUGUAGCAACUGUAGAUAUAGGCAUUGCAAAAACAUGAUGAGCCAAUUGAGAAAGAAUGGGAAAUCUAGGAUUGUUUACUUUUGACCAGUUCAAAACAUCAAAAUCCUUAUCAUCUUCAUCAUCAUCAUCAAGUGCUUCAUUUAAGUACUUAUCCAUUUUUAUUUUUUGUUUUGGCCAACAUCAACUUUCAACCUCAAAUUUCUAGAAAUCUGACCUGAGAAUCUUUUUCUUUUUCUAAAUUAAGUCACUAGUGUCUUGAGUUGGUUGGUUUAUUUGGCUACUCUUACUUUCUCUCAAUUGCUGAAAUUGUGAAGGCUGUAUCAUUGUUUAAUAAUGAUUGAAAACAAUUCUAACAUUGUCUCCCUCAAUUUUUUUCAUCAUCAAAUCAGUUUCAAUCAAUGAAUAUAUUUUUUUAAAACAAAAUUCUAUAAAAACAUAUUUAUGUCUUGAAUCAAGAACAAACACAACAUAAAACAACAUAUUCAUUUUGUCCGCAUUCCCUCAACACUUGUCAUAUUUUUCUUUCAUUCUUUAGCCAUUAAACUAAAUUCAACAUCAGCACUUAAAUUCCAAUCAUGCAACAAAUACUUCAUAAAUUUCCUCAAGGAAAAUAUUGGACGUAACAAAUGAGGAACCUGAAAUUUUCACAGUUAGAUCAUAAAAAUGCUAUAAAAAAGUAACUAAUCUUCUAGCAAUUAUGUGAGACCUCAACCUCUAUAGGCUUGUAACUAGGCAUAGACGCCAUAACACGAGCUAGGGGUAGUUUUUUCAUUUCCUAUAAUAAGCUUCCAGAAGAAAUUCUAUUAUAUUUUAAGGUCUAAAUAGGCAUAAGACCACAUAAAUGAUGUGUAAUGAUGAAAACACGAAGAAAACUAGAAGUUCAAUAAUUUUCAUGAUAGGGGCAAAAUGGUCAUUUUUCACCUCGGGUAAAAAUUUUUAAGUUUUCAUGAAUCCGAGCAUUUCUAGACCAUUAUGGACCUUGUCCCAGUGUCAAAAGAGUAAAAGAUUGCAUAAAAGAUUAGAGGAGAAUAAGCUAAUUGGUGGAAGGGCAAUUUGGUAAUUUAAGUGGAGUGGAUAAGCUUGGGCUAUAAAUAUCCCUUUCUUCCAACAGCUUCUACAUUCUCCAGCAGCUUUUCUUCUUCUGCUUCUUCUCUUUCACGUUGCUUCCCAACCUCCAUGGAAGCUUGAUAUGAAACUUUCAUAACUUUUUCUCUCUCUAGCUUUAAUUUUCAACCUUUAUGCCCUUUUGACUAGAACCCUUGUGCUCUUUCACUUUCUCACUUUAAAACCCUUGAAAAAUCCCACUUCCAUACUUUCUCUCACUAGCUAGGUGUUUAGAGAAAGAAAAAAAAAAAGCCCCUAUAAUAGCUUGGGAAUUGUUGGAAAGAAUUUCAAGGUUACAAAACUAUCAAGGUGAGUAGUAAACUAAAGUUGUUUUUUAGUGUUGAGAAUGAUUAGUAAGUAAACUUGUGAAUGUUUUGUUGUUGAGGUUAUCCACUCAUUUUAGAGUGGUUAAGGUAGUGAAUAUAGAUAGCCAUUUAAAUGGCAAUUGGAAGUUAGCUAAAAGAAAGCUUUUGGACUUUAUAAGUAUGUGAAAUAAUAUAUUGGUGAUGCUAAUGUGAUGAUAGGUUCUAAUGAAGUCCCACAGCCCCAAUUGUACCAUUAGGGAAGUUAAAGUCGAUUAAAGGCUCAACAAAUACCGGUGAGUGGACUUGCAAUUCAAAAUUUGUUUUGGGAAUGUGAAUGCAAUUGUACAAAAAUUUGAAAGAUUUUAUCCAGUUUUCCUUUGAAAAUGUACCUUGGGAAUAAGCCUUUGGUGAAUAAGCCGAUGAUGACUCGACUAUGUACGAGUAGGAGUGCACAUAAGCCGAUGAUGACCCAGCCAUGUGCUAGUGGGGAGUGCACAUGAGCUGAUGAUGAUGGGAGAGUGUGCAUGAUGAUGAAUAUAUAUAUAUAUAUAUANNNNNNNNNNNNNNNNNNNNNNNNNNNNNNNNNNNNNNNNNNNNNNNUAUAUAUAUAUAUAUAUAUAUAUAUAUACAUGUAUAGAUAUGUGUGUUAUAGAAAGUUCAUGAAUAUGUAAAUGGUUGAAAUGCAUGUGAAAUUGGACAUGUUCAACUUUGGGAAAUUAUAUGAGUUUCAUGUUGUGUUGGUCAUGUGAACAGGGUGGCCUUUGCUUGAGGGAAAGGGGGAAUUUUUGUUGAUGCUAUAUUUCUCGCUACAGCGAGAAACUCUCAGGUUUGGAAGGGUGGGGCUGGCUGAAAUCUCGCUGCAGCGAGAAUGUUACUAUAGCUUCUCGCUACAAUGAGAAACUUUCUAUUUUAAGACCAAAAAUUUUGCUGUAGCAAAAAACUUUAUGUUUUGCUCCUCAUUUGGUUCGGUUGUUACCCUAUUUUCCAUUUCCUUGGUACCAUAGUUGAGCAUGGACUUCCAAUAUUAAGGAAUAAAUGAAUUAAGUUUAAAAUGAGGAGGUUUACUGAGAAACCCUUGGCCAGUUAAGAAACCCCCGAUCAGUUGAUAAUUUAAAUCAAGUGUCGUUGCAGCAAAAAGGCAUGGACCCGUCGUUUAUUUGACCUGAUUCGCAUGAAUGCUAUUAAAGUUUUCACUCUCCAAAUCCUUUGUUGAGCAUGGACCCUUUUCAUAAAAUGAUUACUCAUGUGGGGUUUGCAUGAGGGGCUUUAAUAAGAACUAAAACAAAUUGCAUUGUUUUGAAAAAUGAAUGCAUCAUGAUUUCAUCAAACAUUCCUUAUGGUAUGCUUGUUCCCUUUCUGUUCACUCACUGGGUUUAUACUCACCGUUUUCAACUUCAUGUUUUCAAAUCACUAGGCAGCUAGUAACUAGGUUGAAGUGCCUUUGUAUAUUCGACCCUUGGUAGGUGUCUCGGCAUUCAGUAGCUAUACAUUCGUCUGAGUCUCUCCGCUAGAAGUCGAGUACUUUUUUGUUGUGUAUAGACAAACUGAUGUAAACUAUUAAAUUAUGUUUAGAUAAUAUAUGUACUCUUUGAUUGGUAUGCCACUAUGAGAUGGCAAUGUUUGGUAUUAUUUUGAUUUAAAGUUAUAAAAUGUGACUUAACAACUUUUAAUGGAAUGGUGAAAAGGUUAUAUUAAUAGGCUUGCUUGGGCUUAAUGGACUACGUUCAUUAGGCCCAUGAGCCAGUCAUGGCCUGGAAUUUGGGUCAUGACAAUUUACCCAAUUAAGAUGCUCUUCGCCUAACAAUAGGCCACUUUUAUUAGAAAAAUCCAUCUCAUCAAACAUAUCAAAAGCCUUUUAAAAUUUUUGAGCCAUAUCAAACAUUAAGUAUGUUGAAUUCCACCUAGUGCUAACAUCUAUGCACAACAAACUCUGGGUAGCAAUCUUUUCAAUAUGAAAACACUCUUUAAAUUUUGCAACCUAAACGGUGCUUGUAUCACAUAUCUAACUGUUUUCCUUAUACAAGCAACUGAAUCAUUAAAUUUCUUGAAUCCAUCACUAACAACUAGGUUGAUUAUGUGUGCAAUGCAUCUUAAAUGAAGAAAUUUGCCUUGUAAAAUGCUAGUUCUUAAUUUGUUGAACUUUUUUUUCAAGUAUGUUAUUGCAAUAUCAUUUGAACUAGCAUUGUCUACUAUCACAGUGAAAACUUUAUUAAAACUUUAUUAAUGCCCCAAUUACGCCAGCAUUUAUCAAUUGCCCUACCAACAUCAUCAUCUCUAUGACUAGAAAUUGGGCAAAAGUUUAAAAAUUUUCUAUGUAAAUUCUAAUCACCAUCAAUAAAAUAGGCUGUAAGACAUGUAAUUCAAUCUCUAUAACAAGGUACAAGUGUUUGUGGUUAGGGAUACCCUAUAUGAAGAAGAAGAAGGACACAAAAAUUUUUUCAAACUAUUCUUCUCAUCUUUGUACAACUGAAAAUAGUCUCUAGCAAUAUUCCAUUUAGAUGGAAUAUUAAAUCUUGGACAUGAAGCUGCAAUGUAUCUCCUAAAACCUUUCCCUUCCACAAAUUUAAAAGGUAACUCAUCCAAAACAAUCAUUUCAACCAAACUUUUCCUAAUGGACUCUUGAUCAUGUUGGUCCCAAGUAAAUGUGCUAGAGGGGGUGAAUAACACCUUUUGGCUCUUACUUAAAUUGCCUUUAAAUUGAGGGCAAGUUUAAUAUCAAUAUUGACUGGUUCGAGGCAAGAUGACGGAAUGGUUUAGGAAGGAAUGAAAAAGAAAAUUAAAAUCAGAGCAGACAAUACUCAACUAUUUAUAGUGGUUUGGUCAAAGACCUACAUCCACUACCUUGAUUGUUCAACCAAGGAUUUCCAAAUCAAAUCACUAAAAACGGUGGAAUUCCCAAGCUCCCACCAAGCUUUUACAAUGGCUUUUUGAAGGCUCAACCAUAACCUUAACAAUGAUUUUUCUCAAGAUUAACCAAAACCCAAACUAACUUUUACUAGGAUGAGUUAGAACCUAUACAACCAAUCAAGCAACCAAAGCUUGAAUUACCUCCUUAGAGUGACUUGCUCACUCUAAGUAUACAAGGAGAAGAGAAAUAAAAGUGUACCUAUGAUCACUAACCUAAUUUGAGUGGUACAAAGUGAAGCGCUUAAAUUUGUUACAAGGAUAGGAGUGAAGUGUUGAAAGUAUGCAGAGAAUUUUUGCUAUUUUUGAGCUUUUUUUGAUCUUGGAAGCACCAAAUCUUGUUCUUAGACAUUGGGAAGGGUUUUUAUACUUGAAGAAAUGACUCUGAUGGAUGUUUGAUAGAUCUUGACCAUUGAAAACAGUUUGGAGUUGGUUUUAGCCAUUAAUCUAUCUUCUAGCAUUCAAAUUUGAAGUUGCAAACAAAGAGCUCUUAGUUGACUAACAUAGCUUCUCGGUCGAUUAAGUUGUUUCUGUCUUUGGACCCAAUCUUUGGCAGUGAGCACUUAGUCGACUAACAAUUCCUCUUAGUCGAUUAAGUCAUUUUUGUCUCUAAACUGUCCAUCUUCAUUUUUGAGUUUUAGUUGACUAACUCCCUUGAUUAUCCGACUAAGUGGCUUAUGUUUUAUGGGUCAAAUGUAGCUCCUCAUUCUAUGUGAUUUGAUAUUUUCAUUUUAGUGAUUAAUUUGUUAUUAGUCAUACAUUCACAUCCUGCACACUCAUGUAAUAUAGUUAGACAUAAAUGAGUGGGAAUAUUUUAUUAUCAUCAAAAACUAAUGGAGCUAACAAUCUCCCCUUUUUUGAUGAUGAUGAAACAUUCCUUGAUUAAAAGCAUACUGUCUAUUAGUUUCUUUCUGUUUUGCAGAAAAUGAGGAUUUUCUCCCCUAGAAUGUGUGCUACCCCUAAAUUAAUGCAUGAUUUUAUUAUUUAACUUAGCAAGUUUUUUUUAAUCUCUUAAAGAAAAAGACAGGUAAAAUUUUUAACAUUUGACAAAAUAUCAUCAAUGCUGUAGCUAUCUGUUCGCCAUUAGCAUAUUGUUUUCAGAAUUUAUCCAUUCAAAAUAAAUAUCAUUCCAACAAAAAUAUCAUAAAAGCAUAAUCAGCAUCCAUACUUGUUCACAACAAAAUUCCAUUCACAAUUCAACAGAAAUACCAUGGAGGAUAUCAACAAACUAAAUAAUAUAAAUAGCUUAUCAGCAUUCAAUUUUCAACACAAUAACAUAAACAGCAGAGUCAAAUUCAAGUGUUCAACUGUCAGCAAAACAAACAUAGCCAGAUUUAGAUUCCUAAAUUACCCUUGGAUCAUUCCUACCUUCUAUGUCCCCUAAGCUUUCUAUCAUAAUUCUCCCAUUUUUUAUCAUCAUCAAACCGAGGGGUGUUCAAUCAGUUUCUAAAAAAGUAGAACGGGUAGACUCAUCAGUGCCAAAGUAGACAUUAAGGGGCUUAGGAGAAGGUUUAGGUGAUGGUCUUUUGGGUAAGGCUUCAGGGGAAGAUUGGUAUGAAAUUUGGAGUGAAUCUUGAGCAUAAGAGAUGGCUGAGGGUCUGGUUUUUUUAGCUAUCCUAGAAGACUUUCUUCUCUUGAGGAAUUUUGACUUUGUUGCCAUGGUCUUCCUUCUUAUACCAAGAGGUUUAGGUUUCUCUUGUGUUGGUGUAGCAGCUUUUCCUUUUUCUUUACUAUAUUGGUCAGUCUACCCUGUAGUGUGCAUUGACUCAAGGAAUGCUCUGACAGAUGCUGGCUUUUAAGUUUUAGCCUUUGCUACUUCUUUUUAUGCUUGCUCUUCUCUGACCAUUUGAUCGAAAAUAUCCAUGAUUGAAACUUCCUCAGAGUUAGGUGGAGAUUGUUGUUCUGGCUGUGAUUCAUCAUGUAGUGGAGAGGUGUCAUCAAAGGAUCCAAGUACUUCAGUGCCUUCAUUGGAUUUUUCAUCACUUUUAGGCUCAAAAGUGGGAGAUUUCAUUGGCUGAACUAAUUAUGGUUCAUGACCUUCAAAUUGGAAGGCAAGACUUUCAGUAGCUUGUUCUGCUAAUGAUGGACUUACUGUUGCAAAAGUGUCUUCAGUUGCAAGACCAGCAGGUGAUUUUCCUUUUCUUUCAUCAAGUUUUCUAGCCCUUUCAACUUAUCCUUAAUUUUCUGAAUCUUUACUGAUUUGUCAGUGAAUUUUCCAUUUAUUCUCAUUAACAGAUUUAGAAUCAUUUCAUUUGAAAUCUGAGAGUAAGCAAUCUCUGUCUGAGCAAGAAUAGAGUGCUCAUCCUUUGGAGUAAUGUUGGUGGUUUUAAUAAACGUUUCUCCUUGUAGUUUGUACCCUAUCUUUGGCAAACUUCCUAGGUAGAUUGCUUGUCCCUGCUUUGCACCUAGUCCAUUUCAUAUUUGUUCGCCCAAAUUCCCUUCUUCUUCACUAGAGAUGUAAUCAAAAUUUCAUAAGGCUGAUUUACCUUAUCAAUUUGACAUGUUCUUCUCAUCCUUUCAAUCAUAAAUCUGCCUAAGUUGAGGGGGGUGCCAUUAACGACAUGCUCCAUUAGCCACAAGUCCUGAAGGCUUACGUAGCUGAACCUACUGCUUAUCCUAUGAAUAGAUGUAGCAAUGAAAUAAUGUAGGAUUCUAAUAUGACAGCUUUUAAUAAAGUUGGCAUAACUUUUGGAUGAAUAUCUUUCUUUCUUUCUUAUGAUUAUUUCCCAUAGAGAUGAGGGAUCAUACUUUUCAAGAAUUUAGUAAUCACCUUCUUCACAUUCAAUUCUGAGCAGACUACCUAAAUCUGCAGCAAUCAUCACAAAUUUUUUUCCAUUUAGGAAGACAUUCAGACCAUCAUUAAUAAAAUUCUCAGGUUUCUCAAGUUCAUUCUCAUUUAAUGUUAUGCUUGCAUAAAAUUCAUUAACAAGGCUAGCACUAUGGUUCUGUUCUUAAAAGUACUAAAUUUCUUCAAUUUCAUUUCUUUAAAAUAAUUUGAUAAACCUACUUCAAUUUUAGGGGUCUCAUCAAAGCUAUCCCAAUUGAUAAAUUUACUACAUGUAAUGGGAGCAUUCUCUAUCUUUUUGAACCUAUCCUCAUGAGCUUUAUUUCUAAACUUUGAGGAUGGAAGAUUACCUUUCUUGGAGAGCUUUACUUUUUCUUUGAUUUUUGUGGUUUUUCUUUCUGCUUUUUUCUAGUUUUCUCAAUCACAUAAGCAGACUUGACUUUCUUCUUCUUCUUUUGAAUUUCUUCCAGUGGACUCUCUUCCAUAGGUCAUUUUCUCUUCUUCUUUUCCAAAGCACUACUAGUUAAUGUGGUGUUGGCCAUUUUGGUUUUAAGCAAUUUCAAGCUUAGGGUUUCGUGAGUUUGAGAAGGAAAGAUUUUAGUUUCAAAAGGGUCGAUUUCAGAUGAGAGAAAAUGAAGAGAUAAUAAGUUAAGAGAGAUUAAUCUUUCUAAAAAAAUCGUCAGUCUCCCUAUCUUUAAAUAUGUUUGGUAACCCCUUCUUUCAAAAUUUAAAAAUUUACCUCUCAUUUUUAUUUUUUCAGUUAAGCGAUUUUUCCUUAUUUUUCUUCACCCAGUAGGCUGUCUUGUUUCUUUUUAUUAUUUUAUUCAUUCUAUCUAAAUGAGUCUUAUUAUUUAAGGAAACAAAAUGCUUUUAGUUGAUUAAAUGAUUCUCUUAAUCAACUAAGUACUUACUAUUUUAUGAAUGAAAAUUUCACAAAUUUUCUAAAGCUCCUGUACAUUAAUCAUUCCUAGAUUUCUCCUAAUUUCAUAGAAUCUUUCCUUAUUCAGGGGCUUGGUGAAUAUAUCAGCUAAUUGUUGUAAAGUGUUAAUAAAUUCAAUCUUAAUGUCUUCUUUUAUCACAUGGUCUCUAAUAAAGUGAUGUCUAAUUUCAAUAUGUUUGGUCCUAGAGUGCUGGACAGGAUUCUUUGAGAUGUUGAUGGCACUUGUAUUAUCACAAAAUAUUGGUCAUUAUGCAUUGUUACUCCAAAGUCUUUUAAUUAUUGUUCAAUCCACGAAAUCUGAGCAUAACAACUACUUAAAGAAAUAUAUUCAACUUCAACUGUGGAGAGUGUAACAGAAUUCUGUUUCUUACUUGACCAGGACACAAGCAUACUUUCUAGAAAGUAACAAGUUCCACUAGUGCUCUUUCUAUCUGUUUUGCUUCCAGCAAAGUUUGCAUCUGAAUAUCCAAUAAAACUAAAAGAUGAUUCUCUAUGAUACCAUAUUCCUAAAGUUUGUGUAUCUAAGAGGCAUCUAAAGAUUCUUUUAACAACAAUCAAGUGUGAUUCUUUGGGUUGUGAAUGAAAUCGUGCACAUAAGCAUACAUUGAAUUGAAUAUCAAGCUUGCUAGCUAUUAAAUAAAGUAAUGAUCCAAUCAUACCUCUAUAGAUCUUUUGAUCAACACUUUCCUUUUUUAUCAACAUCAAGUUUUGUGGAUGGACUCAUUGGUGUGCUAAUUGAUUUUAGCUUCAGCAAGUCUUGAAUGUAUUUUCUUGGCUGAUGAAGAUUCCCUCCUUACUUUGUUUGGUUUGAAGGCCAAGAAAGAAUUUCAGCUCACCUAUCAUGCUCAUUUUAAAUUCACCCUGCAUCUCUUCAGUAAAGUUCUUGCAUAAAGCCUCAUUAGUGGCACCAAACACAAUAUCAUCCACAUAGAUUUGAACAAUAAUUAAAUCAUUUGAGCAUUUUUUAAUAAACAAUAUUAUAUCAAUGUUUCUUCUAACAUACCCUUUUUCAACUAGAAACUUUGAAAGCCUCUCAUACUAAGCUCUAGGAGCUUGUUUCAAUCCAUAUAAUGCCUUAUUCAGUUUGAAGACAUAAUUAGGCUUUUCAAAGUCUUCAAAUCCAGGGGGUUGUUUGACAUAAAUUUCCUCUUGGAUGAAACCAUUUAAAAAAGCAAUUUUCACAUCCAUUUGGAAUAAUUUGAAAUUAAUGAACAUGCAAAUGCCAGCAACAAUCUUAUAGCUUCUAUCCUAGCAAUAGGGGCAAAGGUUUCAUCAAGUCAAUUCCUUCCCCUUGGUUAUACCCUUGAGCCACCAACCUAGCUUUGUUUCUAAUAACAUUGCCUUGUUCAUCUACCUUAAUUCUAAACACCCAUUUUGUGCCAACAAUUAGGUGAUUUAAAGGCUUAGAGACUAAUGACCAUACACAGUUUCUUUUGAAUUGAUCGAGCUCCUAUUGCAUGGCCAUUAUCCAGCUUUCUUCUUUUUCUGCCUUUUCAAGGCUCUUAGGCUCGAUUUGAGAGAUGAAAGCUGAGAACUCACAUCUCUCUCUAAUUCCUCUCCUAGUUUUGACACCUUGUGUAAUAUCACCAAUGAUCUACUCUUGUGGAUGGUCUUUUAAUAUCUCUAACUAUUUGGAAGGUCAUCAUGCUGGCUUUCGGUUCUUUGCAAAUUUUCUAAAGGUGGAGUUUUUGUUUCUCUUCCACUAGAGUUUCUUUCACUGUUUCUCUUAUUUUCUACACUUAUUUGUUCAAUUUGUCUUUCAAGGUCUUCUGCAUCAUAAUCAUCAACAAGAACUUCCUUUUUUAAGGCAUUAGAUUCAGCAAAAACUACAUGGAUUGACUCUUCAAUGGUUAAAGUUCUUUUGUUAAAGACUCUAUAAGCCUUUGAGUUCAAUGCAUAUCCUAGAAAUAUCGCCUCAUCACUCUUUGCAUCAAACUUUCUUAAAAAAUGUUUUCCAUUGUUCCGCACAAAGCAUUUGCAACUAAAACUUCUAAGGUGAGAGAUGUUUGGCUUUCUACCUUUGUAAAGUUCAUCUGAGUUUUUGAUAUCAUGCCCCUAAUUAAUACUCUAUUAAGAAUGUAGGCUGUUGUGUUAACAACUUCUGCCCAAAAAUACUUUGGCAGAUUAUUCUCACAAAACAUGGUUCAAGCCGUUUCUUUUAAAAUUUGAUUUUUUCUUUUUACAACCCCAUUUUGUUGAGGUGUUCUAGGUGUUGAGAAAUUGUGAUCCAACCCCUUUUCAUUACAGAAAUUUUCAAACUCAUCUCCCUCAAACUCACCUCCAUGAUCACUCCUAAUACUAACUAUGACAAGUCCUUUUUCAUUUUCAACCUUCCUACAAUGAUUUAUAAAUGUAGGUAGAGCAUCAUUCUUAUGAGCAACAAAGUAAAUCCAAGUAUACCUAGAAUAGUCAUCAACUAUCACAAAGCCAUAAGAUUUGCCUCCUAAGCUGAUUGUAUUAAUUGGACCAAAUAAAUCAAUAUGCAGCAUUUCAAGGGGUUUAAAGGUUGAGACAAUUUUCUUUGUUUUGAAAGAUGUUCUAACUUGUUUACUUAGUUGGCAAGCAUCAUAAAUCUGAUCAUUCUCAAAUUUAAGUUCAGGUGAUCUAACAACUAGAUUUUUUCUUAUCAAUUUUGAGGUGGUAUGCAUGUUCACAUGUCCAAGCCUCCUAUGCCAUAGCCAGCUAUCAUUUUCAUCAUUUGCUUUGAGACAUGUUUCACAAUUAAGCUCAAGAUCUUCUAGGAAUAUAACAUACAUGUUCUUUCUUUUUUUUUCCUAUGAAUGAGGUUUUGUUGGUGCUAAUGUCUAUCACUUCACAUUUAUUUGAAUCAAAGCAUACUUUAAAUGUAAAGCCCGACCUUAUAAAAUACUUGUCAUGACAUACAUGUGAUCAAUAGCAUGUUUACAUACUAGGAGAGCCUCGAAAAAUUGACAAAAGUCGGUACUGUACCUAGAGGUACAAUAAAGUUUAUUUAAGCCUCGAACUAGGUCAAAUAGGGAUUUUAAGGUGAAAUUCAAAAUUUUACAGUUCAAGAAUGACUUAAAAUGAUGAAUUAGAGUUUGAGGGCUGAAUUGGAGUAAAUUUGGAAUUUUCAUGUUCUAGAGGUAAAAUGAUAAUUUUGUCACCUGAGGACAAAAUGAGAAUUUUUAGAAAAGAUUUUGAUCACAUUUGACUCAUUGGAGUAUGAUUUGAGUUUGAGAGGUGAAAAUUUUAAAUUUUGACAUUUUUGGAGUCUUAGGGGCAAAACGAUAAUUUUACUAGUUUACGAGGGCAAAGUUGGAAUUUUAGAAUUUUACACCACCUAACACUUGUCAUGUUAAUGGAUUUCAGCCAUUAACAUUUUACAAUGUGGAUAAUUGAAACAUUUAUGUGGUGGAGAGAGAUUGCUUAAUGGAUAAGUAUUACACAUGGACCAAUGGAAACAUGCCAUGUGUCAAGCUUGGAUCAUUCUAGAAUUUCCUUGUAAAAUCUAUUUAAAACUCUCUUAGUCUCACCCAUAUGGCCGGCCAAAGCAUGAAGUGAAGAGGAAAGGAAAGAACACAAACCCUAGGUGGGAAAAUUCAAGAGAAAGUGUGAAAAUCCAAGGAAUUAAGCAAGGUAAAGUGAAAAUUCUUUAUUUUUACUUGAGAUUUACAAUACCCAUGCUUUAUUUUCUUAUUUCUAUGGUUGAGAAGCAUGAUUUCAUAGUGAAUAAGUGGUAGGCCAAAUGGGUAUGGUGAGAGAAAUGAUGUUGGAAUUGUUUGAUUUUAAGUUAUGUUAGUGAUUAAGGUUAGUUUAGCAUAUUUAGGAGCAAAACAACAAAAAAAGAAUCCAUUUUCCCCAUGAAUCUUCAUUGGCCGAAUCUUCCUUGAUGGGUGUGGGUGAUGGAUUGUUAUUAUUUCAAGAGAAAUGGCUUAGAAAAUGAUGAAUAAUGGUGAGAAAAUUAAGUAGGAAAAAUCACGAUGUUAGUGCACUGUAAUGCCCGAAUUUUUCCAUGAAGAAAUGGGAGGGUUUUGAUGCUGAAAUUGGUGUUAUUUGAAUAAUGUUUGGUGAAUUGAGGUAUUAGAAAAGAAAUGGACUAAUUUGGGAUUAAAUUAGAUGCGUUAGUAAUUUAAUAGGGUGAUAGGCCGAAUUAGGUCAACAUCACGUUUAAGCAGUUGACCAAGCAUUCCAUGCAUUCAUAUAGAUUUAUAGAGCCUGAAAUAGUUUAUGAUAAAUUGACACAAUUUAUUGAAAUUCGUGUCACGUAUGAUGUAUAGGUGGUGAGCCUUCUAACAAGGGUAAAGAAAUUAUGCCCGAAGAUCGAGAUUAGGAGUAUAUCGAACUCCUAGUACAGUGAGUAACCUUACUAUCAUCUUAAUUAUCUAGAGUGGUUUUUACCCGAUUUUGUGAUUUUAUGGAAAAUGAGUUAAAUGGUAAAUCCUUAUGUUUUAUAAGUAAAAUGUGUUUAAAUAAAAUGAUUUUAUAAAUUGUCUUGAAAUUGAAUUAUGGUUUUGAAAAUAGAGUAAUUGGAGACCACUUGAUGUGUUGUAAUUUUAUGGCUUUAAAUUGAAGGGCUUAUGACAAUAUAUGAGCCUGAAUGGCUAAACUGAUUUUUGGUGUUAGAAUUAUUUGUACUGUGUAUUCAAUCUUGGGAGGCUAGGUUGCGAUAAAUUGCCAUGUCAUGUAGAUAAAGAUUUUUAUAAAUUAGGUGGUAGAUAAAAUAAUCCAUAAUCCUUGCAGCGGAGGUUUUGUGGACCAGCCUAAGCGAGGAGGCACAGAAUCAAAUAUACCUUACCUCGACUGGAGAGCCGUGUGGAGGGUGUCUUUGGAGGUAAAGAUUUGAGUGCACUUCACGUGGACCACCGCGUGAGAGUGAGACUCAGCCAACGCCAAGGCAUGGCUAGAUUUUCAAAUGUAAAAAUAUGUUCAUGUGUGUACUACACUGAACAGCCUUAGUGGUCUCGGUUAGAUGCCUAGGCCAAGGCAUCCCUGGGAAUGAUUUUGGCAAGAGCCAAGUUUUGUGAAAUACAUAAGCCAAGUUGAUUAUUUGAGUAAAUUGAUUAUUGAUGUUAUGAAAAACAUACUAGAAUGGAAUAUCUUACUUGUCUCCAUUUACUCGACUUUAGAUGAUUUAGAUGGUAUCUGUUUACUCACUGGGAUUUUAUAAUCUCACCACCCUCAAUUCCCUACAUUUUAGGCUCAGGAUAAUCGGUAGAUAGCCGAUUGCAUCUAGGACUUCAGUUAGCCUUGCAUCAACAAAAUUGUAGGUUCACAGACUUGCACCUUAUUGGUUAGUUGGGGGUCCACGUGUCACUGUAAAAGUAAUUUUAUACUUCAGUUAUCUGCUUUAAAGAACAUAAGAAUAUAUUUAGCUUUUACACCAUGUUUUUGGCAGGUUUUGAUUUUUUUGAAGAAAAAUGACGAAAAUACCCUUGUGAGUCGAAAAUAAUAUUAUAUUGUUUUGAUUUGGAAACGACUUAUAAUUUUUUGAAAUGCGAGAUUUAAUAACUGCCGCUCGUCGGAGAGAUACGAAAGCUGAUGCUAAGCCUUGCGGGGUUCCAAUCGGCAUUUCGUGUAAUAAACGCCUAUCAAGACGUCGCGGCGGUUGUCAUGGGCCCGAUGGGCGUUUCAGGUCGUGACAUUAAAACCUUUGUCACACAUUUGGCUAAUGCUUAAUAAAUUGUGUUUCAAACCUUUAACCAGCAACACAUGACUGAUAUGAGCUUGAGAGUUCUUACUAACAGUACCUAUACCAUAAAUUUUGCCUUUCGAAUCAUCUCCAAAUGACACUAUACCUCCCUUUUUCUUAUCCAGCUAAACAAACAACAUUUCAUUUCCAGUUAUAUGUCUCGAGCAGCCACUAUCCAUGUACCAUGGUUGCUUCUCUUUCAGUUGUGCUUUUUGACAUAUGUUUUCUUGUUUUGGCUCAGCUUGCAAGAUAAAAUUUUCAGUUCUUCUUAAUAGGUACCCAUACCUUGAUGGGUCAUUGAACGUUAAUUGCAACAUAGGAUCCUUUUGGAACCCAAAUCAUUCUUAUUUUGUGUGUGUUUCUUCUUCUAUGGUAGUUAUAAGAUAAAUGACCAAAUUUAUCAUAAACAUAACAUCUAUGAGAGAAAUCAUUAGCAUUUCUUCUGAAGUUUGUGUUCUUUCUUGAUGAUUUUUUUCUCAAACUCUUAAGAACAACAUGUUCAUCAACUGUUUUUUGUAAAGCUUCUAUUCUAUUUUCCAAUUCCAAUUUCAGAGUUUCAAAAUCUGUUUUUGUAUGUUCCAAUUCAAUUUGCAAAAAAUUUCUUUGUUCAAAAACAGAAUUGAAAUCAUGUCUUAUCUUUUGCAAAUUAGUCUCACGGGAUGUAGUUUUUUUUUUCAAAGUUUUAUAUUUGGAUGCAAGUUUUUCAAACUCAUCAUAAAGACUUUCAUACUCUUCUUGCAGUUCAUCAAUUGAAAUAUCAUAGGGAGUAGAAGGUACCUCAGAUUCAUCAUCUUUUGCCAUUAAACAUAAGUUUGCUCUUUCUUCCACUUUAUCUUCUUUAGCAUUAGAACUUGAAGCAUCACUGUCAGACCAUGUUGCAGCCACCAUAGCCUUCUUUGAUUUUCUAUUCUUCUUGGGAGUUUCCUCCUUCAGCAGGGGGCAUUCUGAUCUGAAAUGACUAAUCUUCUUACACUCAUAACAAAUGAUUUCUUCCCUCUUGUUGGAUUCAUUUUUGUUUUUGUUAUUCCAUGAAGAAUUAUGUUAUCUUCUAUAACUUUUCUUAGCCAGCCUCCUAUCUCUUUGUCCCAUAAGUCUUCUUAAUUUUUUUGCCACCAUUGCUAAUUCUUCAUCAUCAUGAUAGGAUAAAUUGUCCAACUCUUCCUCAAAAGCAAUUGCCUUUAAUGCAAUGCUUUUCUUUCUUGCCUUAGCCUCCCUCUUGUCUUAUUCUUCUUUUUCUUUAAGUUUCAGCUCAUGUGUAAAAAGAUAUUUGCAUAUUUCAUCAAGUGUGAUGACAUUUAAAUCUUUGGCUUCUCUAAUGGUAGUUACUUUUGACUUCCAAGUUUUAGGUAGGCUUCUAAGAAGUCUUUUUCACUAGUUCAUGUUCAGGGAUAGGCUUUCCUAAUUGACUAAGUUUAUUUGUAAUGUUGGUGAACCUAUCCAGUAUGCUGGUGAUGUCUUCACCAGGCUCCAUUUUGAUCAUUUCAUAGUUGUGGGUUAGAAGAGCAAUUUUGGACUCUUUAACUUGUGAAGUCCCUUGAUGGAUGACCCUAAGUUUAUCCCAAACUUGUUUAGCUGUGGUACAGCUUGACACCUUGUUAAAUUCAGUGGGAGUUAAGGCACAAUGUAAGGUGUUUAUAGCCUUGAAACUUGUAUGAACCUUUUUGAUUUCAACGUCAAUCCAUUCAGACAUUGGCUUGGGAAUCAUUUCAUUUGUUACUACAUUUAUGGUGGAAUGAAUGAAGGGUCCAUCAGUGAUGGCAUCCCACAUCUCAUAAUCUAUUGUCCUUAUAUAGAUUGACAUUCUAGUACUCUAAUAGGGGUAAUUAGAGCCACCAAACAAAGGUGGUCUGUUUGUGGACUGUCCCUUAGCAACUACGGAUUUUUGAAGAGCCAUUUGGAUCUUCCCAAAGGGUGUUAGACCUUAAGAAUAGUGAUUAGGCUCUGAUACCAAUUGUUGGUCCCAAGUAAAUGUGCUAGAGAGGGGUGAAUAGAACUUUUUGGCUCUUACUUAAAUUGGCUCUAAGUUGAGGGCAAGUUUAAGAUCAAUAAUGACUGGUUCGAGGCAAGAUGACAGAAUGGUUUAAGAAAGAAUGAAAAAGAAAAUUAAAAUUGGAGCAAACAAUACUCAAUAAUUUAUAAUGGUUCUGUCAAAGACCUACAUCCACUACCUUGAUUGUUCAACCAAGAAUGUUCCAAAUCAAAUCACUAAAAAUGGUGAAAUUCCCAAGCUCCCACCAAGCUUUUAUAAUGGCUUUUCACAGGCUCAGCCACAACCUUAACAAUGGUUUUUCUCGAGAUUAGCCAAACUCAAACUAACUUUUACUAGGAUGAGCUAGAACCUAUACAACUAAUCAAGCAACCCAAGCUUGAAUUACCUCCUUAGAGUGACUCACUCACUCUAAGUAUACAAGGAGAAGAGACAUAAAAGUGUACCUAUGAUCACUAACUUGAUCUGAGUGGUACAAAGUGAAGUGCUUAAAUUUGUUACAAGGAUAGGAGUGAAAUGCUGAAAGUAUGCACAGGAUUUUUGCUAUGUUUGAGCUCUUUUUGAUCUUGGAAGCACUAAAUCUUGUUAUUAGCCGUUGGGAAGGGUUUUUAUACUUAAAGAAACAACUCUAAUGGAUGUUUGAUAGAUUUUGACCAUUGGAAACAGUUUGGAGUUGGUUCUAGCCGUUAAUUUGUCUUCUAGCAUUCAAAUUUAAAGUUGUAGAUAAAGAGCUCUUAGUUGACUAACAUAGCUUCUUAGUUGAUUAAGUCGUUUCUGUCUUUGGACACAGUCUCUGGCAAUGAGCACUUAGUCGACUAACAAUUUCUCUUAGUCGAUUAAGUCGGUUCUAUUUCUGAACUUGGUUUCUGGCAGUAAGCACUUAGUCGACUAACAAUUUCUCUUAGUCGAUUAAGUUGUCUCUGUCUCUAAAUUGUCCAUCUUCAUGUUUGAGUUUUAGUUUACUAACUCCCUUGAUUAUCUGACUAAGUGGCUUUUGUUUUGUGGCUCAAAUGUAGCUCUUCAUUCUUAUAGGAUUUCAUAUUUACAUUUUAGUGAUUAAUUUGUUAUUGGUCAUACAUUCACAUCUUGCACACUCAAGUAGUAUAGUUAGACAUAAAUGAGUGGGAAUGUUUUAUUAUCAUCAAAAGCUAAUGGAGCCAACAGAUCAAAUAUCCAAUUAGUUAGAAAACCAUCUACACUAAAAACUAGUUCUGAUUCAGUAUGACUAGCAAAUUGAGAAGCUUUUGUACAUACCUUUUGUAUGAUAAUUCAUAGAACUAAUGCCAUUUCUUUUAAAUCAACAUAUAGUUCUUUAUCAUAGUAAUUACAUCUAGCUUUGGACUCACCAUUCUCAUCUAUAAACUUGAUGAAAUGUGUCUAUAUUUUUGACCAUUUCUUUAUCGUCUUCCAUUUUUUAGCUCUAUAUGUCGCUUUGGAUUGAAUAGAACAGAGUCUUGUUGUUGUUGAUUAGAUGUAAUUGCAGCAUCUUCUGUUGUCUUUGUUGUCCUACUCUUCCUUGGUGGUGUUGGUGCAGUCUUUGGUAUAAGUGCCUUUGUUUGUGUCUCUUCAGACGACAUCUUCAAAGAAAUCAUUAAAAUAUUAAAUAGUAUCUAACAAUUCAACAUUUUAAAAUAAUAUAAUUUCGAAACAAAUCAAUAUCACUAGAAAAUUAAGCUAGACUUAAUGAUUUUGUAGCAACCGUAAGAUUGAAAGGUAAGGUUAAACAAUCUAAAUUUCAAAGAAGAGACACAUGUAUAUAAAUACUACAAACUUUUGAACUAAUAAGGUGUGAUUUCCAAGAUAAUUAGUCUAACUCUCUUCAAAUAAAAAAUAUGCUUGAGGUAAAAAUAACAUAUUUGUUGUAUUUGGCGGAUUAAGAAUCCAGUUAUUGCUACUACUACUAACAUUGCAACAAAAACACUAGUUUGUUACUCUUGUUUGAUCAAUAAGCAAAAAUUAUAUAACAAAGAAUAAAUUGAAUAAGAAGAUACUCUUACAAUCCUACUGCCCUAUUCAAACAGUUGAAAAAUGCCCUUUGCUUUUGAAGCAAAGCCUUUCACAUUCAUUCAAUAGUUCGAAGUUAAAAGACAAAAAAAGACAUGGGUCUUUGUCUGUCUAUGUAAAUCCAUAGCAUCGAAAAGGAAGGUCAUUAAAAUUAUUCAAGUUCAAACCCAACUAACCCAUUGAAAAAUUUAUGCCUCAUGGAAAGCUUAUGGGCUUUUCUCUUCUUCAUCUUUAGUUCUUGAAUUUUCAUUAGAUUUCACAAGCAAAAAUGCUUUCACAUUCUACAUCAUUUACUUUCUCACCAAACAAACCAACCAUGGUCCUUCAAAACAGAUAAGAAUUUGCUAACUAAAAACACUAUACUUGAAAAUCACAUUAGGCAAGUAAAAAUAAUGAAUUUAUAUAUUUUAAAAUUUAAUAUAUUAAACAUUGACAUAAAAAAUAAAGUUUAGGGUUCUUUCAACGUCUAAACUAAUCUAUAAAGGAAAAACAUUACUUGUAGCAUUAAACUAGUGAUAAAGAUCAUACCUUGUAGUAGCAACAAAGAGCCAAAAAAGAGAAAUUGAGGAGAGGGUUGGGAAAAAGAGAAACCAAGCACCUAGUCUAACUAAGAAAGUGAGAGUGGAGUGAUAAAUGAGAGGAGAGUGCAGACUAGUUGGAAAGGUAAAAGGUGGAAACAAGAGAAGAGAUCCAAAAUGACGAAGAGGCAAAGUCAAAGAGACGACCAAAAAAACUCUAAAAUGGAGAAGAGAGGAAGCUUACAUAGUAAGCUACUAAGCUGUCAAAUGUUAAAUUAAUAACUUACAUUUUAAUUUUUAAAUUAAGUUAGGUUAUAUUGUUAUUUGUUAUUGUUAAUUUGUUAUUUGUUAAUAUGUUAGAUUUUAGUUUAGGUUGUGUUAUUGUUAUUGUGUUAUUGUAAAUAAUAAAUUGACUACACCCUAAUGAAUAAUUUUAUUAAUUAGUAUAUUAAUAAGUUAUUAUGCAUAUACAUAAUAUAUUAAUAAUAUACUUUAUAUUCCUUUUUAUUACUUAUUAAUAUAUUACAUUAAUAUAUUAUAUUAAACAAGUUAAUAUAAACUAAACUAUAAAGUAUAUUAAUAAUAUACUUUAUGUAUAUGCUAUUACAUUAUUACUUAUAAAUUAACUAACAUACUAAUACAAUAUAUUGUUAAUAUAUAGUUUUUGACUAAUUGUUUAAUUAAUAUAUUAAUAACUAUACUAUAUAGCAUACUUAUUAUACUAUAUAUUGACUAACUAGUGUAUUAAUAAGUAUAUUAUGUUCAGUGUAUCAAGAUAUAUAAUUUAUAGUUUAUAGACAAUAAUGACAUUAACUCAUUAAGUCAUUAAUAUAUUAAUAUAUAGUAUAUUAAUAAGUUAUUAUAUUUAUUUAUUAACAUAAUUUAUAUUACUAAAGUAUACUAAUAUUAGUACAAGUUCCUUUAGUAAUAUAAGUUAUACAUAGUAACAUUAAUAUAUUAAUAUUAUAGCAUAUUAAUAAGUUACUAUAUUAAAUUACUAAUAUAAGUUACAUUGUAUUACUAUAUUUUAUAGUCUAUAGAGUAUAGACUAUAUAUUGUAUAUUAAUAAUAUACUUACUAUACUAUAUAUUGACUAAUUAGUGUAUUAAUAAGUAUACUAUGUAUAGUGUAUUAAUAUAUUAUUAUAUAUAGUUAAUAUGUAAAGCUUGACCUUAUAAAAUACUUGUCAUGACAUGCAUGUGAUGGAUAGCAUGUUUGCAUGUUAGGAAAGCCCUAAAAAUCGUUAAAAGUCGGUAGUGUACUUAAUAGUAUAACUAAGUUCAACUAAGCUUCGAACUAGAUCAAAUAGAGAAUUUAAGGUGAAAUUGAGUGUCACGAUCCGAAACUCCCCAUCGGGCCCGUGACAACCGUCGCGAGGCCUCGACAGACAUUCUUCACCCCGAAUGCCGAUCGAAACCCCGCAAGGCUCUCGUAUCAGCUUUCGCACUUCCCCGGUGAGCAAUAGCUAUCAAAUAUCAAAAUUCAAAGGAUUACAAAUCAUUUCCAAAUCAGAACAUAACAUUUUGUUUUCUAGCUCAAAGGGGCAUUUUCGUCAUUUCAUUUUUCUUUUUUUAAAUAUCAAAACUUGCUAAAAAUGUAAUAGGUAAGCAGAAAAUAUAUAUUUAAUGAUUUAAAAACAAAUUAAGUAUCUAAAACGUUCAUUUGAAGUGAAAAUUUGACCAUUUGAAUAUAAUAAAAAUAUUCAAUAAAAUAAACUAUUUUCUUGUAAAAUAAUUUUCAUAAAACUAUCGGUACAUAAUUCUUAUAGCGUAAAAGUUAAUUAUAUUCAUAUAUACUAUAAAGCAAAUAACCAAAGCAUAAAAUUUCUUUUACAGUGACACGUGGACCCACCUCUAACCAAAAUGCAUCGAAAGUUGGAAACCUACAGCUUUUACCGAUUCGAGUCCAAUUGAAAGUCCUUGUCAAAGUCAGUUAACUAUGGAAUUCCCCGAGCCUGAAAUGUGAGGAAAUGAGGGUGGUGAGAUUAUAAAAUCCCAGUGAGUAAACAGAUACCAUCUAAACUAUCUAAAAUCGAGUAAAUGGAGACAAUUAAAAUAAAUCAUCAUACUGUAAUUUCAUUACCUUUCAACUCAUUUCAACCAAAUAAAAUCAAUCCAUAAAAAUCGAGUAAUCAACUUGGCUUAUGAAUUUCUUAAAACUUUGGCUAGUGCUAAAACUCAUACUCGGUGAUACCUUGCGUAGGGCAUCCAACCGAGUCCGCCAAGGCUGUUAAAAUUUUUGUAUACACUUAAAAUAUAUUUUUAGUUUGAGAAAAAUACAGUCGUUCCUUAGCGUUGGCUGAGUUCCCCUUCACAUGGUGGUUUGGCAUGAAGUGAACCCUAAGCUUUACCCUAGGAGAUACCCUACGCGCCUCUCCGUUCGAGGUAAUAAUAUAAUGGAGUUUACCGUGCCCCUCUAAUAGGCUGGUCCACGGAACCCCCUCUGCAGUAAAUAAUUAAUAUAUAAUCCACCGAUCAAUAAAAUUCAUUCUAGCAUGACAUGGCAAUUUAUCGCAACCUAGCCUCUCAAGGCUGAAUACACAGUAUAAAUAAUUCUAACACCAAAAUCAGUUUAGCCAUUCAUGCUCAUUUAUUGUGAUAAGCCAUUCAAUUCAAAACCAUAAAUUUGCAACACAAGCAGGCAAUCUCCAAUUACUCUAUUUUCAAAACCAGUAUUCGAUUUUUCCAGAAAAUUUAUAAAAUCAUUUUAUAAAAUCGUAAUUUCUCUUAAAACAUAGCAAUUUACCAUUUAAACUCAUUUUCCAUAAAAUCACACAAUUGUAUAAAACUACUUUAGAUAAUUAAGACGAUAAUAAGUUCACUCACUGUUCUAGGAGUCGAUGUACUCCUAAUCCCAAUCUCCAAGUACAAUUUCUGUACUUUUACCAGUGUACUUUGCUCACCACCUAUCCACAAUGUACAAUACAUAAUUCAUCACAUCAAUGCUUGACCAUUAUAAAAUCAAUUCAAGUUCGGUAUAUAUGCAUGAUAUGAUAUAUAACUUAUCAGACUACCGUUUAAAUACAGUGCUAACCUAAUUCGGCCUAUUAUCUCCAAUUUAACUCCAAAUCAAUUCUUCUCACUUUCUACACUCCAAUUAUACCUAAAUUACCUUAAUGACUAUAAUGAGAUUCAAUUUAUCAGUCUCGAUAACAAAUUACAAAAAUACCCCUAGUGGGUAAAAAAUCAUAUUUUUGCUCUGAAAAUUCUCAUUAUUUUUCUAGGCUCAUAAUUCAUCAUUUCUUAACCAAUUCUCCUAGAAUGAAAAUCAAAUUCAUCCUCACUCAACACAUGCUAAAUUCAGCCAUUAAGGGUUGUGGGAGAAAAUAAAUUCUUUUCUUAUUGUUUUGUUUCUAAAUAUGCUAAACUAACUUAAAACACUAACAUAACUUAAAAUCAAAUUAAUCUAACAAAUUUCUCUCUCCUAACCCAUUUUUCAGAAUUGAAUUCAUCAUAAUAACUCAAUAUUCAACCAUGGAAAUCAAGAACAAAAGCAUGGGUAAGCUAAGUAUCAAGGAGAACUAAAGAAAAUCUAACUUACCUAGCUUGUUUCCUUGAUUUCUUCACUUUUUCUUUGAAUUUUCACCUAGGUUUUCUUGUUUUUCCCUUUGUUCUUCCUCUCUUUCUCUCUCUUCCUUGCUUGGACGGCCAUAUGAAGAAAAUGGGUUGAUUUUAUGCCUUUUUAUAAAGAAAUAAUAAAAUACUCAAGGUAUGACACAUGGCAUUUUCUUAUUGGUCUAUUUUUAAAAUUUUAAAAUUUUAAUCCUUUUUAUCUCCACCACACAAUUAGUCAAUGGUCAAAAUGAGGAUAAAGAAGACCAUGUGCUGAAAAAAUGUCCUGGUGGCGAAAAAUUACAAUUUUGCCCCUAGGGUGGCAAAAUUACCAUUUUACCUUUUUUCUCCAAAUUAUACCAAAAUUAAAAUUUUUCACUUCUAAACCUAAAAUCUUACUCCAAUAAGUCAAAUGGGGCCAACAAAUCUUUUCUAAAAUUCCCAUUUUGUCUCUAGGUGGCAAAUGACCAUUUUGCCCCUAGAUAGUGAAAAUUUUGGUUUGUCUUCAAAUUGAUCCUCGAACUCCGAAUCACCAUAUUAAACCAUUCUGGGACUUUAAAAUUCUUAAUUUCAUCGUAAAUUCUCUAUUUUAUCUAGUUCGAGGCUUAAAUCAACUUUGUUGUACGUCUAGGUACAAUACCGGCUUUUGUAAAUUUUUCGGGACUCUCUUAGCAUGCAAACAUGCUAUCCAACACAUGUAUGUCAUGACAAAUAUUUUUAUAGAGCCGGGCUUGUCAUGUUCUCCCCCACUUGGAUCAACCAUAUGAUCCUUCUUCUUGACUGAUUUCGACAUCUGGCUAAAUAUUAAUAUUUUAAUAUUAUUUCAUUAAUAAAAUAUUAUUUUAUUCUAAAAAUUUUAUCUUCUCUCCUUGGUACCCGAAAUACCUUAUUAUGCCUCACUUGACUUCUGAAUCGCCUUUUAUCUCACAAAUUCUCCUCCGAUAAAAUUAUUAUUAUUUUAUUAUUAUUUUCUCAUUUACGAAAUAUUUUAUCUUAAACUACUCUUUUCGUCUCUUAUCACUUUUAAACAUUUUAAUUGACCUCAAUUUGCAUUCGAUCAACUUUAUUUAUUACCAUAUCAAAGUAUGGGGUAUUUCAAUCUCCCACACUUAAAUAGAAUUCGUCCCCGAAUUCUCAUCGAUGUUGCGUUAUCAAUCUCCUUCUAUGAUCUUACUCAUUGUUCCUUCUAUGGGGACAUUUAAUUUAUUUACCUCGUUCACCUUCAAUUCAAUUAAAUGCUUUAUUUAUGGCAAUUAUCAUCCUUUGGAACUGGCUCAGUAAUAUUUUUCACAACCAUGAUCUCUUAUAUCGAGACACUAAGCAUGCCUUCAUCACCAUUAUUACAUUUGAACCAUAACUUCAUCUCAAUUAUACCGAUUUCGAUCACAUAUCAUACUUACUUAUGUAUACCUAUUCAUCGUUUUAUUAAUUUGCUCCAUACCAAAUUUCUCAACCUUGAUUCAUCCAUCUUAUACUAGUCCAUACCCUUCCUUUAAUAAAGUUCCAUUAAGAACUUAAACAAUUCAAGGUUUACUUUCAAAGUCAUUCAUAACUUUAAUCGUUCAUUACAUGUCCGUUAACACUUUAGCUCACUGACCUCCUCUAACAUUAUUUCAAAAUCUCCCAAUUACUGAGAACAAUUCUUCACCUUAGUUAGUCAAAUUAUCAAUUUCAUAUAUACAUGUGUACAUGUAUUUUCAAAUGUCAACAUCUCUCGUUAUGUAUAGAGAUCCAUGUGUUCACAUACCUUGGACUACAUUCCCCCGUUAUUCAUCUGUAUCCCAAUCGUAGUUUCCAUAUAUCGAUUCUUAUAGUGCAUGUCAACCUUCUUAUUAUACUUGCAAACCACUUUAUAUCAUUCAUAUCUUUUCCAACCAUAUGUUUGAGUUUCCUUAUACUAUAUAUCAUUGCCUCACAAUGUCAUCUCCAUUGAAUUAUAAUCUAUUAUGCGUGUAUGCUUUAUAAUCCUAUUGAUGCCUCAAAGAUUUAUCUUAACUUGAUCAUUGCAUCUCAUGCAAUACCACAAUUCCUAAGAGUCAUCCUUUUGUCCUUAAUCAUCUUUCAUGCCUCUAUAUUACCUUGUAUCUUUCUUGCAUUACGAUAUUGAUUUGUCACUUAAGACUCAAACCCAUUUGAAUCAUGUAUGCCUUAAGCAUUUUCGAAUUCCAAUUUCCAUAAUAUAUUAGGAAAGUUUCAUUAUCUGACUUCAUUUUCAAGGUCAACUUCUAUCAUCCUUUGUUCCACUCCUUCAUAUGAACAUAACAUCAUUCUUCCUUAACUAAUUUAUAAAUUGUACUUGAAAUUGUAAAACUUAAAACUAGAUUCUCCUCAAGUAUUUUUCAAUACUAAUACUAAUAUCACUCUCAGCUUACAGCUUCCUUUUUAUAAUCACAUAACUUAGUGCUUGCUUUAACGAGAUCCAGAGUAAAACUUCUCUUGAGUAUUUCCUUGGGAAUAUCUAUCUUAAACUUAUGUCUCACAGCAUGUGAUCCCUUAACUUGUGAUUUAGCCGUUAGGCUUCUCAGCAAGUUUUAAAAAUUUUACGUUUCAUACUUGCUGUGUAUGAUUAUAAUCUCUUCUCAAAGAUGUUUAUGUAUUCCUAAAACACUUACUCUUAAAGAUAUAUAAAUACGUACUCAUCCAUUCAAUCCCUAACUCAUCUUCAUAGGUUUCUAGGGUGUCACACAAUUAGCCUCAUGUUGUUACUAACCCUUGUCAUUUUACUGUAUCAAAACAGAUAUUACAAAUUCUCAUAAUGAUAUUCUAUAUAAACUGAUUUUCUAUACCAGUCUCGUAAUUCUUCCUUCACACUUUCAUUACUUGGUAUCUCAUCUCAAUAUAGUCAUCUCAAGAAUCUUUCAAAUUUUUUUUUUUUAAUUAUAUGCCUAUAUACAAGGCAAUAAAGAAGUUUUUCAAUUCAUUUGGGUAAACAUUCUCCAGAAUAUUUAAGACUCCCAGAUAACAAAACACAAUGACCAACAACCAAAAUUCAAUUUGUAAGCUCAUUAUCGUGUCACUCCCAUCUUACUCAUGCAUCAUAGGCGUGAGGUAUUCGGAGCAUUAUAGCGUUGAACAGUCAAUGUUGAAGCACUGUAGCUAUUAGAAAUUUUCUCAUCAAAGCUAUUUGUCUGCAUUCAAAGUCACCACAUCAAUCAUUCUCAACCAGUGGUUUCCCUUUUAGAUAUAUAUCAUGAGUUCCAUAAGUAUAGGUACCUUCUAUUUUCUUGUCAUACACACUAAGCCAGAUUAAUACUUUCAUCUCAUGUCAUCUUUUGACGUUUAUCAACAUUCAUAAAAUUCCACCUCAAAACAUCCUUUCCAUACAGUGUAAUAAAUUCAUGAUAAAUAUACCACUCCACACAUAAGUUGCUUACUAUCUACAACUUUCCUCAAAUUUAUUGUCAUCCCUAUCCAAUUAUCUUCUUUGUCUUAUACUCCAAUAAUCUUAUUGACUUUCGGUAUAAUUAACUACGAAAACAGCCCAGCUUCCUCCUCACUUUAUUCUCGCAAUCCUUACUGAAUCAAAAUUUUAUAUUCCCCAUAUUCCAUAAUUUAACUUCAUUGGGUUAUAUUUGUGCCCAACUAUUACCUCAUAGUGUCAUAACAUCACUGAAUAAUCCCCUUCAUGCUUAAAUUACAAUCAUUAACUUAAUCACAUUAUCCAUUCCGAAUGUCAUUUAUAACCUUAUUGCUUCCUUCUAUAACCUUCCUCAAUAAUUAUAUUACCAAUUUAUCUCUAUCAUACUAAAGAUUCCCAUAUACCUUCAGUUACUUAAACAGCCAUUUUAUAAUACAUUCUAGUCCUAUACUUUAAAAGCCAAACUAUUUUUACUUCUUUGUAUAGAUAAUUAUUAUCUCUUUUACACAACAUCUACUUAGAGUUAAGGUAGUGUAAAAUCCUACGAAAAUAUUACAUGUCCUUGGGAUCAUCAUCUUAAUCUGAUCUUAUCGGAAGAUUCUACUCUGAGUCCUCCUGAAGAUCCUCUUCUGAGUUUUCCUCCUCUUGAGAUUUUUUUCCUUUGCUCCUCAAUCCAAGCUUGUUGUAUUCUCCUAUACUCUUCAUCACUCACGGGUGCAGCAUUUCUUCCACAACCGGGAGGAAAAUGUCGUACACCUGACACUUUUCUAAGGGGUUUACUUGCCACUGUUACUUUCUCCUUAUCCUUUUCUGGUUGUCCCCUUACAUUUCUCCCACAGCCUGGUGGAAAGUGUCGGACUACUGUCACGCUCUUCCUAGAACGAAUACCUCCUUCGGCUAUCCUUAAUUUCCCCCUUUCUUUAACAUGUUCCUUAGAUUUUCUCAAAAGGGAACCUCUUAUGCUUACAUUAAUAUUAUUACUAUCUGCACUUUUUGGACUACUCGGUUCGGGUUGCCAUCGGCUCUUAGCAGUAGAAUCUAGCGAUCCCUCGCUAAUACUAUGAGAGGCGUCGGGACUACCGUCUCUCCUAGACAUGGUGUAUGUGUCACCAGCGCACCUCAAAACCUAUAUGCAAUCAAAUAGUAAUUGUUUAAUUAUUUAUGCAUCUCAAAAAUAGGUAGAUUUCUAUAUGUAGAUGCAUACAUUCUAUUCAAUCUAACCUAACUUAACUUAACUUAACUUAUCUUAACUUAACUGGACUUGGGGCCACGCAGUGUCAGUGUAGAUUUCUUAAAACAACCUUAAAAUCAAAAACUUUAAAAUCCAAAGCUUUAAAAUCAAAAUAUCUGAUCUUUAAACCAUGCUCUGAUACCAAUCUAAAUUGUCACGACCCGAAACUCCCCAUCGAGCCCGUGACAACCGCCGCGAGGCCUCGACAGACAUUCUUCACCCCGAAUGCCUAUCGAAACCCCGUAAGGCUUAGCAUCAACUUUCGCAUCUCCCCGGUGAGCAACAAUUAUAAAAUCUCGCAUUUAAAAAAAUCAUAAGUCAUUUUCAAAUAAGAACAAUAAAAUAUUAUUUUCUGGCUCAUAGGGGCAUUUUCGUAAUUUUUCGUCAAAAAUCUCAAAACUUGCUAAAAAUGUAAUAGGUAAGCAGAAAAUAUAUAUUUAAUGAUUUAAAAACAAAAUAAGUAUCUAAAACGUUCAUUUGAAAGCAAAUUGUUAACAACUAGUACUAUUCAAAAAUAAUUAAUAAAAUAUUCUAUUUUCUCAUAAAAUAAAUUUUUAUAGAAAUAUUCGUAAAUAAUUUUUCGCACAUGAAAGUAAAGUAAAAAUUGUAUGAAUAGAAAUACAGAUAACCAAAAUAUAAGUUUUGAUCUGCAAUGACACGUGGGCUCCAAUUGACCAAGAGGAUGUAAGACUGUGAACUCUUACUUUCUAUAAUGCAGUUCCGAGCUUAGUUCUCGUCCUACUCGACUAUCUACAAACUGUCCUGAGCCUGAAAAAUGUAUAGGAAGAAGGGGUGAGAUUUUAUAAUCCCAGUGAGUAAACAGAUACCAUCUAAAGUAUCUAAAGCCGAGUAAAUGGAGACAAUUAAAAUAAGUCAUCAUACUGUAAUUUCAUUACCUUUCAGUUCAUUUCAACCAAAUAAAAUCAAUCCAUAAAAAUCGAGUAAUCAACUUGGCUUAUGAAUUUCUUAAAACUUUGGCUCGUGCCAAAACUCAUACUCGGUGAUACCUUGCGCAGGGCAUCCAAUCGAGUCCGCCAAGGCUAUUAAAAUUUUUGUAUACACUUAAAAUAUGUUUUUAGUUUGAGAAAAAUACAGUCGUUCCUUGGCGUUGGCUGAGUUCCUCUUCACGUGGUGGUUUGGCGUGAAGUGAACCCUAAGCUUUAGCCCAAGAGAUACCCUACGUGCCUCUUCGUUCGAGGUAAUAAUAUAAUGGAGUUUACCGUGCCCCUCUAAUAGGCUGGUCCACGAAACCCCCUCUGUAGUAAAUAAUUAAUAUAUAAUCCACCGAUCAAUAAAAUUCAUUCUAGCAUGACAUGGCAAUUUAUCGCAACCUAGCCUCUCAAGGCUGAAUACACAGUAUAAAUAAUUCUAACACCAAAAUCAGUUUAGCCAUUCAUGCUCAUUUAUUGUGAUAAGCCAUUCAAUUCAAAACCAUAAAUUUGCAACACAAGCAAGCAGUCUCCAAUUACUGUAUUUUCAAAACCAGUAUUCAAUUUUUCUAGAAAAUUUAUAAAAUCAUUUUAGAAAAUCGUAAUUUCUCUUAAAACAUAGCAAUUUACCAUUUAAACUCAUUUUUCAUAAAAUCACACAAUUGCAUAAAAUUACUCUAGAUAAUUAAGACGAUAAUAAGUUCACUCACUGUUCUAGGAGUCGAUGUACUCCUAAUCCCAAUCUCCAAGCACAGUUUCUGUACUUUUACGAGUGUACUUUGCACACCACCUAUCCACAAUGUACAAUACAUAAUUCAUCACAUCAAUGCUUGACCAUUAUAAAAUCAAUUCAGGUUCGGUAUAUAUGCAUGAUAUGAUAUACAACUUAUCAGACUACCGUUUAAAUGCGGUGUUGACCUAAUUCGGCCUAUUAUUUCCAAUUUAACUCUAAAUCAAUUCUUCUCACUUUCUACACUUCAAUUAUACCUAAAUUACCUUAAUGACUGUAAAUGAGAUUCAAUUUAUCAGUCUCGAUAGCAAAUUGCAAAAAUAACCCUAAUGGGUAAAAAUUCGUAUUUUUGCUCUGAAAAUUCUCAUUAUUUUUCUAGGCUCAUAAUUCAUCAUUUCUUAACCAAUUCUCGUAGAAUGAAAAUCAAAUUCAUCCUCACUCAACACAUGCUAAAUUCAGCCAUUAAGGGUUGUGGGAGAAAAUAAAUUCUUUUCUUAUUGUUUUGUUUCUAAAUAUGCUAAACUAACUUAAAACACUAACAUAACUUAAAAUCAAAUUAAUCUAACAAUUUUCUCUCUCCUAACCCAUUUUUCAGAAUUGAAUUCAUCAUAAUAACUCAAUUUCAACCAUGAAAAUUAAGAACAAAAGCAUGGGUAAGCUAGGUAUCAAGGAGAACUAAAGAAAUUCUAACUUACCUAACUUGUUUCCUUGAUUUCUUCACUUUUUCUUUGAAUUUUCACCUAGGUUUUCUUGUUUUUCCCUUUGUUCUUCCUCUCUUUCUCUCUCUUCCUUGCUUGGCUGGCCAUAUGAAGAAAAUGGGCUGAUUUUAUGCCUUUUUAUAAAGAAACAAUAAAAUAAUAAAGGUAUGACACAUGAAAUUUUCUUAUUGGUCCAUUUUGAAAAUUUUAAAAUUUUAAUCCUUUUUAUCUCCACCACACAAUUAGUUAAUGGUCAAAAUGAGGAUAAAGGAAGACCAUGUGCUGGAAAAAUGUCCUGGUGGUGGAAAAUUACAAUUUUGCCCCUAGGGUGGCAAAAUUACCAUUUUACCCUUUUUCUCCAAAUUAUACCGAAAUUAAAAUUUUUCACUUCUAAACCUCAAAUCUUACUCCAAUAAGUCAAAUGGGGCCAAAAAAUCUUUUCUAAAAUUUCCAUUUUGUCCCUAGGUAGCAAAUGACCAUUUUGCCCCUAGAUAGUGAAAAUUCUGGUUUGUUUUCAAAUUGAUCCUCGAACUCCAAAUCACCAUAUUAAACCAUUCUGAGACUUUAAAAUUCUUAAUUUCAUCGUAAAUUCUCUAUUUGAUCUACUUCGAGGCUUAAAUCAACUUUGUUGUACGUCUAGGUACAAUACCGACUUUUGUAAAUUUUUCGGGACUCUCUUAGCAUGCAAACAUGCUAUCCAUCACAUGUAUGUCAUGACAAAUAUUUUUAUAGAGUCGGGCUUGUCAUGUUCUCCCCCACUUGGAUCAACCAUAUGAUCCUUCUUCUUGACUGUUUUCGACAUCUAGCUAAAUAUUAAUAUUUUAAUAUUAUUUCAUUAAUAAAAUAUUAUUUUAUUCUAAAAAUUUUAUCUUCUCUCCUUGGUACCCGAAAUACCUUAUUAUGCCUCACUUGACUUUUGAAUCUCCUUUUAUCUCACAAAUUCUCCUCCGAUAAAAUUAUUAUUAUUUUAUUAUUAUUUUCUCACAAAUUCUAAACUACUCCUUUCGUCUCUUAUCACUUUUAAACAUUUUAAUUGACCUCAAUUUGCAUUCGAUCAACUUUAUUUAUCACCAUAUCAAAGUAUGGGGUAUUUCAUUGAGAAUUUUAAAGUCCUAGAAUGACUUAAAAUGGUGAUUCGGAGUUCGUGGAUCGAAUUGGAGUCAAAUUGGAAAUUUCGCUAUAUAGGGGCAAAUUGGUCAUUUUGCCACUCAAGGACAAAAUGGAAAUUUUUUUGAAAGAUUUUGAUCUUAUUUGACUUAUUGGAGUAUAAUUUGAGGUUGAGAAGUGAAAAAUUAUAAUCUUGGUAUUUUUUAGAGCAUAGGGGUAAAAUGGUAAUUUUGCCAUCUUAGGUGCAAAAUAGUAAUUUUCCACCACCAGGACACUUGUCCAGCACAUGGUCUUCCCUUAUCCUCAUUUUGACCUUUGACUAAUCAUGUGCUGGAGAAUGGAAGCAUAAUUAUUAAAGUAUAAAAAAUAAAAAGAAAAAUGGACUAAUAAGCAUGUGACGUGUCAAGUAAGGAUAUUUUAUUGUUUUCCAUAAAAAUCAGCCCAUAUUUAUCCCAUUUUCUCUUCAUGUGGCCGGCCAUAGUAAGAACAAAGAGAAGAAAGGAAAAACACAAAACCUAGGUGGGAAAAUUGAAGAAAAAGUGUGGGAUUUCAGGGAAUCAAGCAAUCAAAGGUAAAAUUUCUUGAUUUUGACUUGUGAUCUACCUUUCCCAUGCAUUUCUCCUUAUUUUCCAUGAUUAAAUUUCAUGUUUUCAUGGUGAAUUCAUGGCUGACCAAAUGGGUAUGGAGAGAGAAUGAAGUUGGAUUGAUUUGAUUCUAAGUUAUGUUAGUGUUUUUAGUUAGUUUAACAUAUUUAGAAACAAAACAACAAGAAAACAAAUUCAUUUUCUCGCAUUACCCAUAGGAGGCUGAAUUUUCUAGGGAGAAUAUUGAGGUUGAAAUUGAUGAUAUUUCAUGACAUUUUGGUGAUAUUUGAUGUUUGGUUAGGCUAGAAAUUAAAUGAGAAAUUUUGAUGUGAAAAUCUGAAUUUUUGCUCAAUGUAUAGACAUGUGUGAUUAUUGAUCCGAGACUGAUAAAUUAAAUCUCAUUCAUAGUCACUGAGGUAAUUUAGGUAUAAUUGGAGUGUAGAAAGUGAAAAGAAUUGAUUUGGAGUUAAAUUGGAGAUUUUAGCCUAUUAGACCGAGUAUAGUAUGACUUAGGUCGAAUAUUACAUUUAAGCGAUUAAUCAGACAUUUUGCAUUCCAUAUCAUGCAUUAGUAGUCUAAAUUAGUUUAAUUUCAAUUUAGUACCAAUGUGGUGAAUUUCUCGAUUUUGUACUGUGUCAAGGUGGUAAGUCCUCCUAUAAAGGUAAGGGAAUUGUACCCGAGGACCAAUAGUCUGAGUAUUUCAAAAAUCCCCACUCUAGACAUUGUGAGUAACCUUACCAUCAUUUUAAUUAUCUAAAGUAUGUUUUUAUUCAAUUUUGGUGAAUUUUAUGAAAAUGAGUUCAAAUGGUAAAUUUUUAUGUUUUGUAAACAAAAUGUGUUUAAAUGAAAAGACUUUAUAAAUUGUCUUGAAACGAAAUAACGAUUUUGAAAAUAGAGUAAUUGGAGACCACUGGUAUGUUGUAAAUUUAUGAUUGGAAAUUGAUGGCUUAUGUUAUAUUGUUAUUGUGUUGGCAUGACUGGUUAGGUUGUGUUUUAUGAAUUGUAUGAAUUGUUUUAUUUUACCCUUGCAGGCUGUGUAGUAUUAUAUUAGCCCUAUCAUUCUGUUAAAAUUUUAUUAUAUAGUGGGUUUAGCAUGCUGCAGUGGGCGGAUUUUGUGGACCAGCCUAUUAGAGGGGCACGAAAUUUGGAUAUAAAUAUGAACUUGGGUCGGAGAGGCGCGUAGGGUAUCUCCUGAGGUAUGGUUAGAGUCCACGUCACGCCGAACCACCUCGUGAUGAUGAACUCCACUAACGCCAAGGAACAGUUGUGUUUUUCAAACUAAAAAUAUGUUUUCAUGUAUACGAAAUUUUUACAGCCUUGGUGGACUCAGUCAGAUGCCUCGGCUAAGGUAUCCUCAAGAAUGAUUUUGGCAGGAGCUAAGUUUUUUUUAAAUACUCAUAAGCCAUGUUGACUAUUUAAAUGAAAUGAAUACUUAUGUUAUGAAAAACUUAUUUCGAUGAAAUGUUUUAAUAGUCUCCUUUUACUCGCACUUUAGAUCUUUUGAAUGAUGUUUGUUUACUCACUAGGAUUUUAUAAUCUCACCACCCUCUUUUCCCUCCAUUUCAUGCUCAGAUUAGACUGUAGAUAGCUGAUCUCAUCGAGGACUACCGUUGGGUUUGCAUUCUUCAAACUGUAGGUUUAUAGUCCUAUUUACUUUUUUUUUAUUCGGGGGCUCACUUAUUAUUGUAAAUUAAAUUAAAUACUUUGGCUUACUGUAUUACAGUAUGUAUGAAUUUAUUUAACUUUUACGCUACAAAAAUUAUUUACGUAUAACUCUAAAAUAUUGUUUUAUAAGAAAAUAGAAUAUUUUGCUUAACAUUUCUUUUAUUUUCUUAUUAUAUCCAAAUAAUCGAAAUUUCAUUUUAAAUGAAAAUUUUAGACUUUAAAACUCACUUUUGAUUAUGAAUUAUAUGUUUUGUACUCAUAUAUUACAUUUUAGCUGAUUUCGAAAUUUGUAGGAAAAAAUUACUAAAAUACCCUUGUGAGACGAAAAUUAUUAUUUUAUUUGUUUUGAGUUGGAAACAGCUUAAAAUCUUUUAGAACAUGAUUUUUGGCAAUGGUUACUCACGGGGGAAAUGAGAUACUGAUAUUAAGCCUUGCGAGGUCCCGGUUGGCAUUACGGGAAAUGAGUGUCUAUCGAGGUACCACGGUAGUUGUCACUGGCUCGAGAGGAGUACCGGGUCAUGACAUAAUAUAUACUUAUAUAGUAUAUAAGUAUACUAAGAAGUCAUAAAGUAUAUAUACUGUGAAAUCUCACCCUAAAUAAAGUAUAAUUUAAGAAAAACCUUAAGUGACAUAUGAAAUUUUUGUUCCGAAACAUUAAAUUUCGAAACCGUAGAAAAAUUCAUUUUUUGAUGUUGUAUUAUGUUUACCAAAGUUAGAUGUUUAAAAAAGUCCAAUUGGACAAGUUUUAAACUAUUUUUGCAUACUAGAGCAAAUGUAUCGAUACAUGACCCUUAUAUAUCAAUAGAUUUAGUCUAAAAGGCUUUUAAAAUGGGGAUUUGAAAAACAUGUAUUGAUACAUGUAAAAAUAUAUCAAUAGAUUUAGAUUUUUAUAAACAUCUAUCAAUACAUAGUCAAAUGUAUCGAUAAAUUUUUUUCAAAAACUAAUGUAUUGAUACAUGGACCUAAUGUAUCGACAAAUUUCGUCAUUUUCAGAAAAAUAAAAAGGGUAAAAAUGUAUUUUCACACCCUAACCUAUAAAUAUGCCAUAUUUUUUGAGGAUUGGCAACCGUCAACCAUUUUUGCAAAGUAAACUCUCAAUUCUAAAGCUUUAACAACCCAUUUUUAGUCCAAACACCAUUUUUACGAAUUAAAGGCUUGGUUUUGAGUUUUUAUGAAAAAGAUAACAUUUUUCAACCUUGAAAUCUUUAAAUCUUGAUUUUCCAACAUUGAAAAUACUAUUUGUGUGCCCAGAUUCUUCUCUUGAUUGUUAAAGCUCAAGGUUUUGUGAUUUUCCUAAGCAUCUAAGCUCACCUAAGGUAAGGAUGAAGAAUUUAUGGGUUCUUAAGCAUUAUAUAAUUAAUGUAAUAGUGAGUUUAAGCUAGAAAUAUAGUUUUAGUUGAAUCCAAGUAGUUCCAAAAGUGUUGGAAAUAACUAAUACGAAAUUAUUAGACUUGAUAAUGAUCGUGAUGUUUCUUGAAUGAUUAGGAACAGUCGAAAACUUUAAGGAAUCCACCAGUGUGAAGUCGUAAAUCAGGGAGCCAAGCAUUGAAUCUCCAAUUAAGUGAGUGAUACAACUCUUCAAAUAUUUCAAUAUAUUAAGUGAGCAUGAUUUUUAUGGGAAUGAUUUGCUGUACAUGGCAAAAUGUUGUUUUAAGGAAUGGCUUAUCAAAGAAUUCAAGUUCAAGGUUUUCAACUAGUAUUUCAAAGAAUGACUAAAAAAAUUGAUUUAAUGAUGAUUGAUUGUGUAUUGACACUAAUGGUUUUCCAAUAAUUUUUGAAUCUAUUAUAUAUGUAAAUAUGCUACUAUGUAUUAGUUUUCAACAAGAGGGGCUAGCCCUUUCAAAUGUUUACCUUCUAAAUGAGAUGAAUGGUAUGAUAUACAUGCUUGACAUAAUGCAACAUGUAAGGUAUGAUGGGUGCAUGAGGUUCAUCUAUAAGGUUAUGACAUGUAUGCCAUGAAAUAUAUGUGUUAGGAAUGUCAUGUACAUGAUGGGCUAAACAUGAGAUGAAUUAUGAGAUUAUAACAUGAAUGCCAUGAGAUGUAGGUGUUGGUUAUGUCAUGUACACUACAAGCUAAGCAUGGGAAUUAAUUACGAGAUUAUGAAAUGUAUGCCAUGAGAUGUGUGUGUUGAGAAUUUCAUAUAUACUAUGGACUAACCACGAAGAUGGUUUAUAAAAAUGUUUAUAUGUUUAUGAUGCAAGUUAUGGAUGAGAACGAUUUUAAACUUAAGGAAUCUUAUGACGAUAGUGAAGAUUAAUCACUAUCAGCUUGAGUGUGGUGGGACCACUUAAAGAUUUUGGGUGAGGCUGAUGUGUCACUCACACAGCCAUGAUGACUGUUCAUGCAAGCUAAACCAAACUUAAAUGACAAAUUACCGGUGAGUGAACUGCAUUUCAAAAUUGUUUUGGGAAUAUGACUGUUUUGUACAAAGCAUUUGAAUGAUUUUAUACAACUUUUCUUAAAAACGAGUGCCUUGGGAACAAGCCUUUGUUAAUUGACUUUAUGUUGUGACAUGUGGUUGUUAUGAAUUCGUGCAUUACUACAUUAUGUUGGUGUAUAUAUAUAUAUAGAUAUAUAUAUGUUGUGCACGAUGGUUGAUAUUGUGUGAUAAUUAUAACCGCGUGUGUGCACGAUGUGGGGGGAUGCACAUGCCGGUGAUGGCAUGGUGAGGGAGGUGGAUGAUGAUAAUGCUCGUGUGCACGAUGUGGGGGGAUGUACACGAUGGCACUGACUGUGCAUGAUGUGGGGGGAUGCGCACGAUGACUCCGGCUAUGUGCAUGAUGUGGGGGGAUGCACAUGAGCUGCGUGUGAUGAUGGUGAUAUUGGUGGUUAUCUAUGUAUUCAUGUAUAUCUACGUUUAUGAAAUAAAAGCUUAUGAAUAUGGCAUAUGAUUGAAAUGCAUGUGAAACUUGACAUGUUGAACUUUGAGAAAUUAUAUGUGUUUUAUGUUGUUUUUGUCAUUUCAGCAAGAUGGCCUUUUCUAGAGGAAAUGGGGAAUUUUUGUUGGUGCCCUGUUUAUCGAUGCAAUGAGAAUGAAUCUCGUUGCAGCGAGAAACUCUCGGGUUUCGAGGGUUUCACCAGACAUGGUUCUCACUGCAGCGAGAAAGUUUGUGUUUUAUGGCUUGAAUCUCGCUGCAGCCAAAAACUUUCUGUUUUGCUUAGUAUCUUGAUCGAUUGCUGCGCUAUUUUCCACUUCUUAGGUACCAUAGUUGAGCAUGGACCCUUUACAUCAAGUGAUUUAAUCAAUUGGGGUUUUCUUGAGGGGUUAUGAUAAACACUAAGUUAAAUUGCAUUGUUUUAAAAUAAGUGCAUCAUGAUUUUCAAAUUUUUCCUAUUGAUUGCUUGUUCCCUUCCUUGUUCAUUCACUGAGUUUUGUACUCACAUUUUUAAAAUUCAUGUUUUCAGAUUUGGAGGCAGUUGAGACCUAGAUUGAGUCACAUACCUAUGCUCGUCUUCUUGGUAGGUACUAUGGCAUCUCGAUAGCUGUAUCUUCACCUAGAGUCACUCCGCUGACGGUCUCGAGUCUAUUACUUGUGAACAUGUAUAUGUUGGAUUGAUGAUGAUAGUACUUUAAUAUAAUAGAAAUAUGAAUAUUUAAUUAUUAUAAAAUAUUACUGGAACAUUUACUUUUGAGAGUUACAGCACUACAUUUUAAAGAUGAUGGAUGGAAUGAUAAUCGGAAUUGCAUAAAGAGGCUUGCUUGGGCUUAGUGGGCAAUGCCCACUGGACCCAUGCGUCGGUCAUGGCCUGAGAAUUUUGAUUGUGACAGAGGUGGUAUUAAAGCUUUAGGUUUAGUCGAGUCCUAGGGAUCCUUGUGUCUGUCAGCCGAGUUGUCGGAGUUAAUGCAGAGUCUUGUUUAUGAUUUAUGACUACAGCACUAGUCAUAGACAGGAACCUAUAUGAACUCCUAUUCCUAGUAACCUACCUUUUUGCUAUCGUCAUGUAAAAGGUAUAAAUUGUAUUGUUGCUCGGGUUUGAGAUGCCACCCGAAACACAAACCAUUAUUGAAAAGAUUUUUAAGCAAAUGCUCCUAAUGAAAGGUCAAUAUAAUGAUAUAUUCCUCCGACUAAGAAUGGAGGAAGGUGGAGUUGGACUGUUAGGUCCACAAUAAUUUAUUCUUUUAGUGGAAUUAUGAUUUGAACCCAUGGUUAUCAAGGAAAAAAAAUUUAAAAAAUUGGAGACUAUGGAUUGUAUUUGAGGUCAAUAUAGGGAGGACGUACGAUAUGGUAAUAAGAGCUGUAUUUUGACUGGAAUGAAUAGUGAUUGUUAUGACUCGCUUGAGGUUUAUAAAUUUAAGUAUCGAGGAAAGACUAAGCCAAUACUUAUGUGCGCGGGGUUAAGUGCACUAGGUUAAUUAAGCUUGUUAUGCCAUAUAUAAAUGGCGCUGGGCUUCCGAAAUAUUUAUAUGAGAAUAUGUGUUGAAUAUGUGUACAGCAGGUUAGAGGGAGCUGGUUUUGAUUCCAAUUAAGUGACUGUGAGAUCCCAAGGGUUAAUUUGAACUAUUAUGGUUUAAAAUUUAAGGUAUAUGAAUUAGCUCAAGAGUGAAAAUCAGUGAUUAUUAUAAUUGAUGGUAGUCAUGAAGAAAAAGGCUAGUAAACAAACCUGCUCUAAGGAUGAGCUUAAAUUUUGCUAUGCUUAGCAUGGAGCCAAAAGAUUAAAGGACUAGGUGUGGAUUUAGCAGUUUGAAAUUAAAUGACAUGGAAAUGAAAAAUUUAGUUUAAGUGCCAUAUGGAGUUCUAUAUGAAGAUCGAUAUAUAAAUUGCUUUAAAAGUCAAUUUAAAAAUAUGUUUGGUUCAAUAUGCAACCUAUGAUGUAAAUGAUUAGUCUUGAAUGUGACUUCCCUAGGUAAGGGACUUACAACAUGUGGAUUUCCGGAUAUACUCUAAGAGGAAGCUUCUGCAUCCUAAGCUUAAGAAAUUUUGAUCUUAUGACUGCAAAGGCAAGAUACAAAAAAAAAAUUAUGUGAAUUGUUUAUCUUAUGGAUGUAAUUGGUUUAGAAUUGAUGAGUAAAGUCGAGAUCUCAACACUAAGUGGUGUACAAUUUAAUAUAUGUGUAUCUAAGAGUAAAUUUGGAGAUUAUUGUGAGACCUUGACCUUUAUAGACUCGUAAAUAGAAAUAUACGCGAUAUCCCUAAUCAAGAAUAAUUUUGUCAUUUUCUCAAUAAGCCAAUAAAAGUAAGUUUUAAACAAUAUUAUGGCUUAAGUGGGCCUAAAGCAUAAAUGAAUGAUGAAAAUAUGGGUGAAAUGACAAGGAAAUAAAAAUUUUGAUGAUUUUCAUGUUCUAGGGGCAAAAUGGUAAAUUUGUCAUUCGAUGACAAAAUGGGAAUUUUAGAAUUUUACACCACCUAACACUUGUCUUGCCCAUGGAUUUCAGCCAUUAACAUUUUACAUUGUGGAUAAUUGAAACAUUUUAUGUGGUGGAGAGAGAUUACUUAAUGGAUAAGUAUUACACAUGGACCAAUGGAAACAUGCCACGUGUCAAGCUUGGAUUAUUCUAGAAUUUCCUUGUAAAAUCUAUUUAAAACUCUCUUAGUCCCACCCAUAUGGCUGGCCAAAGCAUUAAGUGAAGAGGAAAGAAAAGAACACAAACCCUAGGUGGGAAAAUUGAAGAAAAAGUGUGGGAUUGCAAGGGAUUAAGCUAAUUUGUGGAGGGGCAUUUUAGUAAUUUCCAAAGGAGUGGAUAAGCUUAGGCCAUAAAUAUCCUCUCCUUCUAGCAACUUCUUGGGAUUUCCAGCAGCUUCCUCUUCUUGUUCUCUUCCCUCUCACGUUUCUUCAAUUUUUCCAUGGAAGCUUAAUGUGAAGCUUUCAUAACUUUCUCUCUCUAGCUCUAAUUUUCAUACCCUGGUGCCCUUUGGACUCGAACCCUUGUAUUCUUCCACUCUCUCACUUUAAAACCCUUGAAAAUGAUGAAAAUCUUGUUUCCAUACUCUCUCACUAGUUAGGUGUUUUAGAGAGAGAAAGAGGAAGCUUUAUUAAUAGCUUGAAAGCUUUUGGAAAAAGUUCAAAGUUACAAAGCUAUCAAGGUGAGUAGUAAACUAGUAUUGGGUUUUAAGUGUUGAGAAUGACUAGAGAUUUGAUUUGUGAAUAUUUUGUAGUUGAGAUUGUUAAUUCACUUUGGAGUGAUAGGAAAGUGAAAAUGGAUGGCCAUUUAAAUGGCAAUUGAAAGCUAGCUAAAAGAUAGCUUUUAGGGUUUAUAGUAUGUAAAUUGACAUUAUGGAAAUGUUAAUUUGAUGGUAGGUUCUAACGAAGCCCCAUCACCCCAAUUGGAUCAUUAGGGGGAUUAAGAGUCGGCUAAAGGCUCAACGAAUACCGGUGAGUGGACUUGCAUUUCAAACUUGUUUUGGGGAAUAUGAAAGAUUCUAUCCAACUUGUCUUAGAAAAUGUACCUUGGGAACAAGCUUUUAGUAAAAUGAUUUUAUAUUGUGAAAAUGUGCUAUACAAUGGUUUAUGUGUUAUCACAAUAUGAUAAAAUGCAUGAUAUGCAUUGGAUGCUUCUUUGCAUUUGAUGUGGACCCGGCUAUGUGCGAGUAUGAGUGCACAUAAGCCGUUGCUGACCCGACUAUGUACGAGUAGAAGUGCACAUAAGCUGUUGCUGACCCGGCUAUGUGUGAGUGGGAGUGCACAUAAGCCGUUGCUGACCCAGCUAUAUGCGAGUGAGAGUAUGCAUAAGCUGUUGCAUAUGAGAUGAUGAUGAUGGGAGGGUGUACAUGAUGAUUGAUAUAUAUAUAUACAUAUAUGGUAUAUGGUUGUAAAUGCAAAUAUGUGAGCAUUUGGUUUGUUGAAAUUUGGGAGUUUACAUGUGUUACAUGUUGCUAUUGUUUUUUUUAGCAAGAUAGCUUGUUUUAAAGGAAAAUGAGACUUUUUCCUUGAUGUUCUGACUCUCGCUGCAACGAGAAACUCUCAAGUUUGAGGGUCUUCACCAGACCUAGUUCUUGCUGCAGCGAGAAUGAAGUUCACUGUAGCGAGAAACUUUCUGUCCAUUUUGGCUAACUUGUGGGUUUUUCUAUAUUUUUUGAUUCUUUGGUACCAUAGUUGAGUAUGGAUCUUUUGAGUGAUUUACUCAUGAGGGGUUUACAUGAGGGGUUCUACUAAGAACUAGAACAAAUUGCAUUGUUUUGAGAAACUGAGUGUAUCAUGAUUUCGAUAAACAUUCCUUAUGGUAUGCUUGUUCCCUUCUUGUUCACUCACUGAGUUUAUGUUCACCGCUUUCAACUUCAUGUUUUCAGAUUAAAAGACAGCCGGUAACUAAGACGAGGUGUCCUCGCGGACUUGUAUCCAUCUUUUGGUAAGUGUCUCGGCAUUCAGUAGGUGUACUUUCGUCCAAGUCUCUCCGCUAAACAUCGAGUCUCCUUUUGUUGUGUAUAGACGAACCUAAUGGGAAUUAUUAAGUUACAUGUGUAGAUAGUGUAUAUACACCUAUUUGGUAUGCCAAUACGAAGUGGCAAUGCUUAACAUUAUUUUGAUUCUAAGUUAUGAUAUAUGACAUAGCAGUUUAUGAUGAAAUGAUAAACAUGUCAGAUUAAUAGGCUUGCUUGGGCUUAGUGGACUACGUCCAUUGGGCCCAUGCGCCGGUCAUGGCCUAGAAUUUGGGUCGUGACAAUUAUUGCUUAAUCAAUUGGCACUGAAUGUUAUGGUAAAGGUAUGUGAAUGCUAGUAGUGAAGUAUGCCCAAAGUGAGAUACGUUGAGACUAAUGUUCCGAUUGUAAACUUUUGAUAGAAAGCUAGUUUUGCAAAUUGUGAUUUUUAUGACCAUGAAGUAUAUGGAGGUUACCAAUAUGUAAGCAUACACUUGAAGUUGUAUAUUUUGUGAUUUGCAUUCAUUGUAUGGAAGGAGAUAUUCCAUAGAAAGAUUUGGCCUAAUUGGUGAUUACAUGACUAUUGGCUUGGUAUGAGAUUGAGAAUGCCUUAACAUGUAUGAGAAGUGUGUUGUGAAAGGCUGAAAGUCAUUAAGACGAAUGAUGGGUGAAACAUAGGUGUUGUUAUGACGAGCAUAAAAAGCUCAAGGAUAAUCAAUGCAAUUAUAUUAAGUUAGUUUGGUUCGAUUCGAAAUAAGAGUAAGGACAUCUUGAAAGAUCUUAAAGUAAUGCUCAAUGGGAUUAAUGAGCUAAAUGUUAUCGAAUAUAUAUUAAAUUAUUAAAGUUAUGCGUGGCUUUGAAGAUAAGCCUUUGAUUGUCCGAGUCCUUAAUAGAAUUCUAUUAAAGGAUGUGUUUAAGCAUUUUGGAAGUGUAUUGGAAAACACAAGAAUAAUAUACUAGUUUGACUAGCUAUAAGAGGUCGAAUUUGGAUGGCCAUGAGUGGCUUCUGAACAAUCAAGCAAUGUAAAGUAUGUGCUCAUAAAAGGAGCUAUGAUUGGUAGAUAAGAGUAUAACUUUAACGAUGAGAUUGUGUUCACUGCUUUAGGCAUUGAACUAUAAGUUAUGGACUGGUAACCACUUUGUGGACAUCCUGGUGAGAUAGAUUCAAGAGAUUGUUCGCAAUGAGAGAACAUUAAAACUCCAAGAGCAAACGACUAUAUAGUCAAGUUAGAGCUCGUGGCUAAUGUGUCACAUAAGUAUAAAGAUAUGUUACAAAUAUAAGGAUGCUUGGAGAUAUUGGUUUAAGGCAGUGAGUGUCAUGCCAUUAGGUAGACUCGAUAAGGUUGUGGCUUCGAUAUACUCGUAGACACAACGCAUAAAUUAUGAAAGGUGUUUCCCUCACAUGCUUCACUUUGUUUUAAGGAAUUUUCAAAAUAGAAUGCCUAAUACUAGUGUGAGACCUUGACCUUUAUCGACUCGUAGUUAGUAAUAUACGCGAUAUCCCUAAUCAGGGGUAGUUUCGUCAUUUCCUUCGUAAGCCCAUAAAAGUAAGUUUUAAACAAUAUUAUGGCCUAAGUAGGCCUAAGGUAUAAAUGGAUGGUGAAAUUAUGGGUAAAAUGGAAAGGAAACCAAAAUUUUGAUGAUUUUCACGGUAGAGGCAAAGUGGUCAUUUUUCACCUCGAGUUAAAAUUUUAAGUUUUCAUGAACCCGAGCAUGUCUAGACCAUUAUGGACCUUGUCCCAGUGUCAAAAGUGAUUGCAUAAAAGAUUAGAGGAGAAUAAGCUAAAUUGUGGGGGGGUAAUUUGGUAAUUUAAGUGGAGUGGAUAAGUUUGGCUAUAAAAUAUCUUGAAUUUCCAAUAGCUUGUCUUCUUCUCCUUAUUCCCUCUCACGUUUCUUUAAAACCUCCAUGGAAGCUUGAUAUGGAGCUUGCUUAAUUUUCUCUCUCUAGCUCUAGUUUUCAUACUUUUGAGCCCUUUUGACUAGAACCCUUGUAUUCUUCCACUCUCUCUCUUUAAAACCCUUGAAAAAUCUUAGUUCCAUACUUUCUCUCACUAGUUGGGCAUUUUAGAGAGAGAAAAAGAGAAUUACCCCAUUGAUUUGGAAGCUAUUGGAAAAGAAUUCAACUACAAAGGAACCCUACGGUGAGUGAUGCACUAAGCUUGGCUUUUAGUUGUGGAUAAUGGCUAGUAAUUUAGAUUAUGAGUUGUUUUAUUGUUGAGGAUGUUCAUUCAUUUUAUAGUGAUUUAGAUAGUGAACAUAGAUAGCCAUUUAAAGUGACAAUUGAAGGCUAGCAAAGAGAUAGCUUUUAGGUUUUACAAUAUGUGAAUUAACAUAAUGGUGAUGUUAAUGUGAUGGUAGGUUUCAAGGAAGCCCCGUCAUCCCAUUUGGACAAUUAGGGGAAUUGGAGUCAUCUAAAGGCUCAACAAUAUACCAGUGAGUGGACUUGCAUUUCAAACUUGUUUUGGGGAAUGUGAAUGAUUUUAUCUAACUUGAAUUUGAAAAUGUGCCUUGGGAACAAGCCUUUGGUGAAGUGAUUUUAUAUUGUGGAAAUGUGCUAUGUGUUAUCAAAAUAUGAUAGUAUGCAUGAUAUGCAUUAGGCGCUUCUUUGUAUGUUGAUCUAGACCCGACUAUGUGCGUGUAGAGGUGCACAUAAGCCGUUGUUGACCCGGCUAUGUGAGAGUGGGAGUACACAUAAACCGUUGCUAACCCGACUAUGUGCGAGUGGGAGUGCGCAUAAGCCGUUGCAUAUGAGAUGAUGAUGAUGGGAGGGUGUAUAUGAUGAUAUAUAUAUAUAUAUAUAUAUAUAUACAUAUAUGGUAUAUGGUUGUAAAUGCAAAAAUGUGAGCAUUUGAUUUGUUGAAAUUUGGCAGUUUGCAUGUGUUACAUGUUGUCUUUGUUAUUUAGCAGGAUGGCUUUGUUUUAAGGGAAAAGGGAACCUUUUUCUUGAUGUUCUUAUUCUCGCUGCAAUGAGAAACUUUCGAGUUUUGAAAGGGUAGGCUGGCCCGAAACUCGCUGCAACGAGAAUCCAUUUUUGCUGUAGCGAAAAACUUUCUGUUUUAUGACCAAAAUCUCGCUGCAGUGAAAAACCUUUUAUUUUUCACCUCAUUUUGAUCAAUUGUUGCCCUAUUUUCCACUUCUUUGCUAUCAUUUUUAAGCAUGGAUUUCCAACAUUAAGGAAUAAGUGAAUUAAGCUUAAUAUAAGGAGGUUUGGUGAGAAACCCUCGGCUAGUAAAGAAACCCUCGGUUAGUUGAUAAUUUAAAUCAAGUGUCGCUUCAGUGAGGACCCGUCAUUUAUUGACUUGAUUCGUACGAAUGCUAUUAAAGUUUUCACUCUCCAAAUCCUUUGUUGAGCAUGGACUUCUUCCAAUAAGUAUUUUUCUCAUGUGGGGUUUACAUGAGGGGUUUAAUAAGUUCAAAAACAAAUUGCAUUGUUUUGAAAAAGAAUGCAUCAUGAUUUCGUUAAACAUUCCUUAUGGUAUGCUUGUUCCCUUUCUUGUUCACUCACUGCAUUUAUACUCACCGUUUUCAACUUCAUGUUUUCAGAUCACGAGCCAGCCGGUAAUUAGGACGAGGCAUCCUUGUAGACUUGUAUCCAUCUUUUGGUAUAUGUCUCGGCAUUCAGUAGCUGUACAUUCGUCCGAGUCCCUCCGUUGGAAGUCGAGUAUUAUUUUGUUGUGUAUAGACGUACCUAAUGUAAAUUGUUAAGAUUCAUGUUGUAGACAAAUGUAUAUACACUUGUUUAGUAUGCCAGUAUGAGAUGGCAAUGUUUAAUAAUAUUUUGAUUCUAAGUUUUGCAAAAUGACUUAGCAGUUUAUGAUGGAAUGAUGAACACGUCAGAUUAAUAGGCUUGCUUGGGCUUAGUGGACUACGUCCAUUGGGCCCAUGCGUUGGUCAUGGCUCGAAAUUUGGGUCGUGACAACUAGCACGCAAAGGCUGAAUCGAGCUUUAGGUGCCUAAAGAGCAAUGAUGAUAUGGUCAAGUUAGUUGAUAUUACCCUUAGUGAAGGAAUAGAAAUAUACUAUGGAAAUUGUAGAGGUCUACUUUAGAAAGAAAUGAUUCUAAACUUGAUUGUUCAUUAUUUUGGUUUUACAGAUGGCUUAUUGAGCUUGAUAUGGCUAAGGCUAUUCGAAGUUAAAAAUUUUUGAAAAUAUAUAUGUAUGGAUAUAUAUGUUGCAUAUUGCAUAAAAGCUCAUACAGAGUUGGAUAUAAUUUGAUUUGAUGAUGAUAUUCUAUCAAUGGUUAUAGUGCUAGACAAUGAUUAAGAUAAUUUAUCGCUGAUUUUGGCAGUGAACAAGGGGAUUAUAAUGUUGUUAGCUUAAAAGUAAGUGUUUAUACUUUUGGUAUGAGUUCAUCAAAUUCUAUUAUAUGAUGAUAAAAUUUGGUGUUUUAAUAUAGCUUGAGAGGCUUGGCAUAUACACUAGCUUAACUGUGAGCUAGAAAUUUUUAGGUUAUUAUGAAGUACACAAAUAGAGAAGUAUGACAUGAAUUUAAUACCCUAAGGGGCAAUGGAAAAUGAUGUAUCAGUUUUGGUAUAGCUUCAAUAUAUAUAGUUUUGAUAUACAAUGAUGUGGGGAAAAGUUUAUAACUUAUGCGUAAAGGUGUGCAUCUGAAUUCGUAUAAUUAAAAGUGUAAAAUCUGUCUUGAUUGAUAUAAAGCUCAUGAUUCAAAAUGAAUGAUUAUGAAUUUAAUUUUUUAAGGUAAAAAGGACUAAAAGAAGUUAAUAUCAUAAAGGCCUUAAUAGAUUAUUCUUGAAUUUUAAAGUGCACUUAAGGAGAGAUAAAUGUUUAAUUUGAUCUUCAAAUUGAUAAACUAAUGAGGCCAUGAGAUCUGAUGUUUAGAGUAAAUUUGAGAAAUAUCAAGUUAGAUAUGUUGUAGGUGAUUGAUGACGAGCAAAUUAGCUAUGACAUUGGAAAUAUAGAAAUGAUUAGUAAUCAAAAUGAGACUUGGAAAGGAACUUUAAAGGGAAAAUUUUGAGCAACUUUAAUCUUGAGAGGUUGACUUAUUGAUUAAAAAGAUUGGUUAAGAUUAUAAGGGGGUAUGUGGAAUGUCAUGAUUUAUUGACAUGCCUUGUGGUAUAAGUUGAGAUUUAUCUAGUGAGCACUCGAUCAUGAAAGUAUUGGAGUUUGUUCUUAGGAAUAUGAUGACUAAUGGUUACUAAAUUUAAAUCAUCUUUGAUAUUAAAAAAAUAGAUGAAAUGUAUAAAGAGUGUUUGAUCCUUAUGUAUUAUGAAAUGCUUGAAUGGAAUUUAUAUGGAGGUAUGUAAAAUGGAAUAGAGGUUGGUUGACCAUUUAGACCCAUAAUCAAUGGUGGAAUAGAUGCUUGAUUAUUGGAAGGCUUGAUAAAAGAUCAAGGCAAAGGAAUUAUGGAUGGUCAAGUAAACAUGCAUGAUUGAUGAUUUAAGAAUGAUUUGAUUGAGGUGUGACCAGAACUAAUAGCAUAUUUGAAUUCUCUUCAUAAGAUAAAGAGUGAUAUUGUUUUGUCCAACAAGAGUAGUACACAUAACUAUAUAUUAUGAUAUUGUCGAGUUUUCUAUAAGAUUGGAAAUCGAUAUGAUGCAUAAACCAAGGUUCUAUGUUAAGAAUGCCCGACGAAAGUGAUGUGGUAGUACUUUAGAACUUUGAUUAUUCACUCUACGUCGAUUUGAAUUCGAGGACGAAUUCAUGUUAAGUGGGGGAGACUGUAGUACCACAUAUUUUGAUACGGUAGCUAAUAAAGUUUACGGAUGCCAAUUGAGGUUGAUUAUUGAGUUAAAAAGGGUAAUUCAGAAGAGAACCUGUGAAAUCUCGAUCUCCAUAGGCACAUAACUAGAAGUAGACGCGAUAAUGCAGAUUAGGGAUAAUUUCGUCAUUUCUCUUGGUGAGCCCCUGAAAGUAGUUUUCUAAUGUUAUUAAGGUCCAAGUAGGCCUAAGGAAUAGUUUGGGAUAAAAUAUUCCACAUGCGAGAAAAUAAUAAUAAAAUAAUAUUAUUUUUAUUGGAGAAGAAUUUGUUGGAUAAAAAGUGAUUCAGAAGUCAAUUGAGGCAUAAUAAGGUAUUCUGGGUGCCAAGGAGACAAGAGGAGACGAGAAAAUUUUUGGAAUAAAAUAAUAUUAAAAUAUUAAUAUUUUAUUUAGUGUCAAAUUUUUCAUGAAGAAGGAGUAUAUGGUCAAUCUAAGUAGGGGCGAAGAAGAAUGAGAGAAUUUUGGAGAAAAAUGACUUUAAUGGGGCUGCGUGUCUUUAUUAAGUAAAGAUAACGCGGGCAAAUAAAUAUUUUAAAUAUUAUGGGGACACCGCGUUAGAGUACAAACUUCAUACUUUGUUUGUACAUGUGUAGAAGAAGGUAAUAAAAGGAAAUUAGAGUUAAAUGAGUGUUGGGAGGACUAAAUUAAAACGAAAGGAAACAAAAAGGGUAAAAUGGUCAUUUUGCACCUUGAGUCAAAAUUUUAAAUUUUUGUAAACUCGAGUAGUUUAGAUCAUUGUGGACCUUGUCCUAGUGUCAAAAGAAUAAAAAGAUUGCACAAAGGAUUGGAGAAGAACAAGUUAACUUGCUAAAGGGCAUUUUCGUAAUUUUUAAGGGAAUUAGAUAAGUUUGAGCUAUAAAUAUCUUUUCCUUCCAGCAGCUUCUUCUUCUUCUUUUUCCUUCCAUCUCAUGUUUGUUUCCCCCUCCAUGGAAGCAUGGGAUGAAACCUUCAUAACUUUCUCUCUCUAGCUCCAAUUUUCAUGCCUUUGUGCACUUUUUCAUGGAACCCUUGUGCUCUUUCACUCUUUUAUUUCAAAACCCUUGAAAAAUCCCACUUUCACACUUUCUCUCACAGACUAGGUGUUUAGAGAGAGAAAGAGAGAGAAAGCUCCCAUAAUAGCUUGGAAAAUUCAUUGGAAAGAAUUUCAAAGUUACAAGCUACCAAGGUGAGUAAUGAAUUAGAAUUUAUUUUUAUGUAUGGAAUGAUUAGUAAGUUGACUUGUGAAUGUUGUAGUUAAGGUUAUCCACUCAUUUUAGAGUGAUUAGGGUAGUGAAAUAGAUAGCCAUUUAAAUGGCAAUUGGAAGCUAGCUAAGAAAAAACUGUAGACUUUAUAAGUAUGUGAAUUGACAAAUUGGUGAUGCUAAUGUAAUGAUAGGUUCCAACGAAGCCCCAUCAUCCGAUUUGGACAAUUAGGGAAGUUAAAGUCGACCAAAGGUUCAACAAAUUACCGGUGAGUGAACUGCAUUUCAAAAUCGUUUUGGGAAUGUGACUGUUUUAUACAAAGCAUUUAAAUGACUUUAUACAACUUUUCUUAAAAACGAGUGCCUUGGGAACAAGCCUUUGAUAAUAGACUUUAUGUUGUGACAUGUGGUUGUUAUGGAUUCGUGCACUACUACAUUUUGUUGGUAUCUAUAUAUAGAUAUAUAUGUUGUGCAUGAUGGUUGAUAUUGUGUGAUGAUUAUAACCGUGUGUGUGCACGAUGUGGGGGGAUGCACAUGCCGGUGAUGGCUUGGUGAGGGAGGUGGAUGAUGAUAGUGCCCGUGUUCAUGAUGUGGGGGGAUGUACACAAUGGCACUGACUGUGCACGAUGUGGGGGGAUGCACAUGAGUUGGGUGUGAUGAUGGUGAUAUUGGUGGUUAUCUAUGUAUUUAUGUAUAUCUAUGUUUAUGAAAUAAAAGCUUAUGAAUAUGGAAAAUGAUUGAAAUGCAUGUGAAACUUGACAUGUUGAACUUUGGAAAAUUGUAUGUAUUUUAUGUUGUUUUUGUCAUUUCAGUAGGAUGGCCUUUUCUUGAGGAAAUGGAGAAUUUUUGCUAGUGCCCUGUUUAUUGCUGCAGUGAGAAUAAAUCUUGCUGCAGCGAGAAACUUUUGGGUUUCGAGGGUUUCACCAAACAUGGUUCUCGUUGCAGCGAGAAAGUUUGUGUUUUAUAGCUUGAAUCUCGUUGUAGCGAAAAACUUUCUAUUUCGCUGAGUAUCUUAAUCAAUUAUUGCGCUAUUUUCCACUUCUUUGGUACCAUAGUUGAGCAUGGACCCUUUCCAUUAAGUGAUUUAAUCGAUUAGGAUGUCACGACCCGGUACUUCCCUUGAGCCCGUGACAACCGUCGUGACGUCCCGAUAGACAUUCAUUACCCGGAAUACCAACCAGAACCUCGCAAGGCUUUAAUAUCAGUUUUUGCACCUCCCCUGUGAGCAACAGUUGUUAAGUAUCAUGUUUUGAGAGAUUAUAAACUAUUUCCAAAUCAAAACAAUAGAAAAAUAUUUUUUUCUCACAGGGGCAUUUUGGUCAUUUUUCCUCAAAAAUCUCGAAACUAGUUAAAAAUGUAGUAUGCGAGUGGAAAAUACAUAUUUCCUAAUCAAAAAUAAGUUUAGAUGUCUCAAACAUUCAUUUAAAGCGAAACUAUACCUAUUUGAAUAUAAUAAAAAUAUUCAAUAAAAUAUUUUAUUUUCUUACAAAACAAUAUUUAUAGAGUUACCGUAAAUAAUUUUUAUAGCACAAAAGCUAAAUAAAUUCAUACAUACUGUAAUACAGAUAACCAAAGCAUAAGAUUUAAUUUACAAUGACACGUGGGCCCACGAACGACCAAAAGUAUUAAAAACGGUAAACCUACAGUUUUUGAGGAUGCAAGUCCAACUGUAGCCCUCAAUGAAAUCAGCUAUUUACCGACUAUCCUGAGCCUGAAAGGAGUGGAAAGGAGGGUGGUGAGAUUAUAUAAUCCUAGUGAGUAAGCAAAUAUCAUCUAAAAUAUCUAAAGCCGAGUAAAUGGAGGCAAAUAAAAUAGAUUAGCAUAAAAAUGAUUCACAGCAUUUCAAACUCAUUUUAAUAAGAUAAAAUAAAUUCAUUUCACCCAAACAAACAACGAGGCUUAUGAUUUCCUAAAAAGCUUGGCUCGUGCUAAAAUCAUUCUCAUACUCAGUUAUCAGGGAUACCUUGUCCUAGGGCUAUCCCAACCAAGUCCGUCAAGGCUGUUAAAAAGUCAUGUAUGCAUAAAUCAAGUUUUUAUUUUGAAAACAUAGCCAUUCCUUGGCGUUGGCUGAGUUCACCCUCACGUGGUGGUUUGGCGUGAAGUGAACUCUAAAGUUGUACCUCAGGAAUUACCUUAUGCUCUCCGAACGAGGUAAGAUAUAACAGGAUUCUGUGCCCCUCAAAAAGGCUAGUCCACAGAACCUGCCUACUACAGCAAGCUAAACCCACCAUACAAUAAAAUUUGCAAUAGCAUGACAUGGCAAUUAUUUUAUUUUACAGCCUCUCAAGGCAAAUCAACAAUUCAUACAUUUUCAGCACAUUUACCAAUUCAACCAUUCAUGCCAAUAUUAUCAUAAGCCAUUCAAUUAGAACCAUAAAUUUGCAACACAUCAAGUAGUCUCCAAUUACUCAAUUUUCAAAGCCAUCAUUCAAUUUCAAGACAAUUUAUAAACUCAUUUCAUUUAAACACAUUUUGUUUAUAAAACCUAAAGAUUUACCAUUUAAACUCAUUUUCCAUAAAAUCACAAAAACGAUUUAAAAAUCACAAAAUGAAGAUGAUGAUAAGGUUACUCACUAUUUCGGGAGUCGAAUUUUUAAAGUACUCUGACUAUAGAUCUUCGGGUACAAUUUCUUUGCCCUUAUCGGAGGAUUCACCACCUAGACAUAAUGCACAAUCAAGCAAUUUACCACAUUGGUGCUAAACUGUUAUAAAACUAUAUGGAUGCAUGAAAUGGAAUGUAAAUUGUUCGGAUUAUUGUCUAAACACGGUGUUCUACACAAAUUCAAUUGUGUACCAAAAUAAAACGGUAUUGACCUAAUUUGAUCUAUCACUCGGUUAAUUGGCUAAUAUGUCCAAUUCAACUCCAAUUAACUCUAUUUUUCUCCCAAUACUCCAAAUCAUCAAACACAAAUUAAAUAACUUGAAAUUUUACCUUUGAUUGCUUGAUUACUUGAAAUCCACCAAUUUUCUCUUGAAUUUUCACUCUAGGGUUUUUGUUGUUUCUU